RNAcentral lists this long non-coding RNA (101443 nucleotides) under Durio zibethinus. Its description in RNAcentral is "long non-coding RNA (DZIB_LNC000588)". The record is from RNAcentral. Lineage: Eukaryota; Viridiplantae; Streptophyta; Magnoliopsida; Malvales; Malvaceae.
UGCGAUCAACGUGGUCAUGGUAUUUGAUACACAUAAUAUAACUUGUAAGCAUACAAAAUUACACACAGAUUCGCAUAAAACAGGGGGUUUUAUUUUAUUUUAAUUUUAUCAUGUUUUUGAGAAAACAUGAAAGAAAAAGACCCAAAGAUAUAUAUUUAUUUUUCAUCAGUCAUAAGCACCCCCCAUACUUAGGCUGAAAGUUGAUCCAUCAGCACUUAAACGGAACCGCUGAAACCUUUAUUGUAAACAUAUUCAAUAAGGGAAUCCAACUCAUCAUUGGUGCAGUCGAUCAAAUUGUCCUUAUUUUUAUCAGCAACGUCCAUGGCCUCUUCGACUUGCUUGUUUGGCGUGAGUGCACCUAGAUGUUGAAAAGCAUCCUUGAGCUGGUCCCUGGUGAGGCUGCCCUGCUUAGAGUAAGAUCGAAACACUUGUUCCAAUUUGUUUUUCUGAUCCUUGUUAUCCUUUGUGGCUUGCAUUGUGGAUUUUGAGGUUUGUGACCGGGUGAUAUUAGAGAGAAGGCUUGCCUAGCUUGGUUUGGUUUUCUUUUCCAAUGCUACUUGUUUAUAUAGACCCAAAACUCUGAAUACGAUUCUGUUUAAGUGUUGGGGAAUAAAACAUUUUUUGGUGGUGGGUUUAAAAAAUUGAUUUCCAUCUUUUUUAUCAAUAAAAUUAAUAAAUCAAUCAACAAAUUUUAUAAUGAAUACUUAAAAAAAAAAUUCCAAGAGGAUUGGUACGAAUAAAAAUAUUAAUGUUAAUUUCUUCUUUUCUUCUGGCUUCAAAUUAACUACAGAUUGGAAAAAGCUAAACGGCAGCCUCCACUAUCUUGUGUCCAUUUUCUAUUGUUUCAUUUGUUUUAGCCCUCAAUUUGCAGUUUUUAGGUUUUUCUUUUUUGGUUCCCUGAUUAAAUGAUGCAUUUUGGUCCAUUUGGUUUUAAUGAAUUUCAGAAUUUGGUAGAUCUCGUGAAAGGAGUUCUAGGAAGUACUUUGAUGAGCAUGCUUGUAAAUUGUGAUAAUUAUUGUGUAUGAAUGUUAAGUUAUCCAAAAAUAAAUAAGUUUAGCAUUACGACUGUCUUUCUUUUUUUGUUUGCCAUAAAUGAUUCUGGAGCAAAGCAAACUACUGUUAAACUAAUUAUUUGCAUUGUACCACUUCCAGGAAUCAUGGCCUUAGUGGGUUAAAAUCGUAUACAUGUUUCUCUCUCAUAUGUUCUUAAUCUGGGUAGGAUAGAAUGAAGUUUGGGCUAUUUCAAUUCCUUUGCACCUUUUUUCCCUUGUACUGUAAUAUUUUCUCAACCACCCUUUUGCAAGGGGAAAGCUGUAAUAUAUUAUAUAUAUAUAUAUAUAUAUAUAUAUAUAUUUUUAAAUUAGAUAAUUUUGUAAAAAAAUUAUAUUGAUGGAAGUGUGUACAUGGUAGUCAGAUUUUAUUUUUUCAUUUCUUCAUUUUUUAUAAAGCUUUAUUUUUAAAAAGUUCCUAAUAAAAAUUUUUACAAGAAUAAAUCAUCAUUAUUAACAUUGCAUGACAAUUCAAUUUUUUUUCCUUUUUAUUUGUUUUGAUUUUCAUUUUCAUUUUUUCAUUUUUAGUUUUUUUUCUCCCUUUAUUUUUUACUAGAUCAAUUGUUUCAGUGAAAAAAACUCAUCGGAUGUGCCCACAUGACAUCCUAUUUUAUUUUUUGAUUCUUUUUUUUUAAUUAGACAAAUAAUACAGUAAAAAAAUCAGUAUAUAAAUUUUAUAAGAUAAAAAUCAAUUGAAGUAUAGACAACAAAAUAUCUUGUAUCCGAUAUGUUUUGAUUCCUAUGGAUCAAUCGGUGUGCUUUUUCUUUUUUUUUAAUUUAGGAUUGGAAACCUUAAAAAAUAUGAAUUAUUACCAAAUUACAAUAGUAUCAUCUACUAAAAUAAUUUUGUAAGAAACCUUAUGAAGUAAGAAACGGAAAACUUAUAAUUGAAAAAUGAAUUAAUUAAUAGUAGGAUAGAAAAAUAAUUUAAAAGAUUACAAUUAGUAAUUUCAUAAUCAAAUAAAUGAAUUUUUUUUAAAUUAAUGUAAAGCUAUGUUUUCUAAACCAAAGAAAUGCACAAAUGACACUACAAAUUGAUCCUUCAUAUAUGCCUCACAAACAUUUUAAUAAAAUUACAAAAAAAAAUUUAACUAUUUCCAAAAAUAAAAUCUUGAUAUAUAUAAUUUUGCUAAAUAAGGUAUUUAAACUUUUGAUAAAUGAAAUCUUACUUGAAAUCCUGCAAUUAAUUAACUAAUUUUGAUAGUUUAGUUUUCAUUAAAGUGUAAUUUUCUUUUGCUUGCUAAGACCAACAUCUAUAUGUACUUUAAUUUUUUUGUCAAAUAGCUAUAGUUUUAUCAAAAUCAUUUUCAUCUAUACUUACAUAUAAGCACGUGCAAAAACAAAUGCAUAAAUGUGUGUAAAAUUAAAAAGAAUUAAGCAUUUAAUUAGAUUCAUAUAUAUAGAUAUAUAUAUAUAUAUACAUACACAUACACACACUAUCUGUAUUCCUCAUAAAUAGGUUGAUUUUCAAGUUUUCUCGAAACCUUUUAUCAUGUUUUUAAGUAAUAAAAAUAUUAGUGUAUGGUUCAUAAUAGUACGAUAACAUGUUCAUGGUAUUUGAUACACACAAUAUAACUUGCAAGCAUGUAAAAUUACACAGAUUUGAAUAAAAACAGGGGGUUUUAUUUUAUUUUAAUUUUAGCAUGUUUUUGAGAUAACAUGAAGGAAAAAGACCCAAAGCUAUAUAUUUAUUUUCAUCAGUCAUAAGCAUCCCCCAUACUUAGGCUGAAAGUUGAUCCAUCAGCACUCAAACGGAACUGCUGAAGCCUUUAUUGUAAGCAUAUUCAAUAAGGGAAUCCAACUCAUCAUUGGUGCAGUCGAUCAAAUUGUCCUUAUUUUUAUCAGCAACGUCCAUGGCCUCUUCGACUUGCUUGUUUGGCGUGAGUGCACCUAGAUGUUGAAAAGCAUCCUUGAGCUGGUCCCUGGUGAGGCUGCCCUGCUUAGAGUAAGAUCGAAACACCUGUUCCAAUUUGUUUUUCUGAUCCUUGUUAUCCUUUGUGGCUUGCAUUGUGGAUUUUGAGGUUAUGACAGGGUGAUAUUAGAGAGAAGGCUUGCCUAGCUUGGUUUGGUUUUCUUUUUCCAACGCAAUUCGUUUAUAUAGACCCAAAACUUUGAAUACGAUUCUGUUGAAGUAUAGGGGUAUAAAACAUUAUUUGGUGGUGGGUUUUAAUAAUUGAUUUCCGUCCUCUUUAUCAAUAAAAGUAUUAAAUCAAUCAAUAAAUUUUUGUAAUGAACACUUCAACCAUGAGGAUUGGUACGAAUAAAAAUAUUAAUGUUAAUUUCUUCUUUUCUUCUGGCUUCAAAUUAACCACAGAUUGAAAAAUGCUAAAUAGCAGCCUCCACUAUCUUGUGUUGUAGUGAUGAUACAAGCCUCCACUAUCUUGUGUCCAUUUUCUAUUGUUUCAUUUGUUUUAGCCCUCAAUUUGCAGUUUAGUUUUUAGUUUUUUUUUUUUUUGUGGUUGCCUGAUUAAAUGAUACAUUUUGGUUUUAAUGAAUUUCCAGAAUUUGGUAGAGCUCGUGAAAGGAGUUCUAGAAAGCACUUUGAUGAGCAUGCUUGAAAUUUGUGAUAAUUAUUGUGAAUGAAUGUUAAGUUAUCAAAAAAUAAAUAAGUUUAGUUUUAGGACUUUCUUUCUUUUAUUGUUUGCUAUGAGCAAACUACUGUUAAACUAAUUAUUUGCAUUGUACCACUUCCAGGAAUCGUGGCUUUAGUGGGUUAAAACUGUGUCCAUGUUUCUCUCUCGUAUGCUCUUAAUCUGGGUAGGAUAGAACUAAGUUUGGGCUAUUUCAAUUCCUUCGCACCUUUUUUCCCCUGUACUGUAAUAUUUUCUCAACCGCCCUUUUCAAGGGGAAAGCUGUAAUAUAUAUUUUUUAUAUUUUUUCUUUUUUUUAAAUUGGAUAAUUUUGUAAAAAAAAUUAUAUUGAUGGAAGUGUCUACAUGGCAUUCAGAUUUAAUUUUUUGAAUCCUUUAUUUUUUUAUAAAUCUUUAUCUUUAACAAGUUCAUAAUAAAAAUUUUUACAAGAAUAGAUCAUCAUUGCUAAUAUUGUGUGACAAUUUAAUUUUUUUUUGUUUUCAUUUUCGUUUUAUUUUUUUUUUUUGGUUUUUUUUCUCCCUUUAUUUUUUAUUAGAUCAAUUGUUUCAGCAAAAAAAAAAAAAAACCCAAUGGAUAUGCCCAUGUGCCAUCUUAUUUCAUUUUUUGCCUUUCAUUAUUUUUGUAAUUAGAUAAAUAUUACAAUAAAAAAAUCAGUAUAUAAAUUUUUUAAGAUAAAAAUCCAUUGAGGUAUAGACCACAAAAUAUCUUGUAUCCUAUAUGUUUCGUUUCCUGUGAAUCCAAUCGGUGUGCUUUUUUUUAAAAAAAAAAUUUAGGAUCAGAAGCCUUAAAAAAUAUGAAUUAUUACCCAAUUAUAAUAGCAUCAUCUACUAAAAUAAUUUUGUAAGAAACCUUUAUGAAAUAAGAAACGGAAAACUUAUAAUUGAAAAAUGAAUUAAUUAAUAGUAGGAUAGAAAAAUAAUUUAAAAAAUUACAAUUAGUAAUUUCAUAAUCAAAUAAAUGAUUUUUUUUAAAAUUAAUGUAUAACUAUGUUUUCUAAACCAAAGCAAUACACAAAUGACCCACAAAUUAAUCCUUUCUAUAUACCUCGCAAACAUUUUAAUAAAAUUACAAAAAAAUUUUAACUAUUUCCAAAAAUAAAAUCUUGAUAUUUAUAAUUUUGCUAAACAAGUUAUUUAAACUUUUGAUAAUUGAAGUUAUCUUUAUAAAUGAAAUCCCACUUGAAAUCUUGCAACUAAUUAACCCAUUUUGGUAUUUCAAUUCUCAUCCAGAUAUAUCUUUCUUUUGCUGCUGAGACCAGCAACAAUAUGUACUUUAAUUUUUUUUGUCAAAUAGCCUUAAUUUUAUAAAAAUUAUUUUGUCUAUACUUAUAUAUAUGCACGUGCAAAAACAUAUGCAUAAGUGUGUGUAAAAAUAAAAAGAAUUAAGCAUUUAAAUUAGAUUGAUAUAUAUAUAUACACACUAUCUGCUUUCCUUCGAAAAGGUUGACUUUCGAAUUUCUUCAAACCUUUUAUCAUGUUUUUAAGUAAUAAAAAUAUUAGUGUAUAGUUUAUAAUAGUUUGAUCAACGUGUUCAUGAUAUUUGAUACACACAAUAAACUUGCAAGUAUGUAAAAUAACACCAGAUUUAAAUAAAAUAGGGGUUUUAAAUUUUUAUUUUAAUUUUAUCAUCCUUUUGAGACAACAUGAAAGAAAAAGACCCAAAAGAUAUAUAAUUUAUUUUUCGUCAGUCAUAGCGUCCCCCAAUAACUUUAGGCUGAAAGUUGAUCCACCAGCACUCAAACAGAACCACUUGAAGCCUUUAUUGUAAGCAUAUUCAAUAAAGGAAUCCAACUCAUCAUUGGUGCAGUCGAUCAAAUUGUCCUUAUUUUUAUCAGCAACGUCCAUGGCCUCUUCGACUUGCUUGUUUGGCGUGAGUGCACCUAGUUAUUGAAAAGCAUCCUUGAGCUGGUCCCUGGUGAGGUUGCCCUGCUUAGUGUUGGGGAACACCACAGCUCUGGUAUCAUUUGUUGGGCUAAAAGCCUCCAAUCUAAUCACACCAGCAGAAGCAAAUCAAACAAUAAAUCAAACACACAAGAGACAACAAUUUAACGUGGUUCGAUCAACUACCUAUAUCCACGGAUGAGAAAUAAGAUCCACUAGUUGUAGAGAAUUACAAACAUACAUCAAAUCAUCAACCUCACUCAACAAUCAAUACUCAUAAGACACUCUCAAUCUCCUCUAGUCUUAUAGAGUAUUCUCAACCCAAACAAACACAAACCCAAACCUUUAUGCACUCUUUCAACAUAACCAAACACAUACGCAUAUGCUCCCAUACAUCAUACCUAUGUGGACCCUCUCAGUCUCCUCUAAUCCACUCACAAACAAACAUACACACCCAUAAGACGUAGAGUCCCAAUACUCUUAUGAGGUGUCUAUCCUACAAAACCCUACAACUCUCUUACAUCUUUUUUCUCAUACCUAACCCUGUAGAGACUUCACCUAUUUAUAACCAUACAAACUUGCCCAUUAAGAAUCCCUCUCCUCUUAGAAUUCUUCUCCUGUAAGUCAAACAUGCCUAUUAAGAAUCCCUUUCCUUUUAGAAUUCUUCUCUUGCAAGUCAAACUUACCUAUUAAGAAUCCUCUUUCUCUUGGAAUUCUUCUUUUGCAAGUCUUCUUGUCCAUCAAGCAAUAUCUGACAAAUCUCAAACAAAUCUCUAACAAAUCUCAAAGAAAUCUCUUAUGGGAUUUGAGUCAAUAUUCCUAACAAUCUCCCCCUUGACUCAAAUUCCAUCAAUCAUCUGUCUUCAUGCUAGACAUGCUUGGCUCCACCUGCAAUGGAAGUCUUACAAUCAUCUUCUCUUUUCUUGUGUCUCACGCUUUAUACAAACCAAUCUUCAAUCUUCAAAACUCGAACUCGAACUCUUCUCUUGAAUUGAGCUCCUCUAAAUUUAUUUCUUUUCAUGUCUUAAACCAAGCUUUUCCCAUAUCUCAAACUGUCAACUAUUCUCAUGUCUCGAACUAUCGACUCUUUCCACAUCUUGAAUCUUCAACUCUUCUCACGUUUCGAACCUUCAGCUUUGAUACCACUUGUUGGGGAACACCACAGCUCUGAUACCAUUUGUUGGGCUAAAAGCCUCCAAUCCAAUCACACCAGCGGAAGUAAAUCAAACAAUAAAUCAAACACAUAAGAGACAACAAUUUAACGUGGUUCAGUCCAACUACCUACAUCCACGGAUGAGAAACAAGAUCGACUAGUUGUAGAGAAUUACAAACAUACAUCAAAUCAUCAAUCUCACUCAACAAUCAAUACUCAUAAGACACUCUCAAUCUCUACUAGUCCUAUAGAGUAUUCUCAACCCAAACAAACACAAACCUAAGCCCUUAUACACUCUUUCAACAUAACCAAACACAUACCCAUAUGCUUCCAUACAUCAUACCUAUGUGGACCCUCUCAGUCUCCUCUAAUCCACUCACAAACAAACAUACGCACCCAUAAGACGUAGAGUCCCAAUACUCCUAUAGGGUGUCUAUCCUACAAAACCCUACAACUCUCUUACAUCUUUUUUCUCAUACCUAACCCUGUAAAGAGUUCACCUAUUUAUAACCAUACAAACUUGCCCAUUAAGAAUCCCUCUCCUCUUAGAAUUCUUCUCCUGUAAGUCAAACAUGCCUAUUAAGAAUCCCUUUCCUUUUAGAAUUCUUCUCUUGCAAGUUAAACUUACCUAUUAAGAAUCUUCUUUCUCUUGGAAUUAUUCUUUUGCAAGUCUUCUUGUCCAUCAAGCAAUAUCUGACAAAUCUCAAACAAAUCUCUAACAAAUCUCAAACAAAUCUCUUAUGAGAUUUGAGUCAAUAUUCUUAACAAUCUGCACAUUGACUCAAAUUCCAUCAAUCAUCUGUCUUCAUGCUAGACAUGCUUGGCUGCACCUACAAUAGAAGUCUUACAAUCAUUUUCUCUUCUCUUGUGUCUUUACGCUUCAUACAAAUAAAUCUUCAAUCUUUAAAACUCGAACUCGAACUCUUCUCUUGAAUUAAGCUCCUCUAAAUUUAUUUCUUUUCAUGUCUUAAACCAAGCUUUUCCCAUAUCUCAAACUGUUAACUAUUCCCAUGUCUCGAACUAUCGGCUCUUUCCACAUCUUGAAUCUUUAACUCUUCUCACGUUUCGAACCUUCAGCUCUGAUACCACUUGUUGGGGAACACCACAGCUCUGAUACCAUUUGUUGGGCUAAAAGCCUCCAAUCCAAUCACACCAACGAAAGCAAAUCAAACAAUAAAUCAAACACACAAGAGACAAUAAUUUAACGUGAUUCGAUCAAACUACCUACAUCCACGGAUGAGAAACAAGAUCCACUAGUUGUAGAGAAUUACAAAUAUACAUCAAAUCAUUAACCUCACUAAACAAUCAAUACUCAUAAGACACUCUCAAUCUCCUCUAGUCCUAUAGAGUAUUCUCAACCCAAACAAACACAAACCCAAACCCUUGUGCACUCUUUCAAUAUAACUAAACACAUACCCAUAUGCUCCGAUACAUCAUACUUAUGUGGACCCUCUCAGUCUCCUCUAGUUCACUCACAAACAAACAUACACACCCAUAAGACGUAGAGUCCCAAUACUCUUAUGGGGUGUCUAUCCCAUAAAAUCCUACAACUCUCUUACAUCUUUUUUCUCAUACCUAACCCUGUAGAGACUUCACCUAUUUAAAAUCAUACAAACUUGCCCAUUAAGAAUCCCUCUUCUCUUAAAAUUCUUCUCCUGUAAGUCAAACAUGCCUAUUAAGAAUCCAUUUCCUUUUAGAAUUCUUCUCUUGCAAGUCAAACUUACCUAUUAAGAAUCCUCUUUCUCUUGAAAUUCUUUUUUUGCAAGUCUUCUUGUCCAUCAAGCAAUAUCUGACAAAUCUCAAACAAAUCUCAAACAAAUCUCUUAUGAGAUUUGAGUCAAUAUUCCCAACACUUAGAGUAAGAUCAAAACACUUGUUCCAAUUUGUUUUUAUGAUCCUUGUUAUCCUUUGUGGCUUGCAAUAUGGAUUUCGAGGUUUAUGACUGGGUGAUAUUAGAGAGAAUGCUUGUCUAGCUUGGUUUGGUUUUUUUUUCCAACGUAAUUUGUUUAUAUAAACCCAAAACUCGAUUUGUAUUCCGUUGAAGUGUAGGGGAAUAAAAUCUUUUUUUGUGUUGGUUUUUAAAAUUUGAUUUCGAUUGAAAGGAAACGAUAUAAUUGUAUGACAAUUUCUUCAUUUGAAUUUUUUUUAAGUAUCCAUUUUAUUAAUAAAAUUAAUAUAUCAAUCAAUAAAUUUUUAUAAUGAAUACACAUAAGCAAAUAUUCCAAGAGGAUUGGUACGAAUAAGAAUAUUAAUGUUGGCUUGAAAUUAACCACAGAUUGGAAAAUGCUAAGCGUAGUGAUAGCGGCCUCCCUUUCUUAUGUCCUAGUGAUGAUAGCAGCCUCCACUAUCUUGUAUCCAUUUUCUAUUGUUUCUUUUGAUUUUGCAGGUGAAAAGGCUAGACAAUGAAGUCAGGAGUAAGGAAUCUAAACUCUCACCCUAUCCAAAUUUGAGCUGUUUCUACAUGAAAAAGUUUGAAAAGAAUCGUCUUGUUGCUCCUGGUUGGACAGAGCUUGAUCAUACACAUUGAUUUUCUAAAAACUUAUAAUUUGAUGAAAGUGUCUUGUCUGUAGGAUAAUUUGAUAUUAUUGGUUAAAAAUAUUGUUAUAACAUAUAGAUUUAUGGACCCAUUAUAGACAUAAACUUUAAGAGUCGUUACUAUUUUUUUUUUGUUUAGGUGCAAUUAACCAUUUAACUGAAUCUAUCUUAUUUAAAGAGUAUAUCUAAGAUAGACUUAGGCAUUUUUAAAUAGUAGAUUCUAAAAUCAAUGAAAUCAGAUUUAAGGUUCAAGAGUGCAAUUAUGCAUGAAGAAGUUUAUAGCACCCUUACAGUGCCUAUCCAAAAAAUGGUAUCAGUUUAAUUUCAAAUUAUCUAAACCUUGAAAUAUUCUUUAAUUAUACCCAGUAAUUUAAUUAUUAAAAAUUAAUCCUAAAAUUACUCUAAUAGUUUAGUAGCAAUGUAAGAUAAUUUUCUUACCUUAAGAGUAUUCAUAGAGACAAUGUCUCACUCUAAAGAGACUCCGUUGUUGAAUUUAUUAAUAUAUUUUAUGUAAAAAAUAAUUAGUAAAAUCCUCCAAUAGUUUGGUAAGAUUUUACUUUGGUGCAAAUCUCCCAAUAGUUUGGUGAGAUUUUAUAUGAAAAUCAUUUAUAAAAUUUUGUUUUGAUGUAGAAUUCUAAAUAGUUUAGUGAGAUUUUAUUUGAAAAUUAUUUAUAAAACUUUACUUUGAGAAAAUUCAUUAAAUCUUCUAAUUUGGUAAGAUUUAAUUCAAGAUUUUUAUCCUCUAAUAAUUAGUAAGAUUAAAAGUAUAUUAUUUUAUUUUAUUUUAAAAAUUCAUUAAAUCCUCCAAUAGUUUGGUAAGACUUAAUUCAAGAUUUAAAUAUUUCAAUAGUUUGGUAGGAUUGAAAAUUUAUUAUUAAAGAAAUUACAUUAUGAAAUUUGUCAUAACGUCUAGAUCCGAAGAUCUAUCGCUAGACAUUGACUUAAGAAGUUGUCACCAAUCUUUUUUAUCUAGGUGUGAUUGGCCACCUAAGGAAUAUAUCCUUUCAGGGAACAUCUAAGUUUAAAAGUCCCUAAAAAAAUAGGUUCAGGUCUACUAACCAGAACAGGGUUUGGGAGUUCGAUUACGUGUGAGGAAGGUUAUAGCACCCUCACAACGCCCAUCGAAAGAUGGUAUCAGCUUAAUUUUAUGUUAUACAAUAAGCUUUAAAAAUUUACCAAGUAAUUAAUUAUUUAAAAUUAUUCUCAAUUGACUUUAAUACUUUUAGCAGAAAAUUGAAAAAAUUCCCUCACCUUAAGAGUAUGCAAAAAAACUACUGUUUCACUUACAGAGGCUCUAUCGUCAGAUUAUUUAACAUUAAAAAAAUUCAAGAAAAUAAAAAAAAAAUGAUUGCUUUAGAUAUAAACUCUUUUCUCUUCAAGAAUUCAUUGCUUUUAUACAAGGAAAAUUGAUAUUUUCAACUUUUCCUCAAAAAUAUUUUUUAGAAAGCUUAUUUUCAAGGAAAAUUGAUACUUUCAACUUUUCAUCAAAAAUAUUUUUUAGAAAGCUUAUUUUCAAGGAAAAUUGAUACUUUCAACUUUUUCCCAAAAAUAUUUUUUAGAAAAACUUAUUUUCAAGAAAAAUUGAUACUUUCAACUUUUCCCAAAAAUAUUUUUUAGAAAGCUUAUUUUCAAGGAAAUUUGAUACUUUCAACUUUUCCUCAAAAGAAUUUUUUUUUGAAUUUUAUUUAAAGAAAAUAAUAAAAUAAAAUAAAAUAAAAAUAAAAAUAAAGAUAAAAAUAGAAUAAAAUAAAAUGAGAUAAAAUAAGAAAUACUAAAUAAUUCUAAUCUAAUAAAUAAUAAUAAUAAUAAUAAAAAUAAUAAUAAAUAAAUAAUAAUAAAAUGAGAAAAAAACCUGGGAACGGCUUGGCUCGGCUCAGCUUGAGGAAGAAAAACGGCUCGGAGAUGCGGCUCGGCUCAGCUCGACUUUGCACUCGGGUCACACGCAGGUCGCACGCGGUUUGGCGCUCGGGUCGGGUUGCCCAAUUUCAAAACGCGUGGAUCCUUUGGGAACAGUAAUGCCAAAACGACGUCGUUUUCAACAAGUAUAAAAGGCUCAUUCUUCUGUUUUUCAAUAGACCGAUCUUUUCCUCUCUCUCUCUUCCCUUCCUUUCCUCUCCUAUCUCUCUAAACAGACGAAGAACUCCGGUUGAAUUUCAUCAGAUUCUGGAAAAUGUCAUCGAAAUCUGGGUUUUUCACCAGAAAUUCAUCGAAAAGUUGAUCGAUUUCUGGAAAUAGUCGCCAAAAACUGGGUAGCUGACCGAAAAAUUCAAACUUGGCCUGAAAAUUCACCGAAAAAUUUAAACUUGACCGAAAAAUUCAAUCGGAAUCUAUAAAUUUUUCAGAAAUUUUCAGAAAAAAAUUUGCCAAAAUUCUAAAAAAUUUUUGAAAUUACUUUGGCCCUUCUGAACGCUUUUUUUUUUCUUUUUGCUCUUUUUCUCAAUCAGUCUCUGUGUUUCUGUUCUAGUCUUUAUGAUUCAUGGAUCUAUUUAUAGGGAUUGAUCAGAAAAGUUUCUGAUCAAUCCCAACUCCUCCUUGGAUUGGGAUUCAAUCCUUGAAUCCAAUAUAGACUCUGAUUGAAUCCUAAAUCUAUGGUAGAAUUCCAAAUUUCCAUCCCAAUCCCAGCCGAAUAAAAAGAAAAAGAAAAUCAAAUCAAAUAAAAAAAUGUUAAUAGAUAAUUUAAAAAAAUAAUUAGAUAAAUAAAAAUGUUAAUAGAUAAAUAAUAAUAAUAAUAAAUAUAUAAAUAGAUAAGUAAUAAUAAAAAAUAUAUAUUAAUAAAUAGUAAUAAUAAAUAAAUAAAUAAUAAAUAAAUACAAAAAAUACAAAAAUACAAAAUACAUAAUAAAAACAAAAUAAAACAAAUUGAAAUGGGCUUACCCAUUUGGACCAGGCCCAAUUGAUCUGGGCUUGGACCAAAUUAGGUGUCUACAGCUGCCCCUCUUUGCAUAUUUUCUGUGAAACAGAAAUUGUGCAAAGAUGUAGACACCCAUUCAAAACUCCACUCGACCUUUUUUUCUUUUUUGCUUUUUUUCGUUAAAAUUUUGAUCAAAAUUCCUCUAAGCAGAGGCUCAACAACUUUAAAAAACAUAAACAAAGCUCCUCUAAUCAGAGGCUCAAAGACUUUGAAAAUAAUAAACAAAGCUCCUUUAAUGAGAGGCUCAACGACUUUGAAAAUAAAUAAACAAAGCUCCUCUAAUCAGAGGCUUAACGACUUUUGGGAAGUAAAUUGCUCGUCUAAUCAGAGGCUCUAUGACUUUUGAAAAGUAAAUUACUCCUUUAAUCAAAGGCUCUACGACUUUGAAAAAUAAACAAAGCUCCUCUAAUCAGAGGUUCAACAACUUUUGAAAAUAAAUUGCUCCUCUAAACAGAGGCAUGACAACUUUGAAGAAUAGAUUGCUCCUCUAAUCAGAGGUAUCACAACUUUGGAAAAUAAAUUGCUCCUUGACAAUCAUGUUCAAAGGAGUUGAAAAUUGUGUUUGAAGGAAUUUCAGGAGAUUAUGCCCAAAGGUCUUACAAAUCAACCCUGAUACUGAGAGACAUCCUAUUUCAAGGAUUAGAAACUUACCUGACAAGCUUUUUUCUCAAAUUUAAAAAUGUUUUUACAUCCGUCUUAUCUAUGUGGGAUGUUAGAAUACCCCUGCUUCUUGAAUUUAUGCACUAUAUUUUCUUGAAUGUAGUAUAUACUAUGCAAUGCAUGUGAAAUUCAAUGCACGCUAUGCAAAUGUUGGCUAAUUAAUUCCUAUUUAAUUGUGGUACUCAAGUUUCUUAAGCUCUUUUUUUGGGCAUCACCCUUUAUUCUUCAAAGAUCAAAUUACGCUGCUCUUCUAAGAUCGAGCCAGUAUAGCUCUCAAUCAUCUCUUCCACUCACAUUCUUCCUAUAAGAAAUCUCUUUCCAAAUUUAAUAUCCUUAUCAGGAACUGAACAUCUCAAUUCUACUUUUAUCACUCUUGACUUCUUCAAUGCAAUGUAAAAAUCUUUCAUGCCAUUAUUCAUUUAUCAAUCAUUAUUUCAAACUCAACAAGUAAGAAUGCAUUUGCACAUUUCUUCGAUUGUAGAGUAUUAAGAAGAAAAGAAUAAGAAUGGUUGAAAAACUAUCAACAAAAAAGGCACACAAAAAGUGAAAUAGAAUGUUUUUUUUAUUAGCAAAAUGCUGGCAAACUUUGUCCAAGGAAGAAUUACAAGGAUAAGUAUAGGGAGACAAAGCCCAAAAAUGAACAAUAGGACAAUCAUGAUAACACAUCUCAAGGUUUUCUGAAAACCCAACCAUCUGAUGCAUUUAACAACUCAGAGCUCCUCCGAAUUUGCUAACCUCUACGCCAAUAGAUUUUUCAAAUUUGAUGCUAUAUUCUCCUUAUCUAAGCUUCCUUUUUAGGUUUUCAACUUAGAUAAACCCCUAUGACUCAAACUGCCCUUUUAAGGUUUUUGCCUUGAGUCCUCAUUUUUCAUUCACUUUUUUUUCUUUUUUUUCAUUUUUCAUUUUUUUCAUUUCAUUUUUUCUCUUUUUUUUUUCAAGCAUAGUAUUUCUUCACAGCAUCAAAAUUUAUAGGAUGGGGUAAAUCAUUUCUAUCCAUUUCAGUCAGUAUUAGUGUUCCACCCAAGAAAGCCUGUUUCACUACAUAUGACCUUUUCUAAUUCAGAGUCCAUUUUCCUCUAUUAUUAUGCUGGAUUGGAAGGAUUCUCUUCAAGACCAACUCUCUUUCUCGAAAGCAAUGGGGUCGAAUCUUUUUUGUCAUGAGCCCUCAUCAUUCUUUUUUGAUAUAACUGACCAUGGCACAAUGUAGUCAAUCUCUUUUUUUCUAUGAAAUUUAACUGUUCAUAGCGUUCUCAAAUCCAUUCAGCUUUUUUCAACUCAACUUUUUUUAGAACCCUUUAAGGAUGGGAUCUCCACUUCCACUAGUAGUACAGCUUCCAUCCUAUAAACCAAAAAAAAUGAAGUUGUCCUAAUAGAGGUAUGCACUGAUGUUUGAUAUGCAUGCAGUGCAAAUGAUAACUUCUCAUGCCAAUCUUUAUAAGUCUCAGUCAUCUUCUCAAAAAUUCUUUUUAUGUUCUUGUUGGCUGUCUCAACUGCCCUAUUCAUUUUUGGACAGUAUGGUGUCAAGUUAUAAUGCUUGAUCUUGUAUUGAGCACAUAUUUCUUGCAUCAUCUUACUAUUUAGAUUCUUGGUAUUAUCUAAAAUAAUUCUCUCUGGAAGUCUAUAUCGACAGAUAAUCUCUCUCUUUAUGAAUUUACAAACCACAAAUCAUGUUACAUUUGCAUAUGAUGCUACUUUCACCCAUUUUAUGAAGUAAUCUAUUAUCACAAAAAUAAAUUUAUGCCCAUUAGAAGCCUUUGGGAUGAUAGGACCAAUGACAUCCAUGUCCCACAUUGAGAAUGGCCAAGGUGGUGCCAUAAUAUGUAAAAUAGAUGGCGAAGCAUGAAUUUUAUCAGCAUAUAUCUAGCCUUUAUGGCAUUUACGAGCAUAGUCAAUGCAAUCACUCUCCAUUGUCAACCAGUAGUAUUCUGCUCUUAUGAUCUAUCUCGUCAUCAUAUGUCCACUGGCAUGUGCCCCACAUAUUCCAUCAUGUAUCUCUUCAAUGAUUUUUCUUGCUUCAACCUUACUUACACAUCUUAGUAAUACUUGAUCAUGGCUUUUUUUGUACAGAACAUCCCCAUCUAGGAAAAAACUCAUAGCUAAUCUUUGGAUGACCCUUUUAUCAUUUUUUAUUGCUUGAACUAGGUAUUGUUGAUCCUUAAUAUACUAUAAGAUAUCAUAAUACCAGGGCUUUCCAUCCUCCUCUUCUUCUACAUUAGAGCAAUGAGCUGGCAUAUCCUUAACAUCUAGCCUGAUGGGCUAAAUGUCAAUAUUGUCAUUAAUUCGAAUCAUUGCGGCUAGAGUAGCUAAGGUAUUGAUAGUCAGAUUCUUUUUUCGAGGUAAAUGAUCAAACUGGAUAUCUUUAAAUUGUUUUAUCAACUCUAAAAUAUACUUAUGAUAUGGAACGAGUUUUGAAUCUCUCGUCUCUCAUUCCUCUUUCAACUGAUAUAUAACUAGAGCUAAAUCCCCAAACACUUUUAAUGCUUUCACUCUUCUAUCUAUAGCAGCUUGUAGGCCCAUGACACAUGCCUCAUAUUUAGUAAUGUUAUUUGUGCAAUUAAAAUUUAACCUUGCUAUUAUAAGACAGUAUUGUUCUUUUAGGGAGAUCAGAAUUGCUCCAAUUUCAUGUUCCAAGGCAUUGGUAGCUCUAUCAAAAUACAUUCUCCAACACUUUUCUCCAUGCCUCCCUUUCUCCAAUUGGAAAAUAGUUAUUAGAUCUUCAUUAGGGAAUUCUAACCUCAUUGGUUCAUAUUCUUCAAUAGCAUGAUCUGUGAGGAACUCCGCUAUAGCGCCUUCUUUUAUUGUCUUUUGGCUUACAUAUAUAAUAUCAUACUCCGAGAGCAUUACUUGCCAUCUAACAAUUCUUUCAAAUAAAAAAGGCUUUCGAAGAUGUAUUUAAUUGGAUCCAGUUUUACUAUAAGCCAUAUGAUAUGAUAGAGCAUAUAUUGUCUGAGUCUUUUGGCAGUCCACGUUAAUGCACAAUAUAUUUUCUCCAAUGAGGAAUACUUGGAUUCAUAUUCUGUGAACUUUUUACUCAGAUAAUAAAUAGCUCUCUCUUUUUAGUUAGACUCAUCUUGUUGCUCCAGCACACAUCUCAUUAAAUUUUCACACACUGUUAAGUAUAAAAUUAAAGGUUUCCCUGGAAUAAGUGGCACCAACACUGGAGGAUUUGACAAGUAUUGCUUAAUUUUAUCAAAAGCCACUUGACAUUCUUCAUUCUAUUUUUCAAGAUUAUUCUUACAGAGAAGCUUAAAUAUGGGAUCAUAUUUAUAAGUAAGUUGAGAGAUAAAUCGAGAAAUAUAAUUCAAUCUUCUCAGAAAACCUCGAACCUCCUUUGGUGUACUCAUAGGUGACAAAUUUUGAAUGACCCGUAUCUUGUCUGGAUCGACUUCAAUUCCUCUUUCACUGACCAUAAAACCUAGUAACUUCCCUGACUUUACCUCAAAUGUGCACUUGGCUAGGUUUAAUUUAAGCUGAAACCUUUUCAAUCUCUCAAAUAACUUUCUGAGGCUGGUGAUAUGAUCUUCAUUCUCACAAGAUUUUAUAAUCAUAUCGUCUACAUACACCUCAAUCUCUUUGUGCAUCACGUCAUGGAAGAGUGUUACCAUGACCCUUUGAUAUGUUACCCCAGCAUUUUUUAACCCAAAAGGCAUGACUUUGUAACAAAAGGUUCCCCAUAUGGUCACGAAAGUAAUUUUUUUCAUAUCAUCUGCAGCCAUUUUUAUCUGAUUAUACCUUGAGAACCCAUCCAUAAAGGAAAAAAUUAAAUGCCUAGCCAUGUUAUCUACCAGUGUGUCGAUAUACGAUAAAAGAAAGUUAUCCUUUGGACUAGCCUUAUUCAAAUCACGAUAGUCUGCACACAUUCAUACCUUUCCAUCUUUUUUAAGAACCGGUACUAUAUUGGCUACCCACUCUAGAUACUUAGCCAUUUGUAGAAAACCUGCAUCAAACUAUUUUUUCACCUCUUCUUUGAUCUUUAGUAGCAUUUCAAGCUUCAUUCACCUCAGUUUCUGUUAAACUGGCUUACAUUAUGAUUUUAGAGGCAAUCUGUGCUCUACUAUCUCCGUGCUUAGUCCUGGCAUAUUUUGGUAAGACCAAGCAAAUACAUCCAUGAAUUCCCUAAGUAGAUCUGCCAAAUGUUGUUUAUCUUCUGAUGAAAGUGAAGUGCCAAUUUUGACAUCUUUCUUAUUCUCUUCAUUUCUCAGAUUCACCAAGUUAACUAUCCCUGAUGAGGCUCAAUUGACUUAUUUCUUGUUCAAUCAAUCUUAUUAGGUCCGAAAGCAUAACAUAUUCCUCAUAAUUCUCUUCAUUGUCAAGUUCAUCAGUGUUAAUUGAAUUCUCAAAACUAACCUCUUAAUUGUUAUCAUAAUUAUCUUCAUGUUUAUUUAAGGACCUAAAAUUGUAUGAAAUGAGAUAUGUUGACAAGAUUUGUUUGAGAAAAUGGCAAUAAUAAAAACACAAGAAGAAAUGAAUGAAAAUGCAUCCUUCUAAAUUUUUAUUAAAAUAAUAAAAGAUAAAUGGCGCAAACAAGAAAGAUCAUCCUAAUGUCUUGGGCAAUAGCUAUUGGGAUGUUACAAUUAUAUUGUAUUAAUUUCAAAAGUCACAGACACUUCAAUGGCACUGCAAUUGUUUAGCUCAUAAUUUGGUGGACCCACCCCUUUUGAUUAAGCCCUACUUCAUCUUUAAUAGCAUUAAUGGUUAACUGGGCAAAAGCCCUUUCCAUGCUUUUUUCUGUAUUUGAAUACAUGAAUCCUCCAGGUCUAAAAGUCUCAUACAGGUGUGGGAUAACCAUUAGUCUUACUAUUUUUUCUACUGGCCUUCUCUUGAUUUCUCAUUUUACUAUCUCAUAGCCUAAGCCUAACCUUUCACUAUUGUCUAUCACUGUCGGGGGUUCUUUUAUUCCUUGCAAGUUCUUGCCCAGCCUUAAUCCUGGAUACCAGCCCUUAUUGAUGACUUGGCUUAUCACUAUCCUUGAAAAAGAUUAAUUUUUAAGUCCUUCACCUAUACAAUUAACCAAUUCAAAAGAUCGAUAGGAGCAUUCUACUACUUUUUCGAUAGCCUUUACAUACAGAGCAUUCAAGGUUGGGUCACUAGCAUGUCUUCCUCCCAACUACCACUACUAAUUGACCUUUUACAUUAAACUUGAUCUUUUAGUGUAAAGUAGAGGGCACAGCACCUGCCAUGUGAAUCCAUGGCCUUUUUAGUAGACAACUGUAGGAGGAAGAGAUAUCCAUCACUUAAAACUUCACAUUAAAAGUGUAUGGCCCUAUUUGCAAGGACAUCUCGAUAUCUCUCAAGACCUCUCUUUUGGUUCUAUCAAAAGCUCUCACGAUCAUCUGACUGUCUUUCAUAUGAGAGUAGUCAAUGGGUAACCUUGCCAAAGUUAACAUAGGCAUGACGUUGAUAGCGGAGCCAUUAUCAAUAAGGACUUUAGCUAUGAUAUGGCUCUUGCACUUGACUGUGAUAUGCAAAGCCUUGACAUUUCUUCUUCCCUCCGAGGAAAUUUCAUCAUCGUUGAAUGAAAUGUAAUUCAAUAUGACUAGAUUUCUAACUAGGUGGUUCACAUAUUUAACAGAUAAAUUAUGUGCCACAUAUGCCUGGUUCAAUACUUUCAGCAGGGUGUUUCGAUGUGGCUUCGAAUUUAAUAAUAGUGAUAGUAAUGAAAUUCGUGUUGGCAUUUUAUUCAACUGUUCAACAACUGAAUACUCACUAUGUUUUACCAGCUUCAGGAAUUCACAAGCUUUUUUUUCUAACACCAACUUCGGACGAUCUUCCUCAGGUUCUACUUCAAGGUUAUUUUGUCCUUCUCCUUCAUUAGCCUUCUCUCUUCUAGCUUUCUCUAAUAUUUUUAGAGUGUAACAUCUUUCACUUCGGGUAAUACCUCUUACACUAGUUAUAUUGGAAGUGUCAGCUUUAGAGACAUCCCCUUCUUACCCCUGAACUACUGUAUCGCAGCCAUAUUUCUAGGGUAAAGCUUUAUCAUCCUUAUAUGGGAAAGGAGUCGAAACUUUAAAAGUUAUCAGCCUGGGAAUGAGUUUAUCUAUGAUUGACUUUGGCUUGUUCCCAUAAUGGAUGGUCACCGACUUUGGAAAUAGUUUUAUAGGCUUAUCAGUUAUAGACACUUCAACACUUUCUAAGUCUUCUCUUUUUUCAUAGACCUCUAUCUAGUAUAAAUUCAAGAGCUUUUGCACUUUUUAGUGAAACUGCUCACAAGUUUCGAUAGAGUGACCCAUUGUCCCGCUAUGAUAUUUACAACAAGUGCCAACUAUAUAUAUUCCAUGAUGGCUGUAUAGACUCACUGGUUGUAUCAUGUCAACUUUUCAUAAAAUAUCAAACAGCUGACUAAGAGGCGUUUUAAUAUCUGCCACUUCUUUCUUAAAAUGAUGCUCUUGUUCUUCACUUAAAGCAUUCAUAUUAUGAUUAGGGAAGGGAUUGCCACUAAAAUUUGGUGUAGUUACCCCUCCUGUAUCAAAGCUAAUUAUUCCAUCCUUGAUCAAUCGUUGCACUUUGUGUUUCAGGACGGUGUGAUUUUUGAUAGAGUAACCGACAAUCCUAUAGUGAUAGUCACAAUGGGCUGUGGGAUCAUACCACUUAGGGUAAGGUAGCUUGAGGGGCUCUAAUUUACUAGGAGCAAUCAGAUGACUGUUGUAAAACUCAUGAUAUAAUUCUGUAUAGGUCAUUAGGAUUAGGUCAAAUACAGGUUUUUUGUGAGUAGUUUGUUACUCUCAUAAACCACCCAUUAGGUUAGCUAGAUGAGUUUAGGGUUUUAGGUAGGCUGAAUAUUAGGACUAUAUGUGGUAUUCUAAGGCCUAAGAGGAGGUUGAUAUGUUUGGGGAUAAGGUGACUGUGUAAAUGGUUGGUAUGGGUAAGGGGAAGUGUUAUUUACAGUAGGGUAAUAUGGAAGGUAUCCUUGUGGUGAGUAGGGCUGAUAACCUCCAAAUUAUCGUCUAUUAAAGCUCAUAGCUUGAGCUUCAGUCUUUUUCUUCUUUGGGACUCUUUUGCUAGAUGCUUCACUUCCUUCCAACUUGCCAUUCUUGAUGGCAUUCUCGAUAAUUUCUCCUGAAAUUACCAUAUCAGUGAAAUUUUUGGUUGCAUUCCCUAUCAUCUUUUCAUAAUAAAGAGGUUUCAAAGUGCUAACAAACAGCAUUGUAAUCUCUUUCUCAGUCAGAGGAGGUUGUACUUGAGAAGUUACAUCCUUCUAUUUCUGAGCGUAUUCUUUAAAAGACUCAUUUGCCUUUUUCUCCAGGUUCUGUAAAGACAAACGAUCAGAAGCCAUAUCGAUAAUAUGUCGAUAUUGAUUGAUGAAGUCAUGAGCUAUAUCACUUUAAAAAUGAAUGCGGGUUCUAUCAGCUGGACAUACCACCUGGCAGCAGAGCCUGUAAGGCUAUCUUGAAAAAUAUGCAUUAGUAGUUUUUCAUUAUGGGGCAUGGGCUGCCAUCUUCCGACAAUACAUGGUGAUAUGAGUUUUUGGGCACUUCGUAUCAUCAUAUUUCUCAAAUUUUGGUACUUUGAACUUUGGUGGAAUGACUACAUCCGAGACUAAGCAUAGCCCAGCAGCAUCAACAGAACCAUAAAAUCCAAUUCCUUCUACGGCUUGUAAUCUUUAUUCAAACAUACUAAUCUUUAGAUCUUCCUGAGACUCUGCCACUUUUGCUUUCUCUUUAUUUUUCAAGUCAUCUAGAUUAGGAACCGGUUCUAUUGCCUUUUUAGUAAAGAUAGAAUUUACAUAGCUAUGGUAAUGCCCUAGAUUGGAGGCUGAUGGCAUUCCAGGAUAUGUAGGAUAUGUGAAGUAUUGUGGUGAAACCUCUUGUGUAGACUAGGCUUGAGGUGGACCAAAACCUGAAGGAUAUAAAAGGUCAGCCACUUCUUGUAAUGGGGGAACUUGUUGGUUUGUAUUUUUUUCUAUUCCUUUUCCCUUAUUCAGCUUAUUGAGAGCAUCUAAAAUCUUGCUCAACUUAUUUUUAAUCUUUUCCUGUGCUUUCUCUAGCUUUUCAAAUCUGUGAGAGUUUUUCUGCUCCAUUUGUCUGACUCUAGCUUUUUUGUUGUAUCGAUGGACAGGGUUCUCGCUAGAUGGAGCUAUCCUUGAACCUUGAGUACCAUAUCUUAGAAUUAGUAAAUUUGCAUGACUAUCUCAUGGUUACUUUGUUAAGUGUAAUGAGUGAGAAUGCAAUGAAUGAGAAUGCAUGUAUGCAAAGAACAUUUGCCUUAAAGACGGUAUUUAACUAAAAGAUUUCAUUUAUUCCAAAAAACUUUUAUUUACAUUGAGUUUAUCAUCCUAAAAUUAUAACCAUAAAAUUGUUUGAUCUGUUCAUAUUGGGCCUUGGCUUUUUCGAUAAAGUUUAAUAGAUGCUGCCCAUGCUCUCUUACUGGGGUCACCACUUGUUUUAAUACCUCUACCUCUUCUACCAUCUCUCUUGCCUUGCAUACCCCUUUACAAAUUUGGGUCGUUAGGUACUCAAUAUAUUUCUAUCUUCUUAAGUUCUCUCUUUUACCAUACCAGACUUGGUAUGAUAACUCUCUAUGCUCCCUAAGUAAUGCAGCAAUAUGGUCUUCUUGUUCAUUCAACUUUUAUCUCAGCCUGCUUAGAUAACUAUUCAGCAUGUUAUUCUCUAUCUAUACUUAGGUACUUUCUUCUUCCAAUUCAGCAUAUUCUUGUUUCAAUCUUGCAUUCUCUUCAGUUAGCUCAACAAUCAUUAUCUCUUUGGCCCUUUCUCUCACGCAUAAUCUCUUAUAUUUUGAUAUAGCUCUGCUAGGUCUUCAAUAGUCGUAUCAUGUUAUCUAACAAUCUUACAAACUUUGGCUUCAUGUCUUUCAGCUCUAUCUUUCCACUGGUCUUUUUCUUCUCGAAGCUUCUAGAUUUCUUACUUUAACUUACCCUUUUCCUACUCAAAUUUUUUUGUCGCAAGCUCUAAUUCUGAUGGUGUCUCUUCAAGCUUUCCUCCUGUUGGCGGUUGAAAGCUUUCAUAAGUGAAUACCAUUUCUUGUUUUCGUUUUGCUCUCCAAACCAGAUACCCUGGAGUGACUUUAUCAGUAAACGAUCUAAGACUCACUCUUCGGGGAUUUUUCCAUGCUUUAAUCAUCUCAUUCAUCUUCUGAAAUGCUUUUGGCUCACUGUAAGAGAAAUCUAAUUAAUGAAGCCCAUACGUCAUAGGAAUAAACUGUUCUGCCCCAAACUACCUUUUCACUGGGAGUGAUGUAUAAUUUGUCGCUCUCUAUAAACACAGAAGUGGGGCCACUAUAUUUAUCCCCACAUUGAUACAACAUAGGCUCACAAUUCAUCCAUGGGGCCAACCAUCUUACUGUGGCACUGGUCAAUUUUUAUAGGAAAGUUAUCCAUUCUUUUUUAGAUUUUGGUUCUGACCACCCACUUUCACAGAAUUCUUUGAUCAGAGCUCGAUUACGAGCAUAAAGCUUUGAGAAAGCACCUUUUCUCCAUUCGAAAUGGCUUUUCAUCCAUAAGUACAAUAACUGUAUGCAACCUAUAAAGUGCCCUCCAUUCCGACGGUAGUAACUCAAAGAUCUGAUAGUCUCUACUAAUAUUAUGGUUGAAGGAUUACAGCCAUUGAUCACACUCUCGAAGAAGUCAACCACCGUUAUCUCAAUAUAACCCAAAACCUUUGAGAAGAUCACCAUUCCAUAUAUAGCUAAGGCAAAUACAUCUAACCCCCGUUCUUCGUUGGCAUGUUGCAAUAGAAACUCAUGAAAGAACUUCCACGGUAGACAAACCUGUUCUUGUUUCUUCUUUAUAUGAGAAUCCACAACUUCUUUGUCUAUCCUCAUGAGUUAACCUAAACCAUUACAAAAUCCUGACUUGUGUUUUUUGACAUAUAUCUUAUCGGGAGCCUUGAGGUGCAAACCCAACAAAGUUGAAUAUUCUUUGAUGGUUGUGUCAUAUCAACUUCAUUGAAGAUGAAAUACUUGUAUGCAGGAUCCCAGAAUUAUGCUACAGCUCUGAUUAGUUGAUCGUCGACAACUACUGCUAGAAGGUGUGCUAUAUGCCCGUGUCUCUGGCAAAACUGCUCUUAUCUUGACGAACUCAUCUUCUUCCAUAUAUCAACCAAGUCCUCUAGAUUAUUUUGUUUGAGAAGGAUAGAUGUUUCUUGAGACAAGGUAGAAUCAUAUCCGAUUGAUAAACAAUCCCACAUCUUCAGUUGAAUCUUUUUUUACUGGACCCUUACUUCGUUGGGUGACUCACAAGGUGCUAAUACAGAUGAAGAACAAACUAGUUGUUUUGUGGAGUCCAUGAAAAAUUUUUGUUAAAGACCGUCUUUCAAGCAAAUGUUCUUUAUGCAACUUUAUGAUAUGAGCAUGAACUGAUGCAAAAGAAUAAGAGAAAAGGUUAGUAUGCUCAAAAAAUAAAUAAAUAAAUAACUAAGUAACUUAAAAUAUCACACAGAAUAAGAGGAAUGAAUCCUAUGCUUUUGGUUAAUUCUAAAAAGGAAGAAUAAUGGCUCUAUCUAUAGGUUAGGCACUCUUAAGGUUCACUAUAUGUGGUUUGAUGUUAAAGUCUAAAGGUUCCCAAAUUACUCCUUACAUCAUUGUCCAUCACAGACUAGUAAGGCACCCUAAUCCUCACCCAUUACAAGCUACAAGCGAAAAAGGUUCAAUUUGAGUGGGAGUAUUUCGUUAGCCACUGCAAAGGCAUUGACCUCACGAAAGUAAUAGGUACUUUACUCCCUCCUAGAGGGACGGAGCUCGGGUAUAGAGCUCAUAUUAUGCAUAUGCAUAUGAAUGACAUAAUUAAUAAAGUAAAUAAACAUGAAUGAAUAAAAGAAUCUAUACAAAAGGUUCAAUUUUAUUAGGCUUUUGGAUAACACAAAUUUAUUUGCUAGCCUAACACUCAGACAUCCCCAGUGGAGUCUCCAAGCUGUCAUAACGUCUAAAUUCAGGGAUCUAUCACUAGACAUUGACUUAAGGAGUUGCCACCAAUCUUUUUUAUCUAGGUGUGAUUGGCCACCUAAGGAAUCUAUCCUUUCAGGGAACACCUAAGUUUAAAGGUCCCUAAAAGAAUAGGUUCAGGUCUACUAACCAGAACAGGGUUCGAGAGUUCGGUUACGUGUGAGGAAGGUUAUAGCACCCUCACAACGCCCAUCGAAAGAUGAUACCAGCUUAAUUUUGUGUUAUCCAAUAAGCCUUAAAAAUUUACCAAGUAAUUAAUUAUUGAAAAGUAUUCUCAAUUGACUCUAAUACUUUUAGCAAAAAAUUGAAAAAAUUUUUUCACCUCAAGAGUAUGCAAGAAAACUACUAUUUCACUUGCAGAGGCUCCAUCGUCGGAUUAUUUAACAUUAAAGAAAAUUCAAAAAAAUAAAAAGGAAAAAAUGAUUGCUUUAGAUAUAAACUCUUUUCUCUUCAAGAAUUCAGUGCUUUUAUACAAGAAAAAUUUAUACUUUUAACUUUUCCUCAAAAAUUCAUUUUUGAAAACUUAUUUUUAAGUAAAAUUGAUACUUUCAACUUUUUCCCAAAAAUAUUCUUUCUCAAAAAUAUAUUUUAGAAAGCUUAUUUUCAAGGAAAAUUGAUACUUUCAACUUUUCCCCAAAAAUAUUUUUUAGAAAUACUUAUUUUCAAGGAAAAUUGAUACUUUCAACUUUUUCCCAAAAAUAUUUUUAGAAAGCUUAUUUUCAAGAAAAAUUGAUACUUUCAACUUUUCCUCAAAAAUAUAUUUUUUUGAAUUUUAUUUAAAGAAAAUAAUAAAAAUAAAAAUAAAAAUAAAGAUUAAAAUAAAAUAAAAUAAAAUGAGAUAAAAUAAGAAAUACUAAAUAAUUCUAAUCUAAUCAAUAAAUAAUAAUAAUAAUAAUAAAUAAAUAAUGAAAAAAACCUGAAAAUGGCUCGGCUUAGCAGCUCGGCUCAGCUCAGCUCAGCUCCGUACUUGGGUCACAUGCGGGUCGUAAGCGAGUUGGCGCUCGGGUCGGGUUGCCCAAUUUCAAAACGCGCGGAUCCUCUGAGAAUAGUUACGCCAAAAUGAUGUCGUUUUCAACAAGUAUAAAAGGCUAAUUCCUUUAUUUUUCAGUAGAUCGAUCCUUCCCUCUCUCUCUCUCUCUCUCUUUCCUUCCUUUCCUCUCCCCUCUCUUUAAACAGAUGAAGAACUCCGGUUGAAUCUCGUCGAAUUUUGGAAAAUGUCACCGAAAUCUGGGUUUUUUAUUGAAAGUUCAUCGAAAUGUUGGUCGGUUUCUGAAAAUAGUCGUCGAAAACUGGGUAGCUGACCGAAAAAUUCACUGAAAAAUUCAUCGAAAAAUUCAAACUUGGCCGAAAAAUUCAAUCGAAAUCUAAAAAUUUUCCAAAAAUUUCCAGAAAAAAAAUUCACCAAAAUUCUAAAAAAAAUUUGAAGCUGCUUCUGGCCCUUUUGAAUGUUUUUUUUUUCUUCUCGCUCUUUUUUUCAGUCAGUCUCUGCGUUUCUGUUCUAGUCUUUGUGAUUCGUAGAUCUAUUUAUAUGGAUUGAUCAGAAGAGUUUUUGAUCAAUCCCAAUUCCUCCUUGAAUUGGGAUUCAAUCCUUGAAUCCAAUAUGGACUCUAAUUGAAUCCCAAAUCCACGGUAGAAUUUCAAAUUUCCAUCCCAAUCCCAGUCGAAUAAGAAGAAAAAGAAAAUCAAAUCAAAUAAAAAAAUGUUAAUAGAUAAUUAAAAGAAAAUAAUUAGAUAAAUAAAAAUGUUAAUAGAUAUAUAAAUAGAUAAGUAAUAAUAAAAAAUAUAUAUUAAUAAAUAGUAAUAAUAAAUAAAUACAAAAAAUACAAAAUACAGAAUAAAAAAUAAAAUAAAACAAAUUGAAAUGGGCUGACCCAUUUGGACCAGGCCCAAUUGAUCCGAGCUUGGACCAAAUUGGGUGUCUACAAAAUUCUUUAUUAGUUUGGUAAAAUUCAUAAUUGAAAUUUUCUAAACCAAUGAAAUAAAAAAUUCAUAAUUUAAAACUCACAAUCUUUAAAUUUUAUUUUAAACGUACAUAAAAAAGUAAAAUAAAUGAAUAAAUAUAUAAAUAAACAAAAUGUAAAAAUUACCCUAAUGGAUGGAGACAUGCCUAGGUUGAAGUAUCUCUUCAUCUAUGGUAACAGAUAAUCACCAAAGAGCUCUACCACCAAUUUUAACCUAAGAGCUAGGGUAUAGAUUGCUACUCAUCCAUUUCUUGGUGGGUUUCCCUUUUUUUCUCCCCUUUUUUUUGUAUUUUGUUGAUUGGUGUUUAUAUUAGGCCUUUUGCUAAGAGUUUUAACGAUUUGCAUUGAAUGAAAAGGAUUGCAAAUCAGAUUAUACUCUGAACUUAUUUUUUCUUGAUUCUCUUUAAAAUUUAUUUAAUUAAUUUCUAGAAUUGUCUCAAUUUUCCUUGAUUUUCAGAGUCCCUUAAAACUUCCCAAGCUAAAUUUGACUUUGAUUCCUUGAUUUGCUUUCUUUUCAACCUUCCUUUAAUAUUUAAAGAGAUCAUGUUUUAGUUUUAAUUGUCGAGAUCAUCCUUGAUUAGUGCUCAAAUUACUCCAUAAAUUUUAUUGACAUGAUUUAUGAUAAAAAUUUAAAAUAAAAUAAAUAAAAAGAGUAAAACAUAUAAAUAAAUAAGAUAUAAAAAGAAAUGAAGGAAAUUGGACAAUUGGGCUUAGUUUGAGCCCCGAACUAAAUAGGGUGUCUACAGUUGCCCUCUUUGCAUAGUUUUUGUAAAAUAAAAAUUAUGCAAAGAUAUAGAUAUCUAUUACGUUCAAGCCCAAAUUAUUCAAUUUUUUUCUUUUUUUUAAAGGCUCUUAAAAAUGAAGGCACACAACAUUUUAAAAAAUUAAGGACGACACCCGAAGGUUUUGACAAUCAUGCCCAAAGGUUUUAUAGAUCAUGUCCAAAGAGCUUGAAAAUUAAGCCCGAACGUCUUACAAAAGCAUUCAUUAAAAAAUGCUCAUUUAAACAAAGGCUACACAACUAUUAAAAAAGUACCUAAAAGUUUUAAAAGAUCAUACCCAAAGGUCUUAGAGAUUAUGCUCGGAGUUCUUACAAAUCUUGACUCUAAAAUAAAUUCAACUCGAAAGACUUACAAAUCUUCCCUAAAGGACUUAGAGAUUAUGCUCGGAAGUCUUACAAAUCUUGAUCUUAAAAUAAAUUCAACUCGCAAGACUUACGAAUCUUGCCCAAAUGACUCAGAGAUUACACUUAGAAGUGUUACAAAUCUUGACUUUAAAAUAAAUUCAGCUCAAAAGACUUAUGAAUCUUGUCCAAUGACUUAUAGAUUAUAAUCAGAGGUCUUAUAAAUCUUGACUCUAAAAUAAAUUCAAGUCAGAAGACUUGCGAAUCUUACUCGAAGGACUUGGAGAUUAUGUGUAGAGGUUUUACAAAUCUUGGAGAUUAUGCCUAGAGGUCUUACAAAUCUUAACUCUAAAAUAGAUUCAGCCAUGAAAAUUUAUGAAUAUUGCCUAAAAAACUUCGAGAUUACACCCGAAGGUUUGAUAAAUCUCAACUCUAAAAUAAAUUCAGCUUGAAAGACUUAUGAAUCUUACCUAGAGGUCUUACAAAUUAAACUUCAAAAAAGCUUAUUUAAAAUGAAUGUUCAACCACUUUAAAGAGAAAAAAGAUAUUUUGAGGUUUUAAAAAUCAUGCUCGGAGGUCUUAUAGAUAUUGCUUGAAAGACUUUUAAAAUAGUUUAAUAGUUUUGAAGGUGUUGCCAAAGGGUUCAUAAAAAAAAUUAUCCGAAGGUUUUUUAAGACUAAUACUUAAAAAUUUUAACAAAUUUNNNNNNNNNNNNNNNNNNNNNNNNNNNNNNNNNNNNNNNNNNNNNNNNNNNNNNNNNNNNNNNNNNNNNNNNNNNNNNNNNNNNNNNNNNNNNNNNNNNNNNNNNNNNNNNNNNNNNNNNNNNNNNNNNNNNNNNNNNNNNNNNNNNNNNNNNNNNNNNNNNNNNNNNNNNNNNNNNNNNNNNNNNNNNNNNNNNNNNNNNNNNNNNNNNNNNNNNNNNNNNNNNNNNNNNNNNNNNNNNNNNNNNNNNNNNNNNNNNNNNNNNNNNNNNNNNNNNNNNNNNNNNNNNNNNNNNNNNNNNNNNNNNNNNNNNNNNNNNNNNNNNNNNNNNNNNNNNNNNNNNNNNNNNNNNNNNNNNNNNNNNNNNNNNNNNNNNNNNNNNNNNNNNNNNNNNNNNNNNNNNNNNNNNNNNNNNNNNNNNNNNNNNNNNNNNNNNNNNNNNNNNNNNNNNNNNNNNNNNNNNNNNNNNNNNNNNNNNNNNNNNNNNNNNNNNNNNNNNNNNNNNNNNNNNNNNNNNNNNNNNNNNNNNNNNNNNNNNNNNNNNNNNNNNNNNNNNNNNNNNNNNNNNNNNNNNNNNNNNNNNNNNNNNNNNNNNNNNNNNNNNNNNNNNNNNNNNNNNNNNNNNNNNNNNNNNNNNNNNNNNNNNNNNNNNNNNNNNNNNNNNNNNNNNNNNNNNNNNNNNNNNNNNNNNNNNNNNNNNNNNNNNNNNNNNNNNNNNNNNNNNNNNNNNNNNNNNNNNNNNNNNNNNNNNNNNNNNNNNNNNNNNNNNNNNNNNNNNNNNNNNNNNNNNNNNNNNNNNNNNNNNNNNNNNNNNNNNNNNNNNNNNNNNNNNNNNNNNNNNNNNNNNNNNNNNNNNNNNNNNNNNNNNNNNNNNNNNNNNNNNNNNNNNNNNNNNNNNNNNNNNNNNNNNNNNNNNNNNNNNNNNNNNNNNNNNNNNNNNNNNNNNNNNNNNNNNNNNNNNNNNNNNNNNNNNNNNNNNNNNNNNNNNNNNNNNNNNNNNNUGAAAAGAAACUCCUAAAUAUUUCAAUUUAUUGGUAAUUUUUAGAAGACUUUUCUCACCUAAAGAAUUCUUGAGAAUUACUAUUCAGACUUCCCAGAGUCCCAUCAUUAAAAUUUUUUUUUAAAACAUGCAAUGCAGACAAGAAAAUAGAAUAUGUACACAAAAAUAUAUAUUUAUUAGGAAUUAAUUUUCUUUAAUCAUUCUCUAAUUAUCACUAAAAUUUUGAAAGGAACAAAAAAAUAAAAUUUUUAUUGAAAAUUUUCCUGAUACCCUAAUACACUGGCAAUAAUUUUAAAAAAAUUUUCUCACAUAAGGAUUUCUUAAAAAUCUUUACUCAAACUUCCUUUGAAUUCCAUUCUCUAAAAAUUUCAUUCAUAUCAUUAUUAUAUGCAUGAAAAAUAAAAUAUAUCAAACAUGAGUUUAAACACAAAAUAUUAUAUUAAAAUAAGCAUGAGAAUCUAAUCAACAAAAAAAUUAAAAAUGCAUAGGAUUAAACUUAUAACUGAAUUUAAACAAUCAUAAACGACUUGUAUGAGUAUAAUAAAACAAACAUAAAGGUGGAAUAACAUAGUUCAUGUGAAACUCAACCUAUAGCCUAUUUUCAGCUUUCAUUCUUUUUGUUAUCAAUCAUAAGAACAAGCCAAGACAGCCCCCACGCAUAGGGAAAUAAACAAAAAAAUACAAAAAGCUAGAAGCUUUAUAGCUUGUGCAAAACCUUUCACAUAAAGACAACAAACUAGAUAAGAAAAAAAACCUCAUUCCAUGUUGAAGAGCAAAGACCUAUGAAGCUACCCAUUGAUGUUUUAUAUAGCUCAAAUGGAUUAUAGCCCAAAAGUCAUCAACUUCAGACUUCCAGCUUUAUCCGUUUUAGCUUUCAAAACAAAACAACACUAUGGUCCAAACAACUUUCAGUCAUGUUUUUUUUACCUUGCUAGUAAACCCAUGUCUGUCUCAUACAAAGAAAGAAAGCAAAAUAGAUGCUGAAAUUACUUUAGGCAGCAAUGGAAAUAAGUUACAAAAUUUGUUUGGAAGAUCAACCAAACCGUGACUUCCCAUGAGGAGUUAGGCAGCAUGAUUUGGCUUAGUCUAAGCUAAUUUCCUUUUCUUUGUUUGCUUUAGCUUAAACCAACUAGAGGUUGGUUAUAAAGGAUGAAAAAAAGGGUGAAAAAAUUUAUGGCAUGAUCAAACAGCUAUUGUCAGAAGGAGAAACAACAGCUGUUCAGCAACACAAGAAAAACAAUGGUGUUCCAACCAUCUUGGAAAAAAUGAAAUAGAAACAUAGAACAAAUAAGGCUUGAAAUUUUAUUAACAAACACACCAAACACCAAAGCAUGAAAGGAAAAAAUAAGAGCACUUGCAGAAAAGAUCAUGAUAGGAGAAAAAAUAGUGUGAAAUACAUUAUAUAAUUAGCAAACUCAACCUUGGUAUAGGCUAUCUCACCUUUUGAAUUUUUUGAUUUUAGCUUUUCUUUUUUUUUCUGCUCUCUCUUUUUUUUUUUUUUCCAAUGCUUCAUCCCCCUUCUUCCGCCAUUCUAGUAGCCUUUGGAUGAAAUCUCAUCCAAGGGCCAUAGUUUUUCCUUUUCUUAUUUUUAAGGAGCCACCUUUGGUCCUUGGAUUAAAAGACAACAAAGGAUCCAAUGGCUCAGAUUACACACUGCAAAGGUUGAAUUUUUAUGCCCUCUUAAACCCAUAAAAGACCAUUUUAUGCUUAGUGCAAAAGUUUUGGUAUUUGUGGUCAUUUCUUUAUAAAUUAAUGUUCCCAUGGUCAUUUUUGUGAUUUUCAAGCACCAAAAAUCAUAAAUUAUUAUUAAGUUGAGAUCUGAAAAGUUUCAUAAAAUUUUAAGCUCAAAAAAAGCCAAAUUAUGAAAAUACCCAUAUAAGGGUAUUUCAAUAAUUUUACACUUUCGGGGGUACUGCUAUGAUUUUAGAUGCACCAAAAAUUAUAAAAUAUCAUGAAAUUGUGAUCUAAAAAGUUUCACAAAAUUUCAAGUUUAGAAAGAUCAAAUUACAAAAAUACCUUUACAAGGGUAUUUUGAUAAUUUCAUGCUUCCAAGCGUACAAUAAAAACUCUAAUGUUUCAAAAAAAUCUCAACUUUAACUUUAAACAAUAUUGAUUUUAAUUAGGUUUUGAAUUUUUAGAAUUGAUCCAGGCUCUAUCCCUUUUGACCAAGUUUCAUGCAAUUUUGACUAGGGUUGACUUUGAAGUUUUAAAUAGACCAAUUUGUGAGGUCUUUACAAGUCUUAAAUGGUUCUCAUAAAUGGUUUUAGCCUUUUAUUCACAAAUAAGCCCUAGAUAAAUCAUGUUAAAAAAUAUCCUAGACAAAAUUUGGUGUCUACAACUACCCUUCUUUGCAUACUUCUAAGGAUCAAAAGUAAUACAAAGACAUAAAUGGUAAUUUUGUCUGAAUGAUGUUUUCGAGUGAGCGAACCUUUGUUUUUUCUUCUCUUCUUCUCUGUUUUAUUUUUUAAACUAUGGAUUUUAGAGAUUAAAUCUUAAAAACUUUUUGAAUGCUCCUCCAAUCAGAGGCAAUGGAGCUUUGAAUAUUUAUAAUGUUUUAUGAAUCACAAAACUUUUGGAUGCUCAUCUAGUCAGAGGCCAUGAAACUUUGAAUUUAAAAUGGUUGGAGAUUAUGCCUGAAGGUUUUACAAAUCUUAAAAUCUUUAAAUGCUCCUCCAAUCAGAGGCCACGAAACUUUGAGUUUAAAAUGUUUGGAGAUUAUACUCGAAGGUCUUACAAGUCUCAAAAUCUUUAAAUACUCCUCCAAUCAUAGGCCAUGAAACUUUGAAUUUAAAAUGUUUAGAGAUUAUACUUGAAGGUCUUACAAAUCUCAAAAUCUUUAAAUACGACUCCAAUAAGAGGCUAUGAAACUUUUAAAAAAUUAGAAUGUUUGCUUGAAGGUCUUACAAAUUAUAUCUAGAGGUCUUAAAAAUUAUGCCCGGAGGUCUUAAAGAUUAUACUCGGAGGUCUUAGAGGUUUCAAAAUCUUUGAAUGCUCCUCUAAUUAGAGGCCAUGAAACUUUUAAACAAUUAAAAUGUUUUGUCCGAAGGUCUUGAAAAUUAUGCCUAGAGGUCUUAAAGAUUAUGCCCGGAAGUCUUAGAGAUUUUAAAAUCUUUGAAUGCUCCUCCAAUUAGAGGCCAUGAAAUUUUUAAAAAAAUUAAAAUCUUUUUCCCAGAGGUCUUGAAAAUUAUGCUCGGAGGUCCUAAAGAUUAUGCUCAAAGGUCUUAGAGAUUUCAAAAUCUUUGAAUGCUCCUCCAAUAAGAGGCCAUGAAACUCUUGAAAAAUUAAAAUGUUUUACAAAUGGUUUUCCCUUAAAAAGAGAUUUUUUGAAACUCUAUAGAUUUUUGUUUGAACAUGGCUCUUUCCAAAUAGAGGCUUCAAAAUCUUUAUUUGAAAAUGGCUCCUCUUAAAUAGAGGUUUUGAAACUUGAAAAUCUUGUUUCUCUUUUCUCUCUAUUUUGAAACUAGUUUGAAAAUGAUUCAUGAUGUCAUGGCUUGAGAAUUUCACAAGUUGUGAUUGUUUAAAAUAAUUUUUCAUACUUCAGUCUUUUAUUUGAAUGAUUCUUUCUUAAAAAAAAAGUUUAAAUUUUUCAUAAUUCAUGAAUGCAAUGGAUAUAAUGCAAGUAUUAUUAGAAACCAAUAUGAUGUAUCCAAAAUGUGGUAACAAGUUUCCUUACAUCAUUCAUUUUUCUCUUUUUUUCUCUUUUUUUUUUCUAUAAAAUGAAACCAUUCUCAAACCUGGUUUGCAUAUUCUAGGAUCUUCUUUCUUAUGAACUUCAAUGAUCAUUUGUUGAUCUUUAUCCUUAUAAUGUUGAUAAACACAAUCCUGAUGCAAAUGUCUAUCCAAUGAUGUGAAUACAAAUGUCAAUGCGAAUGUAAAUGUCAUUGCAAAUACAAAUGACUUUUUCACAAUGCAAAUGCCAAUGUGUUUUCUGUAUAAAUGCCCCUAAAAAUUCUAAAAUGCCUAUGUCAUGAUGCAAAUGCAAACUUCUUUCUUAUAGUGCAAACGUAAAUGCCUUGGUUAAGAUGUAAAUACAAUGCAAAUACAAGUUAUACAAAUGUGAAUGUCUUUCUUAUGAUGCAGAUGUAAGUGAUGCAAAAGCGAAUAUCUUUCUUGUGAUACAGUUGCAAGUGAUGCAAAUGUAAAUGUGUUUUUCCUUAUGAUGCACAUGCAAGUAUAAAUGCAAAAGUCUUUUUUUUGUGAUAUAGAUGCAAGUAAGGCAAAUGUGUUUUUCUUUUUUUUGUGAUGUAAAUGCAUUGGGCUUAAUAUUUCAUCAAGGGGCAACUAAUCUGGGCUUAAAUAUUUCUUUAAAGGUCGGCUAAAUUGGGCGUACAUUCAUUUGAGGUCAACUAAUUUGGGCUUAAAUCUUUUUUUUGAAGGCCAGCUAGAUGGACUUAAUAUUUCAUUAAGGGCUAGCUAAUUUAGGCUUAAUAUUUAUAAGAGGCAAGCUAAUAUGGGCUUAAUAUUUCAUUAGGGGCCAGCUAAUCUGGGCUUAAUAUUUCUUUAAAAGCCAGUUAAACUGGCUUACAUUUAUUGGGGGUUAGCUAAUCUAGACUUAAAUAUUUCUUUGAAAGCUAACUAAAUUGGGCUUAAUAUUUCAUUGAAGUUUAGCUAAUCUGGGCUUAAAUCUUUCUUUAAAUGAUAGCUAAAUUGGGCUUACAUGCCCGAGAAUCAACAAUCUCUAUUAAAAAUGAAAGAUGAAGAUUCUUUCCAAAUGGGUUGAAUAGUUCUGUAUAUAGAGAUUUUUGUUUAUUCAAAAGGGUUUCAGCACCUAUAAGGGAUAAAAGGCAUAUACUUUUUUCAACAAGUUCACAGAUGUAACAAGUUUCCUUACAUCAAUCAUUUUUCUCUUUUUUUCUCUUUUUUUUUUCUUUAAAAUGAAACCAUUCUCAAACCUGGUUUGCAUAUUCUAGGAUCUUCUUUCUUAUGAACUUCAAUGAUCAUUUGUUGAUCUUUAUCCUUAUAAUGUUGAUAAACACAAUCCUGAUGCAAAUGUCUAUCCAAUGAUGUGAAUGCAAAUGUCAAUGUGAAUGCAAAUGUCAUUGCAAAUACAAAUGACUUUUUCACAAUGCAAAUGCAAAUGUUCUUUUUGUAUAAAUGCACUACAAAUACUUUUUCUAAAAUCCUAUUCAUAUAAAUGCAAAAUUUUUUCUAUAGUGCAAAUGCAAUGCCUGGUUAAGAUCAAAUACAUAGUUAAUUGCAAAGUUUGAAUGUCUUUCUUAUAUUCAAUGUAUGUUGAUAGCAAAAAAUAUCUUUCUUGUGAUACAUAUUAAGUAUCAAAUGUAAAUUUUUUUCUUAUGAUCACAUGCAGAUAUAAUGCAAAACUUUUUUAUGUGAUAUGACAAUAAGUAAGAUAGUUGUUUUUUUUUUUGGGAUGUAAAAUCAUUUCAGUAAAUAUUUAUCAAGUCAACUAAUCUCUUAAAUUUUCUUUAAUAGCUUAAAUGGGCGUACAUUCAUAGGUAAUAAUUGGCCUUAAAUCAUUUUUUGAAGGCCAGCUAGACUGGAUUUAAUAUUUCAUUAAGGGCUAGCUAAUUUAGGCUUAAUAUUUAUUAGAGGCAAGCUAAUAUGGGCUUAAUAUUUCAUUAGGGGCCAGCUAAUCUGGGCUUAAUAUUUCUUUAAAGGCCAGUUAAACUGGCUUACAUUUAUUGGGGGCCAGCUAAUCUAGACUUAAAUAUUUCUUUGAAAGCUAGCUAAAUUGGGCUUAAUAUUUCAUUGAGGGUCAGCUAAUCUGGGCUUAAAUUUUUCUUUAAAUGAUAGCUAAAUUGGGCUUACAUGCCCGAGAAUCAGUAAUCUCUAUUAAAAAUGAAAGGUGAAGAUUUUUGCCAAAUGGGUUGAAUAGUUAUGUAUAUAGAGAUUUUUGUUUAUUCAAAAGAGUUUUAGCACCUAUAGGGGAUAAAAGGCAUAUACUUUUUUCAUACAAGCUCAUAGAUGAAACAUAAAUUUUCUCAAAAACAUGAAUUCCUUAAAAAUCAAACAUGUUAAACACUUUUUUUAGUCUUUAAAUGUGAUAUUUGAUGUAUGUCAAAGUUAGCUAUAAAGGUUUAAGAUUUUAAAAGGUUAUUUGGGAAUGGACAAAGGUUUAGAUUUUCAAAGUCAACUCAUUUUAGACUUUUAUGACUUUGAUAUUUUAGAUCUUUCAAUGAGGUUUGGCUUAGGAUUUACCACAUUCAGCAUUAGAAGUGGCUUUAUGAUCAUUUUUCUAAGAGAAACUAUUCAAUUUUAAGCCUUCAUGCUUGAUCUAAUAUAAACGAUUUAAAGGUUGUAAUAUAAGCUAAGAUUCAGGGUUGUCAAAGAAAAAGAUAGAAAGGCCCAAGAUAAGUAUUUAAAGGUAUUUAAAACCAAGGAUCACUUUUUUCGUUCGAAGUAUACACUCUAAGGUUAAUUCUUUUUUGCUUUUCACCCAUUCAUUCCUUUUUCUUUAUUUUAUUCUUCAUUUUCUUUCAUUUUUUCUUUCUUUUUCCUCUUUUUUUUUUUGCUUUGCUUUUUUUUUUCUUUUGGAUCCUUUUUUUUUUUUUGGAUCCUAUCAUUGAGUGGAUUCAAAACUUUUUUGAACUUUUAUAUUAAGCCUUUAGCCCAACAUAUGAGAUUCUAUUUGGACAUCCCCAUUCUUAACCCUUAAAAGUGUUUCUUUUUGCCUUCUAGUGUAAAACGUUAUCCUUAGUUAGGGUUUAUUUUGAAAGAAUUCAAUUAGGCUCAAAGGGGUAACAAGGGAUAAAUUUUUAUAUUUGUGAAAGAAUAAUUGAAGACAACCAUUUGUUAUUUCAAGUAUAAAAACUUAAAUUGGAGAGCAAUUCCCUUUAGGAAAAUGAUCUCUAAAAAAAGUUUUCAUUUCAACAUUUUUUUUGUUUUUUGGUUUUGUUUUUUCUUUUUUAGUUUUGGCAUUUCUAUUUUUAGGCUUUUUUUCUUGUCCCUUUUUUCAAAACUUUGAAUUGUUCAGGACUUUAUAGGAAUUUAUUUGAAUUUUCUAAAUGCAUGAUGUCAUAAUUAUUUUUUCUUCUUUCUCUUUUUUUUUCUUUUCAUUUUUGUUCUUCUUUUUUUGUUUUUAUUAUUUUUUUGACAUGCCCCCCUAAAUUCAUUUUGCCAAUAAUGUGUUUAAUCAAAGAUGCCCCAUUUUAGCAAACCAUCUUUAAUGAAAGUUGUUACAAGAAAGGGUUAUAUGGAAUGAACUAGAAAAUGUCAUAUAGAAAUGAACCUAUUUAAGGUACCAAAUGAUCCAUGUUACUUUAACAAAAAAAGAAUGAAUUGGUUGAUCAUAGCUCAAAUUGUCUAGAGGGCAAUGAGAUCUUUCUUUUCUGAUCAACAUGCCACCCAGACCCAUGGUCAGGCCAAUUUUAAGGCAAAGAGCUAAAAGGUUGGUAAGUUUCAUGAUCAACCUGACCCUGAUGACAUAUGGGUCAAGCCAAUAUUUUGGUAAAGAGCUAAAAGGUUGGUAAAUAUAAGCAACAUGCCCCAAAAACAUAUAAGCCAAGCAAAAUUUUAGGUAAAUGACUGAAAGGUUGGUAAAUCUAAGGUCAUUUUACAGGAUUUGGGUUAACUUUGUUUCAAAAUUUUGUGGAACUAUAGAAUAAUAUUGACACAUCAAAUUACCACAUCUAAAUCCUUAAGAAAAUGUUUUAUUUGUCUAAUAUUAUUGGAAUGCAAAUUUGUUUUUCCUUUUUAAAUUAGAUGUUUCAUUAUUUAUUACCUUGGAAAAGAAUAUCACCUUUUGAUAUCAUAACAUUAUUGGGUGAAAGCGAGGUUCACGAAUUUAAGGUUAUAGCUUUUGAAAGGUCAUGGUUGUUGAAUGGAAUCAAUUGAAAGGCUUAAAAGAGAGGGUAUAGGUAUUUGACAAAUCCCUAAUAAUGAUUGCCAACUCAUAUGAGACUAAAAAUUUUUUUUUCUUCUUUUUUUAUUUUUUUCCCUUUUUUUUGCCUUAUUUCACUUUUUUUCAGAAAAAGCUUUUUUUUUUUUAACUUAAGACCUAACUAUUUAGGGCUUUAUUUAAAUCUAACAUUUUUUUCCUUUUUACCAAUUAUAAAUCUAAAAUUUAAUAGAAAUUAAAACUAUUAAAUGAUGAUGUAAAUCCAUGAAAUACUCAUGAUGCACAAGAUCUAUUCAUGCAAUGCAAACACUCAAAUAUGACCCAAAAAAUUCAUAAUAUUAAUAAUAUUCUUAAGAUGACACUCAAACUUACAAACAAAGGUUUCUCAUUUGAUGAUUCAAUUUUAGCAUCAUUAACCCGUAACUCUCCUACUAUCAAUCAUCACAAUUACUAAUCAAUUCUGUAAAUUUUAUGGGAUUUGCAUCAAUCAAAGCCUAAACUAUAUCCUUCAAGGUAGUGCAAUCUUUUAUGGAAUGUUUUUUAACCCCCAUCAUGAAACUCAUACUUAACAUUUGGAUUAUACCACUUCGGGUACAGAGGCUUUUUGGGUCUUGCCAAAACAAUAAAGAUCAUAUGAUUCUUGACCAGUAAGACAUCGAAAGUGAAUGACACAUCUUGAAUCUCUUUCUCCUAUAGCUUCGUGAAAGGCUUGAGUUGAUCAUUGGUUUUAUAAAUGUUUGUGAUGAAGGAACUGAAGCACACAGAUGAAGUGGUUAAGGAAAAUCUUUGGCCCAAAAUAUCGGUUAGGAGCAAUAUGGUGACCAUUGUGAAUAGUUAUCCAUUAAACCUUCUUGCAUCAUGUGAGAUUUCUCUCAUUUCGCCCUUUAACAAUUGUUUUUUAGGAUUGUUCAACAAAAAUAUCUCCCCUCCUUUCAUCACUAGCAUUUACAAUUCUUUCCUUUUUUAUUUUAUUCUCAAUUCUGCCUAUAACAACAAAUCUACAAACUCUAAUGAAGUUUUUCUAAUCAACUUAUCAUAAUAGGGAGAAUGAAGGGUAUCUACAAAUAGGGAAUUCAAUUCCAUGUUAGUAAAAGAUGGUUGUACUUACAAUGCCAUCUUUUUCCAUCUAAUGGCAUAUUCUUUAUAGCUCUCAUUAGGACUCUUUCUCAUAUUUUGAAAGGUUAAUCGAUUUUGAGCCAACUCUAACAUAUACCAGUAUUGCUUUAAGCAAGCCCACGAUAAAUCCCUCUAAGUAUGAAUCUAACUACUUUCCAGACUAUAAUACCAAUUGACUGCUGCCCUAGUCAAACUUUCUUGAAAAAUAUGAAUAAAUAGCUUUUCGUCACUAGCAUACCCGACCAAUUUGUGAUAGCAUUGAGUGAAAUGUGUCUUAGGACAUCCAAUUCCAUUAUACCUUUCAAAUAUCAAAACUUUGAACUUGGGCAGAAUAACCACAUCUAAAACUAGUUGAUAUUCCUUUACAUCAAAAGUUUCAAUAGCUUGAACUCUUUCUUCCAAGAAAUUAUACCUUAAUUCCUCCAUUAUGGGUCUUAUGCUAGGUCUUUCAAGUUGAUCAUUUCUUUGAGCAUAAAGUCCCUUAAUAAUCUUCUCCAUUUUUCUUUUUAAAUUAAAUAUUCUCUUGACCCUUAGAAAAAAUUGCAAGAAUUAUUCUUGAAGAAAUUCAUCCUUUUCAAGCACACAUGAAUUGCAUUAUAUAGACACAAAAAUGAAUGAAUGGAUGAAUGGAUGAAUGAAUGAAUGAACAAAUGUCAAAGUUCUUUAAUAAGAAGUAUGAAAAUUGGUAAAAGAGUGAGAAUGAAAGACAAACCAUAACAGACAACAUCAUAUCAACAUAAAAACAUUUUUCAAACCAAAAAAAUUCAUAAACUUAUGACUUGAAGACCCUCUUUAAAGAAAAAUCCCAUCCAUGUUCAUCAUCUUGCCAUACCUUUCUCAUUAUUCCUAAAACUUAUAGUCCCCUAUUGUAGUUGGAUCAAACUGUUUCACAUCUACGAAUGACUACGCCUUAUGCUUGAAAGCUUCACAAUUCUUAAUGGAAUGCACCAUAUUCCCAUUAUGGUAUUCGCAUCUUGCAUUUGGGUCAAAAUAUUUUGGGUACAGAGGCUUUAAAGGCUCUGAAGGCACAAUGACAAUAAGGUGUCUCUCAAACAGAUAGCGAAAAAGUUUUCCAUAUGAAAUGGGGAGAGAAUCUAACUAUUUCUUUUCCUUGGAUAAUUUUCGGGUGACAGGUUGACUAGGAAUCCUAGGAUUUGGCUUUGGUGCAAAGGUUUGGACUUGAACAAUUGGCUAAACAGGUGGUUGGGUAAUGGAAGGCUGAAGACUUUGGUUCAAAUAUGGACUUUUUGAAGAUUGUAUGAAGUUUUAGGGCCUGAUUGUAGACAUUUGGAAAGGAGGUCGAAAAUAGUCAUAAGAUAAAUGCAAGUUUGAGCUUGAAACAAUUAAUGAAGGCUACAUGGAACCUAGUAACCAUGAUCUGGAAAUUAAAAUUUGAAACUUAGACACUUGAAUGGUAAGAUCACUCAUCCAUUUCAUGAUCUCAUCCAGACCUUCAUUAUUGUUCAAACCAUUGAAUGAUUCAGUGUGCUCUAAAAUUGUGCUAGGCCCAAUAGGAAUUAAUUGAUCAUGACUCCAUGAAUUCAUAGGAUUUACUUGGGCUAAAAUUGAUAAAGACUCUUGAAAAGAUGUCAAAAUAAAUUUCUUGAGUCUAUUCACGGUCUUCGUCAACUCAACGAGCUAUUUUAUCACCUCUUGAAUGUCAUGACCAAACUCUUCUUGAUUUCGCUCUAAUGCACUAUUUUGGGCCUUCAAUUGAUCUUCCAUAUUUUUGGCUUCUUAUUCCCAGUAACAAAAAUAUUAUCUCAAAAGUUUAAUACGAACAAUGCUUAUGCUAUUAUUCUUAUUGAAUAAAUGACACAAUUCUUAAUUUGCAUGCGACAUGUCAUGAAUGUUUGAAUAUGAUAAUGAUACAAAGAUAUAGAUAAAAAUGAAAUAACUAAAAAAUAUACAAACUAACUUAAUGAUGAAUGGAAUGACUAAACUCCAAAAAGAAAACAAACUUCUUACCUAUCCUAAAUUUUUUUGCUCUUUUUUUCUUCUUUUUUUUAUCCCAACUUUAUUUGCACUAUUAUUACCCUUAAACACAACUGUAUCAAAGUAUCCCAUAUAUCCUAAUUUGGGUAAUUUUUAUGAAAGGAAAAAAAAUGGCAUGGCUUUGGACUUCUGAAUAAUUUUUACAAAAAAGUUGACACCAUUAAUGGCUCCAUGAGAACUCUUUUUUUCUUCCUUGUCUCUUCUUAAAAAAAAUUGGCAUGGCUUUGGACUUCUAAAUAAUUCUUAUAAAAAGUAACACCACUAAUGGCUCCAUGAGAACUCCAUGAAAAAAAGUCAUUAAAAGUUAUAAUCGUCAUAAAAUAAAUGAUAAACUAUGAUAUAUUAGUGAUAAAAGGUAAAUUGUCAUAAUAUUGGUGACAUAAUUAUUAUCAUAAAUGAUUAUAAGAUAAUGUCAAAUGAGACAAUAAAAUCAAACGUUACCUUAUUCUUUUUUUUUUUGUGACGAUAGUUUUUGUCAGCUAUUUAUGAAAAAAAAUCAUUGAAGGCUAUAAUCGUCACAAAAUAAAUGAUAAAAUCUUAUACAUUAGUGAUGAAAGGUAAAUCAUCAUAGUAUUGGUGAUACAAUUAUCAUCACAAAUGAUUGUAAGAUAACAUCAAACAUUAUAAUAAAAUCAAAUGUUACAUUAUGCUUUAUUUUUUUAUGUUAAUUUUCAUUGGCUAUUUAUGAAAAAAGUCAUUAAAGGCUAUGAUCGUCACAAAAUAAAUGAUAAAAUAUGAUAUAUUAGUGAUGGAAAGUAAAUCGUUACAGUAUUGGUGACAUAAUUAAAGUCAUUAAAUCCUAUAUAUAUAAAAUAAAAUUGUUCCAUAGUUGAUUGAACUUGAUGUGGUGGUCUAGUGAAGGACGUUGCAUGGCUAUCACAUUAGUUGAUUGAGCUCAUUGUUUAAUGGUCAUUUUCCUACCUUUUUUUCCAGGCGCCAUCCUAAAGUAUAGACAAAGAAAAUGUAAACAAUCAUCUUUUGUUUAGUAUAAUAAAAUAAAAAAAAACACAAUGCAAAUAAUUAAUAUGCUAAUUACCUUAAAUUAGUUGAACAAUAAUAGUCAUAAGCCAAAGAUUUAAACAAAGUUGGCAAACAUGAUUCAAAAAGUAGUUAUCUAGAUAAAAAUAACAAGCAAUAUAUAAAACAACUAUUAAUGUUAGAAAAAACUAUAUCAAUGUAGUAUUUAUCAUAACAUAGGAAAUAACAUUAAUAGUUGUUUUGCGUAUAGUCCUUUUUCCCUUAUUUUGCAUGUAAAACAAUAGCAAACAGUAGUAGUAGCUUCAUUUUAGUUAAAUAGGAUAAUACUAUGCUAUUUUCUUUCUAUCAAGCUUAUUUCUAUUUUCUAUUUUAUUUCUAUCAGGUCACUGAAUUUUCCCAUUACUCGCCAACACAGCAGAACAAGAAGCUAAAGGUAACAAGAACAUAAAUCUACCCGGAAUUAAAGAAUGCACAUGACUUUGAUAUCUAAGCACUAAUAUUUUAUGUAACUACAAUUUAUUUUAGAACCUAGAGGGAUACUAUAAGGAUCUCAUGAAUAGUAUAUCUAUGCACAUAAAAUUCAAGAAAAAAGGCAUAUGUUAAAAAGAAAAUAAAUGCUACAAUCCUGUAUUAAGGCACUUGAUACAAGGAUAUUAAGUUGACAAAAUAAGGAAAUUUUGCUCUCCAUCAUGUAUUGAUCAGAACAUCCAUUUGAAACUUAAAACACUCAAGUCAUUAGUCUAAAAGAAUUAAGUAAAUAAAUCGGAUUGCCUACCUUUAGGUUUUUGAUGAGUGAUCAAAGGAAAGGUAGAAAUUUAAAAAUAGCGUAUUAACAUCAUAGAAUAUGUAGAAAAGUCUCAGAUAGAAACUUUAAACUAGGCAUGUAUUACAAAAUUAAAUUAAUCACUAGCUGUUAUAUGGUCAUGUUAGGUAGAUGUCAUUAUUCACCUUAUAAUGACUGUGAUAAAGAGAUGAGUACUAGUGCUAGCCUGGAAACUACUGGAGCAAAACAACAGAACUAAUAGAAGGCUUGAGUUAUAACAUUAAGAAGCGAGACAAAACAAAAAAAGACUACUGUCUUUAAUAGGAACUGAAUAAGUUCUAAACUUUAAAUAUGCUAGUUUAAUUGCUAAACUUUAAUAGCUAGUUUAAAUAUGGUCGAAAAUGCAAAUGGUAGAGUGAUGUAAUCCACAAUUAUCUUUCAAGUGUCUAUUAAGGACAUUCUGUUUAACAAAAAGAAGAAAGAUAACCCUGCAUGUAUUCUUGUUGUGAAAGAAAUUAACUUGUACUAUUUAAAAAUGAACAAGAAAAAAAAAUGUGACUUUUGUGCUGCUUAAGUAGGUGAAAGAAGCCAAUAAAUAUAGAUUUACUUUCAAAUAAAAAAUUCGAAACAAAAUAUCAUAAGAUUGGAAACAGGGCUUUUCAUUCAGAUUCUGUUUGGGAAGAAAGUGAUGAAAGGAAAGUGAUAAGAUGGGCCUUUCGAUUAUCAAUGAUCAAUGAUGAAAUUUAAACAACAGUCAAUAGCUAUCAGUUCCACAAUUUCUCCCAAAAUGCAUAUACACAACAGAUUAGUUUUUAAAAUUUUUAGGCAAAUUGAGAAGAUCCUCCACCUGAAAAAUGGAUACAUAUCAUAUCCAUAAAAAAGACAACAUCAAUUGUCCACCUAACAUAGGUUAACAGCUAUAAGCAAUUCAAAGUUUCAGCUUUUAGCUAUCACUAAUAGUUUAAGUGCAAAUCCAUGUUAAACAGCUGGACAUCUGAUGUCAAUUUUGGUGGGCAAGCUAAGCAGCUUAAAUGCAAAUAAAAAUGAGUGAUCUUGAAAUCAGAAGAAAAUAGUUCUAAAUGAAGAUAAAGAUAUAAAAUACCUGUUGUAGGUCAUUUUGAAAGAUGGUUUUUGGUGAACUAAAGAAGACAAAAUUGGCGUUUUGAUUCUAGUCGACCAACAAUGUAGUUUAGGAAUUGCUUCUACUUGAUUUGGAACACUGGAGAGUGGCUUUAGAUGAUUAACAGAUUUAGCAAAAAAUGAAAAAAGAGUUGGAAGAGAUCAGACGGUUUUGGCAUGGGUUUUGGAGGGAGUAUAAAAACCCAAUAAAAAUAUAUCAUUCUAAAGAAUGUAGUUUAGGAAAUUUCAAUUAAAAUUAUUUUUUUAUGGAUAUUAAUAAAAAUUAAAUUUUUUUUUAUUAAAAGUUACUAGUAUGGACAAGUGUAAUUAAAAUUUUUUUCUAUUUAAUUCAUUUUUUGCUUAAAAAUAUUUUUUAACAAAAAUUUUAAAUUUGAAAUUUUUAAAUUUUUAAAAUUUUAAACAAAAUGUGUAUUUUAAAAUUUUUAAUAUAUGUAAUAUUUAAUCAAUUUUCUUUAAUUAGAAAAUUUUCAUAUAUGAAUAUACAUACUUAGCUUAACUCAAACAAUAAUAGUAAUUUUUCUCUUUCCUUUUCCAAUAGUUUCUAACAAUAAAUUAUAUUAAAAAAAUAUUAUUUAAGGGUCAUAUAUGAAAAACGUAAUUUUUUAACUAAUAGUAUGUAAUUUGUUAAUAAAUUAUUAAAAUUUUAAUUUUAAUUAUAAAAAAUCAAAAUUACAAAAUUUUGAAUUAAGAAUUUGAAUAUUGAUAAAAUUUAAACAAUAAACUAGUAAGACAGAGCCAAUACACCAAAACAGUGACUAAUAAUAGUACUCCAUUAACUAUUAAAUAGUGAAAUAGGAUUCUAAGUUUUUAAAUUAUUAGAUCAUAGUUGGAUUUUACUUUAGCCUUUUGGGAACAAGUAGUAAGAUUUAAGAAGCACUUCUUAUCUUAAAAUGUGGAGUUAUUUUCUACUUGCAAUCAGUAUCAUCCCAAUACUUUUAAGAACUUGGCCAUGGGAUGAGAAAGUGUUGAAAUGGCAUUGGGCCCUUUUAGGUUUUUAAGGAGCAAACAAUUAUGGGUUUGUAUCACUUAGUAUCAUUUUUCUUUAGGUGUAGUUUAAGGAAACUUCAAUUAAAAUUAUUUUUUGUAUUGAUAUUAAUAGCUAUUUAAAAUUCAUUUUUUUACUUAACAAUUACUAGUAUGAUCAAAAGUAGCUAAAUUUUUUUCUAUUUAAGAUUAUUUUUUAUUUAAAAAAAUUUUUUUAACAAAAAUUUUAAAUUACAGAUUUUUAAAUUCUUAGCAUUUAUUUUUAAAUUCUAAACAAAUUAUGAAUUUAAAAAAUUUUUAUUAUAUGUAAUAUUUAAUCAAUUUUCUUUAAUUAGAAAAUUUUCAUAUAUGAUACAUACUUAAAUAAAUUGUGCUCAAUAAAAAUUAAAAAUUAUAUUUUUAAUUAUAUAGAUAAUCUAAGUAAAAUCAUCACUUAUAAAUUAUACAUUAAUUUGAACUUAUUAGUGAUAGAUAAAUAACAUAAUAACAUUAUUUAAAAGUUUGUGACAUUUAUGUUAUCGUCAUAUAACACCAUACAUUGAUGUCACAAAAUUGCAAUGUCAUUAAUAGUUAAUUAAAAUGUUCAAUUUAUGACAAAAACUAAUAAUGUCAUCUAAAAUCUAUAAAAAAGUUUUGUCAUAGAUAAAAUUUUAAAUUGGUGAUAAAAUUAUAACAUCACGUAAAAUAAAAAAUGUCACAAAAAAUUUACCACCAAAUUGUUUGUGAUAUUUAUGUUAUCGUUAUAUAACAUCAUAUAUUGACGUGAUGAAAUUGCAAUGUCAUUAAUAAUUAACUCAAGUGUUCAAUUUGUGACAAAAAUUAAUAAUGUCACCUAAAAUGUAUUAGAAAAAAUUCAACACAGAUAAAAUUCUAAAUUGGUAACAAAAUUAUAACGUCAUCUAAAAUUAAAAAAAAAGUCACAAAAAAUUUUUCCAUCAAAUAAAUAUAAAGGUAAAAUUUAGCGACAUUUAUGUUAUAGCCACAUAACAAAAAUGUAUGUCAUCUAAAAUCUAUAAAAAAAAUUCUCCAUAGAUAAAAUUUUAAAUCGAUAACAAAAUUAUAAUGUCACUUAAAAUUAAAAACAUCACAAAAUAAUUUCCCACUAAAUGAAUUUGCUGGUAAAAGUUUAUGACAUUUAUGUUAUCGUUGUAUAGCACCAUAUAUUGACAUAACGAAAUUGCAGUGUCAUUAAUAGUUACUUAAAGUGUUUAAUUUGUAAUAAAACUUAAUAACGUCACCUAAAAUUUAUCAAAAAAAAUUCAUCAUAGAUAAAUUUUAGAUUGUUAAUAAAAUUAUAACAUCAAAUAAAAUAAAAAAAUGUUAAAAAAAUAUUUCUCACUAAAAAAAUUUGGUGACAAAAUUUUGGUAACGUUAUCAUGUGACAAUUUUAUAUAUCAUCAUAUAAAAUAUCAAAACAAUAUAAAAGUGUGACGAAAUAUAUUAUUUAUCACCUUUUACAUACUUCACACAAUGAAAUAUAAUGCUUCAUAUAGAAAAAUUGUCACAAAUUGCCAGUUUUCUUUUAAUGUAUGCAAUGAUAUGAUGAAUGAAUGAUGAUGAUGAUAAUGGUCUAUGAAUGAGUGAGAUGUAUGAAAUGAAUAAAAAUAAACAAGCAAAGAAAUAAAUAAAUGCAAACUUAUUGAUGUUAACAUGAUUCAUGCAAAAGAAAGUAAAAAACAAGAACAAAUUUAGCAACUAAUAUAAAGAAAGAAAAAAACAAAACAAGUUAAUGCAUGACUUAAAAGAUAUGUGACCUAAUUUGGAGUAUUUCUACAAAAAAAAAAAAGAAAGACAUGGAUCUACUUAUGGGUAUUACAACUCAUUAUAUGUGGUUUAGGAUUGAUUCUAUAGGUUCCCAAAUGGUUCCUCAUAUCAUUGUCCAUCAUAGACUAGUAAGACACCCUAAUCCUCACCCAUUAUAAGUUACAAGUGGAAAGGUUCAAUUCAAGUGGGAGUGUUUCACUAGCCCAUGUAGAGACAUGAAAUCUCAUGAAGGCAUAGAUACUUUACUCCCUCUGAAAGGAUAGAACUCGGGUGUAGAAUUCAUGUUAUGCAUAUGCAAGUGAAUGACAAAUAGGAUAAAUAAGUAAAUAAAUAAAAUAUAAAAAAGGAAGAAAAAUAAUAAAAUAAAAUAAUUUUAAAUUUAUUAAGUAAGGCUUGGAUAACAAGAAAUUAUUUACUGGCCUAACUCUCAUAUUCCCCAAUGAAGUUGCCAAAUUAUCAUAACGUAUAAAUCCGUAAACCCAUCGCUAGACACAAACAUUAAGAGUCACACCAAUAUUUUUUGUUUAUGUGUGAUUAGCCACCUAACUAAAUCUAUCCUAUUUAAAGAGGAGUCCAAGAUAGAUUUAGGAUCUUUAAAUAUUAGAUUCUAAAAUUCAUGAAACUAGAUUUUAGGUUUGGAAGUGCAAUUACGCAUAAAAAAGGUUAAAGCACCCUCACAGCAUCCAUCCAAAGGAUGGCAUUGGUUUGAUUUCAAAACAUGCAAGCCUUGAAAUAUUCUUAUAAUUUUACCCAGUAAUUAAAAAUUGAUCUUAAAAUUACUCCAAUAGUUUGGUAGCAAUUUAAGAUAAUUUUUUAAUCUCAAAAGUAUUCAUAGAGACUAAUGUCUCACUCUGAAGAACCUCCAUUGUCAGAUUUAUUAAUAUAUUUUAUUUAAAAAAUAAUUUAUAAAUCCUCCAAUAGUUUGGUAAGAUUUUACUUCGAUACAGAUCUCUCAAUAGUUUGAUGAGAUUUUAUUUAAAAAUCAUAUAUAAAAAUUUUACUUUGAGAAAAUUCAUUAAAUAUUUUAAUAGCUUGGUAAGAUUUAAUUUAAGAUUUUGAUUCUCUAAUAGUUUGGUAGGGUUAAAAAUGUAUUAUUUUAUUUUAUUUAAAAAAUUCAUUAAGUCCUCCAAUAGUUUGGCAAGACUUAAUUCAAGAUUUAAUUCCUCCAAUAGUUUGGUAAGAUUUAAAAUUUAUUAUUAAAAAAAUUAUAUUAUGAAAUUCUCCAAUAAUUUGGUAAAAUUCAUAAUAUAAAAUUUAUAAACCCAUGAAAUUAAAAAAUUCAUAAUUUAAAACUCACAAUCUUUAAAUUUUAUUUUAAACAUACAUAAAAAAGUGAAAUAAAUGAAUAAAUAUAUAAAUAAAAAAAUGUGAAAAUUACUUUAAUGGAUGGAAACACACCUAAGUGGAAGUAUCCCUUGAUUUGUAGUGACAAAUAAUCGCCAAUUCGAACCAAAAAGCUCUACCACCAAUUCUAAUUGAAGAGCUUGAGUAUAGAUUGCUACUUAUCCAUUUCUAGGUGGGAUUCUUUUUUUUUCCCUCCUCUUUGUUUUUUUUUUUUUUUUUUUUGUGUAUGGUUGAUUGGUGUUUAUAUAGUACCUUCUGCUAGAAAUUUUAGGGAUUUGUAUUGAAUGAAAAGGAUCGUAGAUUUGAUUAUGCUCUAAAUUUAUUUUUUUCAUGAUUCUCUUUAAAAUCUUUUUAAUUAAUUUCUAGAAUUGUUUCAAUUUUUCUUUUAUUUUCAAAAUCCCUUAAAAAUUCUCAAAUUAAAUCUGACUUUGAUUCCCUGAUUUGCUUUCUUUUCAACCUUCUUUUGAUAUUUGGUAAGAUUAUGUUUCAGUCUUAAUUGCCGAGAUCAUCCUUGAUUAAUACUUAAAUUACUCCAUUAAUUUCAUUGACAUGAUUUAUGAUAAAAAAAAUUAAAACCAGAUAAAUAAAAGAUUAAAACAUAAAAAAAGAUAAAUAACUAAAUAAAUAAGACAAACAAGAUGUAAAAAGAAAUGAAGGAAAUUGGACAAUUGGCUUGGUUUAAGCCCCAACUAAAUAUGGUGUCUACAAAUAUAUAUUUUUAUACUCUUUUUUUAUUUUUUAAAUUAGAUAAUUUUGUUAAAAAUGAUAUUGAUGGAAGUGUCAACAUGGCAUCCAUAUUUAUUUUCUUUCAACCUUUCAUUUUUUAUAAACUUUUAUUUUUAAAAAAAGUUAAUAAUAAAAAUUAUACCAAACAGUUCAUCAUUGCUAAUUUCACAUGAUAAUGUAACUUUUUUUUUCUUUUUUUCAUUUUGAUUUUUGCUUUUUUUUUCUCCCUUUAUAUUUUAUUAGAUCAAUUGUUUAAACGAAAGAAAAGCCAACGAAUGUGCCCAUGCAUGUGGCAUCUUAUUUCAUUUCUUUCCUUUCAUCUUUUUUUUUUUUAAUUAGAUAAAUAUUACAAUAAAUGCAAAUUAGUAAAUAAAUUUUUUAGUUUAAAAGUCAAUUGAGGUAUUCACAACAAAUUUUCUUAAUUAGAUAAUUUUUUGAGAAAAUAAUGUCAAUGAAAGUGUUCACAUAGCAUCCUCACUUGUUUUUUCUUUUAUAAUUUUAUAAUUUAAUUAGAUAAAUUUUAUAAUAAAAUAAGACGAUUGAUAAAAAUAGUAAAACAAUCUGUAUCAAAUGAGUUUUGAUACAUCUCGAUUUGAUAUGUGUAUUUUUGUCAAAAAUCGAUAUCAAAUCAAAUCAUGUUGGUUGUUUAGGUAAGGAGAGGUAAGAUGUGGAUUUAGGGUGCUUUGUCCUAAAUCAUCUCGUGGUACAUGUAAAAGUAUGUAUUUUAUUAUUAAUUUGGUUUUAUAUUUAUAUACAUGUAUUAUAUUAAUAAAAUUAUCAUUUGAUACUUUAAUUUAAUAAAUUAAUAUUGUAAACUCAAUAAGGGUGUUCAUGUGGCAACCUUAUUGAGCUCUUUUUUUUGUUUUUUGUUUCCACCUUUUUUUUUCUUUCUUUUUCAAUCUUUCAUUUUUAUUCUUUUAUUAGAUAAAUUUAGUGAGAAAAAAAAGCCAAUUGAAAUAUCCACAUGACACCUCCAUUUAGUUCUUUUUUAUCAUUUACUUUUUUUAAAUGAUAAAUUUUUUAAAAUUAAUACAAAAAUAUUUUUAAUUUAAUUUUAUUUAAAUUUAUAUCAAAAUAAUAAUAAAAAAACACUAUGAAUUAUUUUAAUUAAUGAAAUAGUUAAACCUAUGCUGCGAGCUCAUUUCAAGUAUUCAAGAAAAUGGUAAAGAAAAUUAUUUAAACCUCAUCUUUUAAUUUGAAUCUUAAUUAGAACAUGCUAGCAGUUUUAUUUAUAGAGAUAAUUGGAAAUUAAUUACUUUCUUAGUCAACUACUAGGGUCUGAAACAAGUGCCAAAAAAAGUGAUAGGCCUUAAUUUUUCAAUCCCUAGCAUUUUGAAUUCAACAUUGUUGGAUUUCUUUGGGGCUGGGUUGAGCCCAAUGGCUCAUUAAUUAAGUUACUAAUCAGGCCUAAAAUCUAUUUAACCACAAUUUAUGGUUUUUAAAACUUAUGUAAGUCUGCCUAUACAUUUAUAUUAUAAAAAUUAUCACAUUCAUUUGUAGUAGUGGGGUUUUUAAAUUUUAUUAUCUAGACUGUAGCAGCAGUGUGAGCAGUUGAUAUAAUAUUAAAAUUUUAAUUUUAACGAUCAAAGUUUAAAUUAUUACAAUUUUAAAUAUGAAUUCUUUAUAUCAUCUUACAUUAUACAUGCACAUGUAAUAAUACAUAUAAAGUAAGUAAUAAAAAGCUAAAAACUAUCUUAUAAAAUGUGAAAAUUAUAGUGGAGAAUUGGGGGUUAGAUAAUAGGAAGCCUUAAAAAAUAUGAAUUAUUACCAAAUUACAAUAACAUCGUCUCACUAUAAUAAUUUUGUAAGAAACCUUUAUGAAGUAAGAAAGGGUCUGAAUUUAUAAUUGAAAAAUGAAUUAAUUAAUAGUAGGAUAGAAAAAUAAUUUAAAAGAUUACAAUUAGUAAUUCAUAACCAAAUAAAUGAUUUUUAUAAAUUAAUGUAAAACUAUGUUCUAAACCAACACAACGCAUAAAUAACGUCACAAAUUAAUCCUUUAUAUAUGCCUCGCAAACAUUUUAAUAAAAUUAUCAAAAAAAUGUUAACUAUUUCCAAAAAUACUAUUCAGAUAUAUAUAAUAUUGCUAAACAUGCUACUUCAACUUUUGAUAGUUGAAGUUACCUUCACAAAUGAAAUCUCACUUGAAAUCUUGCAAUUAAUUAACAUACUUUGAUAUUUUAAUUUUCAUCAGUGUGUAACUUUUUUUACCUGAUGAACAGAUAGUAAUUUUCAAUUUUUUUAUCAAAAUCUUCAAUUUAUCAAACAUUUUUUCUAUACUACUUUCAUUGUAACAUAUAUUCUUGCGUGUAAAACUAAAAAGGAUUAAACGUUUAAAUUAAAUUCAUAUAUACAUAUACAUUUACAUAUAAUUUAAUAUAUAUAUAUUAUUAUUAAUAUAAAAAUUUGCUUUUUCCCAAUAUAUUACUUCAAUUUCAUCGGACUUUUGCAUAUUUUUAGGUAAUAUAAAUAUUAGUGUAAUUUAUAUAGUGCGAUAAUAUCAAUAAAUGUAAUUUGAACACAGAAAAUAACUUGCAAGCAUGCAAAAUUACACACAGAUUUGCAUAAAAACAGGGGGUUUUAUUUUAUUUUAAUUUUAUCAUGUUUUUCAGAAAACAUGAAAGAAAAAAACCCAAAGCUAUAUAUUUAUUUUUCAUCACUCUAAGCACCCCCCAUGCUUAGGCUGAAAGUUGAUCCAUCAGCACUUAAACGGAACCAUUGAAGCCUUUAUUGUAAGCAUAUUCAACAAGGGAAUCCAACUCAUCAUUGGUGGCCAGUCGAUCAAAAUUGUCCUUAUUGUUUUAUCAGGCAACGUCCAUGGCCUCUUCGACUCUGCUUGUUUGGCGUGAAGUGCACCUCGGAGAAGGACGGAUGUUCAAAAGCAUCCUUGAGCUGGUCCUGGUGAAGGCUGCCCUGCUUAGAGUAAGAUCGAAACACUUGUUCCAAUUUGUUUUUUCUGAUCCUUCGGUUAAUCCUUUGUGGCUUGCAAUUUGCGAUUUUGAGGCUUAUGGACCAGGGUGUAUCUUAGAGAAGGCUUGCCCUAGCUUGGUUUGGUUUUCUUUUUCCAACGCAAUUCGUUUAUAUAGACCCAAAACUUUGAAUACGAUUCUGUUGAAGUGUAGGGGUAUAAAACAUUAUUUGGUGGUGGGUUUUAAAAAUUGAUUUCCAUCCUCUUUAUCAACAAAAGUAGUAAAUCAAUCAAUAAAUUUUUGUAAUAAACACUUCAAAAAAAAUUCCAUGAGGAUUGGUACGAAUAAAAAUAUUAAUGUUAAUUUCUUCUUUUCUUCUGGGUUCAAAUUAACCACAGAUUGGAAAAUGCUAAAUAGCAGCCUCCACUAUCUUGUGUCGUAGUGAUGAUACAAGCCUCCACUAUCUUGUGUCCAUUUUCUAUUGUUUCAUUUGUUUUAGCCCUCAAUUUGCAGUUUUUAGUUUUUUUUUUUUUUUUUUGUGGUUGCCUGAUUAAAUGAUACAUUUUGGUUUUAAUGAAUUUCCAGAAUUUGGUAGAUCUCGUGAAAGGAGUUCUAGGAAGCACUUUGAUGAGCAUGCUUGAAAAUUGUGAUAAUUAUUGUGAAUGAAUGUUAAGUUAUCCAAAAAUAAAUAAGUUUAGUUUUAGGACUUUCUUUCUUUUAUUGUUUGCUAUGAGCAAACUACUGUUAAACUAAUUAUUUGCAUUGUACCACUUCCAGGAAUCGUGGCUUUAGUGGGUUAAAACUGUGUCCAUGUUUCUCUCUCGUAUGCUCUUAAUCUGGGUAGGAUAGAACUAAGUUUGGGCUAUUUCAAUUCCUUCGCACCUUUCUUCCCCUGUACUGCAAUAUUUUCUCAACCACCCUUUUCAAGGGGAAAGCUGUAAUAUAUAUUUUUUAUAUUUUUUCUUUUUUUUAAAUUGGAUAAUUUGUAAAAAAAUUAUAUUGAUGGAAGUGUCUACAUGGCAUUCAGAUUUAAUUUUUUGAAUCCUUCAUUUUUUUUUUUUUAUAAAUCUUUAUCUUUAACAAGUUCAUAAUGAAAAUUUUUACAAGAACAGAUCAUCAUUGCUAAUAUUGUGUGACAAUAUAAUUUUUUUUUGUUUUCAUUUUCGUUUUUUUUUUUUUAGUUUUUUUUCUCCCUUUAUUUUUUAUUAGAUCAAUUGUUUCAGCAAAAAAAAAAAAAACCCAAUGGAUAUGCCCAUGUGCCAUCUUAUUUAAUUUUUUGCCUUUCAUUAUUUUUGUAAUUAGAUAAAUAUUACAAUAAAAAAAUCAGUAUAUAAAUUUUUUAAGAUAAAAAUCAAUUGAGGUAUAUAGAACAAAAUAUCUUGUAUCCUAUAUGUUUCAUUUCCUGUGUAUCCAAUUGGUGUGCUUUUUUUAAAAAAAAAAAAAAUUUAGGAUCAAAAGCCCUAAAAAAUAUGAAUUAUUACCCAAUUAUAAUAGCAUCAUCUACUAAAAUAAUUUUGUAAGAAACCUUUAUAAAGUAAGAAACGGAAAACUUAUAAUUGAAACAUGAAUUAAUUAAUAGUAGGAUAGAAAAAAUUUAAAAGAUUACAAUUAGUAAUUUCGUAAUCAAAUAAAUGAUUUUUUUAAAAUUAAUGUAUAACUAUGUUUUCUAAACCAAAGCAAUGCACAAAUGACACCACAAAUUAAUCUUUUAUAUAUGCCUCGCAAAUAUUUUAAUAAAAUUACAAAAAAAUUUUAACUAUUUCCAAAAAUAAAAUCUUGAUAUUUAUAAUUUUGCUAAACAAGUUAUUUAAACUUUUGAUAAUUAAGGUUAUCUUUAUAAAUGAAAUCCCACUUGAAAUCUUGCAACUAAUUAACCCAUUUUGAUAUUUCAAUUCUCAUCAAGAUAUAACUUUCUUUUGCUGCUGAGACCUACAACAAUAUGUACUUUAAAUUUUUUUGUCAAAUAGCCUCAAUUUUAUAAAAAUUAAUUUUGUCUAUACUUAUAUAUAUGCACUUGUAAAAACAUAUGCAUAAGUAUGUGUAAAAAUAAAAAGAAUUAAGCAUUUAAAUUAGAUUGAUAUAUAUAUAUAUAUACCCUAUCUGCUUUCCUUCCAAAAAGGUUGACUUUCAAAUUUCUUCAUACCUUUUAUCAUGUUUUUAAGUAAUAAAAAUAUUAGUGUAUAGUUUAUAAUAGUAUGAUCAACGUGUUCAUGGUAUUUGAUACACACAAUAUAACUUGCAAGUAUGUAAAAUUACACAGAUUUAAAUAAAAAUAGGGGGUUUUAUUUUAUUUUAAUUUUAUCAUCCUUUUGAGACAACAUGAAAGAAAAAGACCCAAAGCUAUAUAUUUAUUUUUCAUUAGUCAUAAGCAUCCCCCAUACUUAGGCUGAAAGUUCAUCCGUCAGCACUCAAACGGAACCGCUGAAGCCUUCAUUGUAAGCAUAUUCAAUAAGGGAAUCCAACUCAUCAUUGGUGCAGUCGAUCAAUUGUCCUUAUUUUUAUCAGCAACGUCCAUGGCCUCUUCAACUUGCUUGUUUGGCGUGAGUGCACCUAGUUGUUGAAAAGCAUCCUUGAGCUGGUCCCUGGUGAGGCUGCCCUGCUUAGAGUAAGAUCGAAACACUUGUUCCAAUUUGUUUUUAUGAUCCUUGUUAUCCUUUGUGGCUUGCAUUGUGGAUUUCGAGGUUUAUGACUGGGUGAUAUUAGAGAGAAAGCUUGUCUAGCUUGGUUUGGUUUUCUUUUCCAACGCAAUUUGUUUAUAUAGACCCAAAACUCGAUUUGUAUUCCGUUGAAGUGUAGGGGAAUAAAAUCUUUUUUUGUGGUGGUUUUUAAAAUUUGAUUUCGAUUGAAAGGAAACGAUAUAAUUGUAUGACAAUUUCUUCAUUUGAAUUUUUUUUAAGUAUCCAUUUUAUUAAUAAAAUUAAUAUAUCAAUCAAUAAAUUUUAUAAUGAAUACAAAUAAAUAAAUAUUCCAAGAGGAUUGGUACGAAUAAGAAUAUUUAAUGUUGGCUUGAAUUACCACAGAUUGGAAAAUGCUAAGCGUAGUGGUAGUAGCCUCCCUUUCUUGUCCCCUAGUGAUGAUAGCAGCCUCCACUAUCUUGUGUCCAUUUUCUAUUGUUUCUUUUGAUUUUGCUGGUGAAAAGGCUAGACAACAAAGUCAGGAGUAAAUCUAAACUCUCACCCUGUCCAAAUUUGAGCUGUUUCUUCACGAAAAAGUUUGAAGAGAAUCGUCUUGUUGCUCCUGGUUGGACAGAACUUGAUCAUACACAUUGAUUUUCUAAAAACUUAUAAUUUGAUGGAAGUGUCUUGUCUGUAGGAUAAUUUGAUAUUAUUGAUUAAAAAUAUUGUUAUAACAUAUAGAUUCAUGGAUCCAUCAUAGACAUAAACUUUAAGAGUCACUACCAUUUUUUUUUUUUUGUUUAGGUGCAAUUGACCAUUUAACUGAAUCUAUCUUAUUUAAAGAGGAUAUCUAAGAUAGAUUUAGGCAUUUUUAAAUAGUAGAUUCUAAAAUCCAUGAAAUCAAAUUUAAGGUUCAGGAGUACAAUUAUGCAUGAAGAAGUUUAUAGCUCCCUUAUAAUGUCUAUCCAAAAAAUGGUAUCAGUUUGAUUUCAAAUUAUCUAAGCCUUGAAAUAUUCUUAUAAUUAUAUCCAGUAAUUUAAUUAUUAGAAAUUGAUCAUAAAAUUACUCUAAUAGUUUAGUAGCAAUGUAAGAUAAUUUUUUCACCGUAAGAGUAUUCAUAGAGACUAAUGUCUCACUCUGAAGAGACUCCGUCGUUGAAUUUAUUAAUAUAUUUUAUUUAAAAAAUAAUUAGUAAAAUCCUCCAAUAGUUUGGUAAGAUUUUACUUUGGUGCAAAUCUCUCAAUAGUUUGGUGAGAUUUUAUAUGAAAAUCAUUUAUAAAAUUUUGUUUUGAUGUAGAAUUCUAAAUAGUUUGGUGAGAUUUUAUUUGAAAAUUAUUUAUAAAAUUUUACUUUGAGAAAAUUCAUUAAAUCUUCCAAUUUGGUAAGAUUUAAUUCAAGAUUUUUAUCCUCCAAUAAUUUGGUAAGAUUAAAAAUAUAUUAUUUUAUUUUAUUUUAAAAAUUCAUUAAGUCCUCCAAUAGUUUUGUAAACUUAAUUCAAGAUUUAAAUAUUUCAAUAGUUUGGUAGGAUUGAAAAUUUAUUAUUAAAAAAAUUACAUUAUGAAAUUCUCUAUUAGUUUGGUAAAAUUCAUAAUUGAAAAUUUCUAAACCAAUGAAAUAAAAAAUUCAUAAUUUAAAACUCACAAUCUUUAAAUUUUAUUUUAAACGUACAUAAAAAAAGUAAAAUAAAUGAAUAAAUAUAUAAAUAAACAAAAUGUGAAAAUUACCCUAAUAGAUGGAGACAUGCCUAGGUUGAAGUAUCUCUUGAUCUGUGGUGACAAAUAAUCACCAAAGAGCUCUGCCACCAAUUCUAACCUAAAAGCUAGGGUAUAGAUUGCUACUCAUCCAUUUCUUGGUGGGUUUCCCUUUUUUUUCCCUUUUUUUUUUGUAUGUUGUUGAUUGGUGUUUAUAUUGGGCCUUUUGCUAAGAGUUUUAGCGAUUUGCAUUGAAUGAAAAGGAUUGCAAAUCUAAUUAUACUCUGAACUGAUUUUUUCUUGAUUCUCUUUAAAAUUUAUUUAAUUAAUUUCUAAAAUUGUCUCAAUUUUCCUUGAUUUUCAGAGUCCCUCAAAACUUCCCAAACUAAAUUUGACUUUGAUUCCUUGAUUUGCUUUCUUUUCAACCUUCCUUUAAUAUUUGAAGAGAUCAUGUUUUAGUUUUAAUUGUCAAGAUCAUCCUUGAUUAGUGCUCAAAUUACUCCAUAAAUUUCAUUGACAUGAUUUAUGAUAAAAAUUUAAAACAAAAUAAUUAAAAAGAGUAAAACAUAUAAAUAAAUAAGACAAAAAAAGAUAUAAAAAGAAGUGAAGGAAAUUGGACAAUUGGGCUUGGUUUGAGCCCCGAACUAAAUAGGGUAUUUAUAGCUGGCCUUUUGCAUAGUUUUUGUAAAAUAGAAAUUAUACAAAGAUAUAGAUAUCUAUUACGUUCAAGCCCAAAUUAUUCAAUUUUUUUCUUUUUUUUAAAGGCUUUUAAAAAUGAAGGCACACAACUUUUUUAAAAAAUUAAGGACGACACCCGAAGGUUUUGACAAUCAUGCCCAGAGGUCUUAUAGAUCAUGUCUGAAGAGCUUGAAAAUUAAGCCCGAAGAUCUUACAAAAUCAUUCAUUAAAAAAUGCUCCUUUAAACAAAGGCUACACAACUAUUAAAAAAGUACCUAAAAGUUUUAAAAGAUCAUGCCUAAAGGUCUUAAAGAUUAUGCUUGGAGUUCUUACAAAUCUUGACUCUAAAAUAAAUUCAGCUCGAAAGACUUACAAAUCUUACCCAAAGGAUUUAGAGAUUAUGCUUGGAGGUCUUACAAAUCUCGAUCUUAAAAUAGAUUCAACUCGCAAGAUUUAUGAAUAUUGCCCAAAUGACUCAGAGAUUACACUUGGAAGUGUUACAAAUCUUGACUUUAAAAUAAAUUCAGCUCAGAAGACUUAUGAAUCUUAUCCAAAGACUUAGAGAUUAUACUUGGAGGUCUUAUAAAUCUUAACUCUAAAAUAGAUUCAAGUCAGAAGACUUACGAAUCUUACUUAGAGGACUCGGAGAUUAUGCCUAGAGGUCUUACAAAUCUUAACUCUAAAAUAGAUUCAGCUAGGAAGAUUUAUGAAUAUUGCCUAAAAAACUUGGAGAUUAUACCCAAAGGUCUAAUAAAUCUCAACUCUAAAAUAGAUUCAGCUUGAAAGACUUAUGAAAUUUACCUAGAGGUCUUACAAAUUAAACUUAAAAAAAGCUUAUUUAAAACAAAUGUUCAACCACUUUAAAGAGAAAAAUGAUAUUUGGAGGUUUUAAAUAUCAUGCCUGGAGGUCUUGUAGAUAUUGCUUGAAGGACUUUUAAAAUAGUUUAAUAGUUUUGAAGAUGUUGCAAAAGGUUUUUUUUUUAAAAAAUUAUCCGAAGGUUUUUUAAGACUGAUACUUAAAAAUUUUAACAAAUUUACCUUGAGGUAAAAUCAUGUUUGGUCAAAGUUUCAUUUUUUAUCAAAAAUUUAAGUCAAUAUCUCUUUCCUCUAAAAAAUAUGAAUGUAACAUAUGAAAUAGAUGUGAUGUAUACUAUGUAAGAAAUGCAUGAAGUGCAAUGAAUUAAAUGCAUGAAUUUUAUACCAAAUGUCCUUAAUUGUGGUAAUAGGUUUCUCAAAACUUUUAUUCCUUCCAUCUUUCCAUGACAUAUCCUCUGAAUUAGUUGACAAGUUCUUUCAUGCCCUAAAGUAGACAUUCUCAACAUUUUCAUUCUUGAAAACUAUUCUUCUCUUCUAGUGAGUUGUUUUAAUUUUGAUCUUUUGCAUUUGGCAUUUUCUUGCCCCAAAAAGGUCUUUUAUAGCAUUCACCUAUCUCCCACCCUGAGCAUUAAGAUCGACCAUAUUUUGAACAUUUUUCAAAACUUACCAUGAAUAGCAAUAGAAAUUACCCCAAAUAUAUCUCUUCUACAUGUGAUCAAAUCUCUUAAAAAUUGGUGAUUAUCGCUUAGAAUAAGGAUGAUGAAUCAUAAUUUUGGUCUUCCAAAAGGACGCAAUGGUUUGGCACCUCUUUCAGUUCUUGAUAGGUGGUAUUUUAAUAAAUAUCAAGAACAACUAUGUUAGGUUCAAAUUUUCAAGUUUGAAAAAAGAACAAGGCCUAAAAUUUAGAAUGAAUCUUCAUACUGAGAUCAAUCUUUUGGGCCUUUAAAGAAAAGUCUCCUUGGUGCUAAUGAAAAGUCAUAAGUUGCUUUCAAAGUUUCAAUCUUGCUUUAGGCUGCCCUUUCAGGUUUUCACCCUAAAACUUCAUUCUUUUCUCUUUUUUUUUGUUUUUGAUAUUCCAUCAUGCAUUUUAGCAUUCAAAAUUUAUCAAAAAGUGAUGGUGAUUUCCUAAAGAAAAACUUCUUAAUUUAGAUAUCCAUACUUGAUCAAAAUAGACUUUUUAAAUGACGUAAUGUGGGCUAAGGUUUAAGGAUUUAAAAAAAGCAUAAAUAGGCCCAAAAAAUGUAUUUACAGGUGAUCAAAUCAAAGAUCAUUUCUUUUCCAGAAACAUCUUUCCUUUUUUCAAAGAUGCAUUUUCUUUUUUCUCUUUUUUUUUUCUUUUUUUUUCCCUUUUUUUUUUUUUCAUGACCUUAAAAUUUUUUAAACUCUUAUUUCAAGCUUUUCUAACAUGAGGCAUUAUUUCCUAACUCAGCACAAGAUAGAUGCCAUUUGAGAAAUCCUUUUUCUCUUAAACUUGCCCCCAAAAUUUAAAGGUUGAUCCCUAGUUAAGGUUCGUUCGAAAGAAUAAUCAAAGGUUGAAAAAAGGUAGCAAAUGGAUAUUUUCUUCUUUUAUGAAGGGAAUUUAAAAGAUAACCAUUUUUCAUUUCAAGUAUGGAUAUCUAUUGAAAAACAGUCUAUAAGAGACAACUUGUUUCUAAUUGAUUUUAGGUUCAUUUGAAUGCCUCACAUGCAUGAUUUCAUAAUCAACUCUCUUUUCUUUUCUUUUCUUUUUUGUAAUUCAUUCAUUUUGAUAACAAAGACAUCUAAAUGUUCAUCAAUCAAAAUGAUCAAAAGGAUUAUUUAGGGCAUCAAGUAAAUUUGGCUUUUACCCCAAAGUAAGUACCAAUGAUCACUUGGUAAACGAUUCAAAAAAAAAGAUGAAUGUAGACAAGCUAAAAUACUGAACAAAUUAAGAAAAUAUAGCUCAAGAAAUUUAGGUGGUGACGUGCUUGAAAGAAGCUUGACAUUUAUUGAAAGACCAAAAAUUAAAAUGCUUAGGAGAGUGCCUUAAAAGAUUUUACAAAUUAAUCGACUAUCACAUUGUUCAUAGCCCAAAUGAAGAUCAAUAAAUUUUAAGUUUCAUCAUGGUCAAAUAAAGGGAAGUUUUGAAACUUUCAUCCCUGGAAAUUCUCAAGGCUUUUAAUUUUCUAAAUGAAAAAAAUUACAUGUUCAGGGGAAUGGCUCAAGAUACCUAUUCCUAAUAAUAAUUAUCAAAUUUCUUGAUUUUUUUUUCACAUGCAUUUGUAAGAAGCUAAACNNNNNNNNNNNNNNNNNNNNNNNNNNNNNNNNNNNNNNNNNNNNNNNNNNNNNNNNNNNNNNNNNNNNNNNNNNNNNNNNNNNNNNNNNNNNNNNNNNNNNNNNNNNNNNNNNNNNNNNNNNNNNNNNNNNNNNNNNNNNNNNNNNNNNNNNNNNNNNNNNNNNNNNNNNNNNNNNNNNNNNNNNNNNNNNNNNNNNNNNNNNNNNNNNNNNNNNNNNNNNNNNNNNNNNNNNNNNNNNNNNNNNNNNNNNNNNNNNNNNNNNNNNNNNNNNNNNNNNNNNNNNNNNNNNNNNNNNNNNNNNNNNNNNNNNNNNNNNNNNNNNNNNNNNNNNNNNNNNNNNNNNNNNNNNNNNNNNNNNNNNNNNNNNNNNNNNNNNNNNNNNNNNNNNNNNNNNNNNNNNNNNNNNNNNNNNNNNNNNNNNNNNNNNNNNNNNNNNNNNNNNNNNNNNNNNNNNNNNNNNNNNNNNNNNNNNNNNNNNNNNNNNNNNNNNNNNNNNNNNNNNNNNNNNNNNNNNNNNNNNNNNNNNNNNNNNNNNNNNNNNNNNNNNNNNNNNNNNNNNNNNNNNNNNNNNNNNNNNNNNNNNNNNNNNNNNNNNNNNNNNNNNNNNNNNNNNNNNNNNNNNNNNNNNNNNNNNNNNNNNNNNNNNNNNNNNNNNNNNNNNNNNNNNNNNNNNNNNNNNNNNNNNNNNNNNNNNNNNNNNNNNNNNNNNNNNNNNNNNNNNNNNNNNNNNNNNNNNNNNNNNNNNNNNNNNNNNNNNNNNNNNNNNNNNNNNNNNNNNNNNNNNNNNNNNNNNNNNNNNNNNNNNNNNNNNNNNNNNNNNNNNNNNNNNNNNNNNNNNNNNNNNNNNNNNNNNNNNNNNNNNNNNNNNNNNNNNNNNNNNNNNNNNNNNNNNNNNNNNNNNNNNNNNNNNNNNNNNNNNNNNNNNNNNNNNNNNNNNNNNNNNNNNNNNNNNNNNNNNNNNNNNNNNNNNNNNNNNNNNNNNNNNNNNNNNNNNNNNNNAAUUGUCCUUAUUUUUAUCAGGCAACGUCCAUGGCCUCUUCAACUUGCUUGUUUGCGCUUGAGUGCACCUAGAUGUUCAAAAGCAUCCUUUGAGCUGGUCCGUGGUUGAGGCUGCCCUGCUUACGUAGUAAAGAUCGAAACACUUGUUCCAAUUUGUUUUUCUGAUCCUGUUGUAUCCUUUGUGGCUUGCAUUGUGAUUUUGAGGUUUGUGACCGGGUGGUUGAUAUUAGAGAGAAGGCUUGCCUAGUUUGGUUUGGUUUUCUUUUCCAAUGCAAUUUUAUAUAGACCCAAAACUCUGAUUACGAUUCUGUUGAAGUGUUGGGGAAUAAAACAUUUUUGGUGUGCUGGUUUUAAAAAUUGAUUUCCAUCUUUUUAUCAAUAAAAUUAAUAAAUCAAUCAAUAAAUUUUAUUAAUGAAUACUUAAAAAAAAUAUUCCAAAGAGGAUUUGGUACGAAUAAAAAUAUUAAUGUUAAUUUCUUCUUUUCUUCUGCUUCAAAUUAACCACAGAUUGGAAAAAGCUAAAUAGCCAAGCCUCCACUUAUCUUGUGUCCAUUUUCUAUUGUUUCAUUUGUUUUUAGCCCUCAAUUUUGCAGUUUUUAGGUUUUCUUUUUUUUUUUUUUGGUUCCCUGAUUAAAUGAUGCAUUUUGGUCCAUUGCUGGUUUUAAUGAAUUUUCAGAAUUUGUAGAUCUCGUGAAAGGAGUUCUAGGAAGGUACUUUGAUGAGCAUGCUUGUAAAUGUGAUAAUUAUUGUGUAUGAAUGUUAAGUUAUCCAAAAAUAAAUAAGUUUAGCAUUAGGACUUUCUUUCUUUUAUUGUUUGCCAUAAAUGAUUCUGGAGCAAAGCAAACUACUGUUGAACUAAUUAUUUGCAUUGUACACUUUCAGGAAUCACUUAGUGGGUUAAAACUGAUAUACAUGUUUCUCUCUCAUAUGUUCUUAAUCUGGGUAGGAUAGAAUUAAGUUUGGGCUAUCUCAAUUCCUUUGCACCUUUUUUCCCUUGCACUGUAAUAUUUUCUCAACAACCCUUUUGCAAGGGGAAAGCUGUAAUAUAAAUAUAUAUAUAUAUAUUAUAUUUAAAUUAGAUAAUUUUGUAAAAAAAUUAUAUUGAUGGAAGUGUGUACAUGGUAUUCAGAUUUUAUUUUUUCAUUUCUUCAUUUUUAUAAAGCUUUAUUUUUAAAAAGUUCCUAAUAAAAAUUUUUACAAGAAUAAAUCAUCAUUAAUAAUAUUGCAUGACAAUUCAAUUUUUUGUCCUUUUUAUUUGUUUUGAUUUUUUCAUUUUCAUUUUGAUUUUUACUUUUUUAGUUUUCUUUCUCCCUUAAUUUUUUAUUAGAUCAAUUAUUUCAGUGAAAAAAACUCAUCGGAUGUACCCACAUGGCAUCCUAUUUUAUUUUUGCCUUUCAUUUUUUUUUAAUUAGAUAAAUAAUACAAUAAAAAAAUCAGUAAUAAAUUUUAUAAGAUAAAAAUCAAUUGAAGUAUAGAUAACAAAAUAUCUUGUAUCCGAUAUGUUUUGAUUCCUAUGGAUUAAUCGGUGUGCUUUUUCUUUUUUUUUUAAUUUAGGAUUGGAAACCUUAAAAAAUAUGAAUUAUUACCAAAUUACGAUAGCAUCGUCUACUAAAAUAAUUUUGUAAGAAACCUUUAUGAAGUAAGAAACGGAAAACUUAUAAUUGAAAAAUGAAUUAAUUAAUAGUAGGAUAGAAAAAUAAUUUAAAAGAUUACAAUUAGUAAUUUCAUAAUCAAAUAAAUGAUUUUUUUUAAAAUUAAUGUAAAACUAUGUUUUCUAAACCAAAGCAAUGCACAAAUGACACCACAAAUUGAUCCUUCAUAUAUGCCUCACAAACAUUUUAAUAAAAUUACAAAAAAAAAUUUAACUAUUUCCAAAAAUAAAAUCUUGAUAUAUAUAAUUUUGCUAAAUAAGAUAUUUUAACUUUUGAUAAAUGAAGUUACUUUCAUAAAUAAAAUCUUACUUGAAAUCCUGCAACUAAUUAACUCAUUUUGAUAGUUUAAUUUUCAUUAAAGUGUAAUUUUCUUUUGCUUGCAAAGACCAACAUCUGUAUGUACUUUAAUUUUUUUGUCAAAUAGCUAUAGUUUUAUCAAAAUCAUUUUUGUCUAUACUUACAUAUAAGCACGUGCAAAAACAAAUGCAUAAAUGUGUGUAAAAUUAAAAAGAAUUAAGCAUUUAAUUAGAUUCAUAUAUAUAUAGAUAUAUAUAUAUAUAUAUAUAUACACACAUACACACACUAUCUGUAUUCUUCAUAAAUAGGUUGACUUUCAAGUUUUCUCGAAGCCUUUUAUCAUGUUUUUAAGUAAUAAAAAUAUUAGUGUAUGGUUCAUAAUAGUACGAUAACAUGUUCACGGUAUUUGAUACACAACAUAAACUUGCAAGCAUGUAAAAUUACACAGAUUUGAAUAAAAACAGGGGGUUUUAUUUUAUUUUAAUUUUAUCAUGUUUUUCAGAUAACAUGAAGGGAAAAAGACCCAAAGCUAUAUAUUUAUUUUUCAUCAGUCAUAAGCAUCCCCAUACUUAGGCUGAAAGUUGAUCCAUCAGCACUCAAACGGAACCGCUGAGCCUUUAUGUAAGCAUAUUCAACAAGGAAUCCAACUCAUCAUUGGUGCAGUCGAUCAAAUUGUCCUUAUUUUUAUCGGCAAUGUCCAUGGCCUCUUCAACUUGCUUGUUUGGCGUGAGUGCACUAGAUGUUCAAAAGCAUCCUUGAGCUGGUCCCUGGUGAGGCUGCCCUGCUUAGAGUAAGAUCGUAAACACUUGUUCCAAUAUGUUUUUCUGAUGUCUUGUUACCUUUGUGGCUUGCAUUGUUGGAUUUUGAGGUUUAGACAGGGUGAUAUAAGCAGAAAGGGCUUGCCAGCUUGGUUUGCUUUCUUUCCAUGCAAUUGUUUAUAUAACCCAAAACUCGAAUAGUAUUCUGUUGAAGUGUAGGGGAAUAAAAUCUUUUUUGUGGUGGGUUUUAAAAUUUGAUUUCGAUUGAAAGCAAACAAUAUAAUUGUAUGAUAUUUUCUUCAUUUGAAUUUUUUUUAAGUAUCCAUUUUAUCAAUAAAAUUAAUAAAUCAAUCAAUAACUUUUUAUAAUGAAUACAAAUAAACAAAUAUUCGAAGAGGAUUGGUUCGAAUAAGAAUAUUAAUGUUGGCUUGAAAUUAACCACAGAUUGGAAAAUGCUAAAUAGCAGCCUCCACUAUCUUGUGUCCAUUUUCUAUUGUUUCAUUUGUUUUAGCCCUCAAUUUGCAGUUUUUAGUUGCUUUGUUUUUUUCGUUGCCUGAUUAAAUGAUGCAUUUGGAUAAAUUUAUUAUCCAAGCUUUAUGAUGAGUACCUAUAGACUUUUUGUAGUAAUAUGAUGAUGAUAAUAGUUUUGAAAGAACUAAAAACCUUUUGCUGUUAUUUGUUCACCCGAAAACUGAGAGUAAUCAUGUUAAUAGAGAAAUGCUCAGACAUUGAAGUUGAAAAAAGGAAAAGUGGUUGAGAAGCUGAAUAUGGGAUAAAAUUGUGGCAACUGGCAAGUGUACAUUAACUUUUCUGGGAUAAGAGUUUUAGUUUACAAAAUGUCGUUUUGGCCGAAUAUAUGUCUUAUAUGAAAAGUCUGAUGACUGAAAACGUAAAUUUGAUCUAUGAUGUCACUAUUCCAGCAUCCACGGUGGAGAGUUCUUGUUGAUAAUCAAUAUUAAGUUUGGGCAGUGAACCUAUCAGAGGCCCGUUUUUGUUAUUGGGAUAAAACUGGUUUUGUGUGUAAUGUUUCAUUUGCACGACAUUUAAGCUGUCUGUUCAUCUAGUAUUAUAAAACUUGUUCAUUUGACUGGAGGUGCAGUGGGAUUUGCAGGUCUGUGGAGAGGAUAAUGGAAGUUCAUGAACGUUGUGGUGAGGACAAGAAUGCUUUAUGGAGCACAAACUUUGUGCAAACACCAAGUUCUUUCUGCUGUUGCUCUUAUUUUAUGCUUAAAAUCAUAAGCUUUUUUUGUGCUUUUACUACAAAUUUUACAUCAAUUUAACAAACCUGAGAAUCCAGUAAUAUAAUAAUGGCCACAGCAGGGGAACUUUGCUUUUCUAUUACAAGUUCUUUCAGAAAGUACUUAUUGCUUUGUGUUUUCCUUACAACUGACCACAAUCUUUUACUUUCCAAAAUCAUGCCUCUGAUUAAGUAAAACCUGCUCGAAAACUAUUGUUACACUUGCAACACAAAGACUUCAUAUAUAUAAAAGAAAAACAUUACAAAAUUCAUAUUUCACAUUUGAAUUUAAUGUUUUUCCUUUUUUAUGUGAAGGCUUCAUAGCAUUAGGAUUUAAUACUAGAAAUUAAGUUAGUGACACAAUGAAGACAACACAAAAGGCUUUUGUCAUAUCUUAUGUGUAUCUUCGAGGUGUCUCUGGACUGGAGUAAUGAAUUGUUGAAUCGAAACGUUACACAGGCUAAAAUCAAAUAGCUAGCUUUUGCAUACGUUUUGUUGCACUUAGAUGUGAAUCAUUUUUUCCAUGAGAGGAGAUUUUAUUUACAUCUUUAGUAUAUUGUUUUGAUGCAAACAAAUGAAUUUGCUUUGUCUUGUGAAAAAAUUUGUAUACCCUAUUGAUCCUAAUUUUGAAUUAAUUUUCCUCUUUCUCUUCCAGCUGCCAAUGGUCAUAUAAUACCAAAAACCUGCAUCCUCAGUCUCAGAUUGUCCUCAACCUCACCUGGCUUGCAUCAGUGAAUCUGAUCACACUGCAUGAUUUCAUGUAUGGAUAUAUAGAUAUCUUGGACCAUUUAUAUAUAAUUCCAAACCAUUUUACAUUUCAUAUAAUUCACCCCUACAUUUAAUUACUACUUAGGACAGCAAUAGAAAUGUUGAUUGAACAGUUCUUUUAAUUUUAUGAUUCAAAUGAUGAAAACUUUGAAGUAAUUACAUUUAAUGAUGGUGAUUCAAAUGGGGGUGUUCAUGUGACACCUUUAUUGAGCUUUUUUUUGUUGUUUUUGUUUUUCUCCUUUUUUUUUUCAAAUUUUUUACAUUUUUAUUUUUUGAUUAGAUAAAUUUAAUGAGCAAAAAGGCCAUCGAGAUAUAUUCACAUGUCACUUCUAUCUAGUUUUCUUAUCUUUUAUUUUUUUUAAUUAGAUAAGUUUUAUAAAAAUAAUAUAAAAAUUAUUUUUAAUUUAGUUUUAUUAAAAUUUAUAUGAAAAUAAUAGAAAAAUAAAAUAAAUUAUCAAUUAUUUUAAUUAAUAAAAUAGUUAAACUUACGCGUAAGCUCAUUUCUAGUAUUUAAAAAAAUGAUAAAGAAAAUUAUUUAAACUCCAUCUCUUAAUUUAAGCUUUAAUUAGAACAUGCUAGUAGUUGAUUUAUAGAGCUCGCUAGUUUGUUAUUCGUUCGACGUAGGUAUUAUUUUUAAUUAUUUAAAUGUGUAGACACAUAAAUUAUUACUGUUUAGUCACUUAUAUAUUCAAGACAUAUGUAAAAUACAUAUAUAAUUAAGAUAUCAAAUUAUCAUAAAAUUACAAUCUUUUAUUAAAAAUUAAAUUAAUUUAAAAAAUAUGAAAAAUAAACUAUCCAAAAGAUAUUAUAAAUAAUAAUAUUGAGUUCACCAAAAAAAUAUUAAAAUGAAAACUAAAAGUUUGAUUACUUCAAAUUAAUUUUCUUCUGUUUGUAUCUAUCGUAACGACUUUAGAGAUCACUAGACGAAUUUGGAAAAAUAAAAGAAAUGAAGUCGUUAUCAAUUUUUUUUGGUUAGGUGUGAUUGACCACUUAUUAAAACUUACUUUAUUAAUAAAUUAAUUAAAAUUUAUUAAAAAGAUAAUUUUUAAGUUUGCAAAAACAGUUUGAGUACGGGAGUCGGUAAUGCGUGGGGAAGGAUUAGCACCCCACAAUGUCCAUUUAAAACAUUACUAAUUAAUUAUGUGUUAUCUUUUAAUAUUGACAAAAAAUGGUCUUAAUAUUGGUAUUAACAAUUACUAUUCUUAAUUUUCUUUAAAAACAUGUUUAUGAUUUUUUAGUAAGCUCGAAAAAUAAAUAAGAACUUUAUAUUGAAAAUUUUCUAAAAAUAUCUCAAUACGCUGGCAGUAUUUUUAGAAAACUUUUCUCACUUAGAGAUAUUUUAAAAAUCUCUACUUGGACUUCUUUACAAUUCCAUCAUCGGAUAUUUUUAUUUCAUUGAAAAUUAUAUAAUGCGAGCAAUCAUGCAUACAAAACAAUAUAUAUAUAUAUAUUGAUUAUGACUUAAUCAUCUUAUUUUAUCCUCUAAUUGUCAAUAACACCUUUGGAAGGAACAAAGUGAAUAAAAAUUUUAUUGAAAAUGUCCCUAGAUAUUCCAAUAAUUUGAUGGUAUUUUAAAAAAAUUUUCUCACCUACGGAUUUCUUAAGAAUCUCUACUUUGACUUCCUUAAAAUCCUAUCCUCGAAUAAUUUCAUUCAUAUUAUUAUGUGCAUGAAAAAUAAAAUAUAUCAAACAUGAAUUUAAACUCAAAAUAUUAAAUUAAAAUAAGCCUGAGAAUCUAAACAACAAAAAAAAUUAACUAUGCAUAGGAUUAAACUUAUAAUUGAAUUUAAACAAUCAUAAACAAAUUGUAUAAUUAUAAUUAAAAUUAAACAUACAUAAAAAAAAUUUCUCGGAAUCAAAUUUUAAGCCUUAUAUUCUUUAUGAAAUUUUAUUCAUUUAAAAAUUUUAACUAGAAAAACAAACUUGGACCUAGCCUAAAAGCUUGAAUGUGAAUGGUAUGGCCUCAUUUUUUUUUUUUUUUUACAUUUCUUCUAUUCUUCAAUCAAAUAAAAAACAAGCCAAUCAUGUAGUCCCUACCCAUCUCAAUCAAAGCUCUAGUUUUGUCCCAUAUAUGGCUUCUUUAUUUUAAUAAACUUUAUUCUCCCAUCCUAAGAACCAUGCAACCCUUAGCCCCAUUCUUUUCUACGUAAAGCUUGCUACUUUCUAUACCUAUUGGUUUUUACCUUCCAUUUAAGACUAGCCUACAUGACAACAAGCAUUGGAACCAAACUUGACAGCAAGCCUUCACGGUCAACAAUGAAAGAAGUGGAUCAUCCAUCAUCAAGCAUAAAAGAAAAUUGAAACUCUAGCUUCUACAGCAACAUUCAUGCAAAAAAAGGAAAAGGAAACAUGGAUGGUGAGGCUUUAAAUAAUUCACCGAAACAUGAUAGAAUUAGUGUUCUUAGCACCAUACUUGGAGCUUUAAAACUACCUUAAUCACCUCAUUUCACCCACAUGUGGAAACUAGGCAAAGAGAAGCAAGGUGGGAUCAUGCAUUGUAUGAGAUACUUUCCCUACAUCUAUAAAGGCUUCAUGUACUGAAUGAGUAGGCAAAAGCAUGUAAAAAUGGCCGAGCAAAACAAACAUAAAGGUGGAAUAGCAUAGUUCACGUGAAAUUUCCCCUACACAUGGUCUAUUUUCAACUUUUCAUUCUUUAUAUAAUCAACCAUAAGAACAAGCCAAGACAGCUCUGACGUAUAGGGAAGAAACCAAAAAAAUACAAAAAACUAGAAGCUUUAUAGCUUGUGCAAAACCUUUCACAUAAAGACAACAAACUAGACAAGAAAAAGAACCCCAUUCCAUGUUGAAGAGCAAAGAGCUAUGAAGUUGCCCAUUCAUGUUUUAUAUAGCUCAAAUGGAUUAUAGCCAAAGGUCAUCAACUUCAAACUUCCAGCUUUCUUCCUUUUAGCUUUUAAAACAAAACAACACUGUGGUCCAAACAACUUUUGAUCGUGAGCCCUUUUUGACCUUACUAGUAAACCCAUGUCUCAUACAAAGAAAGAAAGCAAAAGAGGUGCUGAAAUUACUUUAGGCAGCAAUGGAAAUAGGUUCCAAAAUCUGUUUGGAAGAUCAACCAAACCGUGACUGCCCAUGGGGAGUUAGGCAACACGUAGGGAUUUAAAUAGCGAUCGCGGUCACAUUUUCGGUCGCGUAGCAUUUGUCGCGUUUCAGAUAUAACGGAGAUAAUUGCGGUUGCUGUGAUCAUCACAGUCGUGAAAUUUUUUUUUUUUGCACAAUUUAUUAUAACAUGUAAUAAUUCUAAUUAUAAUUAUAAAAACUCUUAUUCAAUGAUUCUAAAAAUAGUUUAUGACACUCCAUGUUUUUUAUUUUCUAAAAAAAUUAUUUAUAAUUUUAUUUAGAUUAUAAAAAGCAUUCAUAUUUGGUUUAUCCAUAAAAUUUUUCUUGGCCAAGUUCAUAUUCAAUAUUAAUUCUAGACAAAUCAAAUAUUAAAAAACAUAAUAUGUUAAAUACCAAGCAUUUAAUUUAAUAAAAUUACAAACUUAAAAAUAUAAUAAAUUCAAAUUUCAUCAACUACAAUUCUUGAUACAUAUUUCAAAUUUACCACAUGGUAGAAUGACGAGGAGGAUCAGAUUCUCUAUCUUCACUUUGAAAGCCAAGUUGACUCCAUCUCCAUUCCUGAGGCCUUUGUUCUUGAUACAUUUGAGAUGGAAAGAUAUAUUUGAGGAUGAUACACUUGUGGUGGAGGGUACAUUUAUGGUAACUGAUACAUUUGAGAUGGAAGAUACAUUUGAGGUGGAUAAUAAGCAUAUGGAGGUGGAUAACCAUGAGGAGGAUGAAAAUUAUGUUGUUCUAGUGGAUAGUAAUGUCUUUGAGUACUAGCAGAUGAUUCACUAUACUCAAAGUUACUAGAAUUUAGUUUUUCACCUAAAGAUGAAGAACCUUUAGAAAUUUCAUAGUGGUGCUUCUUCGCUUUUCCUUUUGAUCGAGUUGUACGUGCACUUUGACCCUCACUAGAUUUAGCAAAUGGAUUUCCUCUGUAUUCUACCAUAUUAAUGAAAAGUCCACCAGUAACAACAAACUCAAAUUCUCCUCUAAGUGGGCUGUAAAGUCGAUUUGCAUCCACAUUAUCACCAAAAUUUACACCAUCACCAUCACCAUCUCCAUCACCAUCAUCAUCUGGACUUAAAGCACCACCAUCAUCACUUUAACUUGGUGUUGGACUUGAACUUGAAUGAGACACAUUCCUUUCUUGAGAUAGACGUGAUCGUUCAACAUUCAUUUCAUUAUUAGAAUUAUCUACAGGUAACUAAUUAAAGUUUUGACCAUCUAAUAGAAGAUUUUCUUUCUCUUGCAGCCAUUCUGUUAGUGGAUCAUCAUCUUCAAAAAUAUGGUCAAGGCUAAUAGGAUUAAAACUAUUAUUUAUUUCAUCAAUGCUCAUUCUUUUCUGAUGUCUCAUCCUCAACCUCAUGUUAUAAUAGGUAUAUACAAGUUUCUGGAGUCUUUCAAACUUCAAUCUAUUUCUUGCUUUGGUGUGAAUAUAGCUAAAUGUGCUUCAAUUAUAUUGACAAUUUGAUGUAGAUGUUGUUUGACUAAGCACUUUGAUUGCUAGUUUUUGUAAUUCAGGAACACAAGUGCCAUGUAUCAUCCAUCACUCAGCUGUAUAAAAUUAUUUAAAUUAAAUUUCAAUGGGCUAUACAAUUAAAUAAUAUAAAUAAAUUAUAAUUAUUUAACUUACUAGUUACCUGGAUUCAUUUGCUUCCAAGCUCUUUGUGCUUGUGGACUACCAAAUGUUUUAUGCUUGUCUCAAAAUAAUAACAACUACAUCGAUUGAAAAUACAAUAAUGAAUGAAUAAAUAAAAAAUAAUUUAAUUUUUAAUAUAUUAAAUAAAUGUUAAAGUUAUAAAAUAGUAUUAAAUACUAACCUGAUUAAUUAUUUUGAUUUGAGUAUCUAUCGAAGGUUCUAAUCUUUCAAUAACUACUUUUAUACCUUCUAAUGUUUCCUUAAAUACAUUUGCAGAAUGUUCCACUCCAAAUUGAAAUUAUGGAUUUAGAUAGUAACCUAAACAUAAUUUAUAAAAAUAUUAUAUUAAAGUAAUAAAAAAUAAAUAUAUAAGCAAUUUAAGUAUAAAAAAUAAACAUAUUUUUUAAAUACCAUCUAUAUUCUUAGUUUUCUUACCAGCUGAAUGCAAGUCAGAGUGCAUGAAACUCCAUCUAUUGUCAAUAAUCUUUUCAUAUUCAGCAGAAUAACGACAAGUUUGUUGAAUUGCUUGUUUAGCUCUAUCCACAGCCUUGUAAAUAAAGCCCAUUGUUGAUUUUUCAUCAACAUCCACAAGGCGCAACACUUUUACCAAAGGCUCAUAAACUUUUAUUAUAUUGCCUGCUUUUUUUCAAAAAUCUUUUCCCAAAAUGAUUUUUUUGACUUCAUAAGCAAGUCUUGAUUUUUGUUGUCCCCAUUUUGAAUCUUUAAAUUCCUAUAUAUUCAUCAAUAAAUUUUUAAAGUAAUAUAUUUUAAAUUAAUAUUUUAAAACAAUAAUAUCAUAAAAAGAUGCUAGAUUUAAAUAGUUGUACUAAUUACUAAGUACUAACCUUUGAAUUGAACAUCUCUCUCAAACUUUGCUUUUGCCUCAUUAUUUCUUCUAAUCGUAUGAAAUGAGUGGCAAAUCGGGUAAGAGCAGGACGAAGUAUUUACUUCCCUUGUGUAUAUUUCUUCAUCAAAUUAACAGUCCAAAUGUGAUUGUAUAUAAAACAAGUCACUUUCUUUACAUCAUCCAAAACCUUUGCCACAUUUUUUUCCUUCCAAUAUCUUCAAGGCACAGUCCAAACAAUGAGCUGAACAUGCUGCCCAAUAGAAAUGUUUUCUCUUCUCUAUUAGUCUUUUUCCUGCGGCCUUAAGUGUUGUCUCAUUAUCAGUGACUAUUUGAACAAUGUAUUUUUCUCCAAUUUCUUCCACAACUUAAUCUAAUAAUCUGUAGUAAAAGUUUGUAUCUCUACUACAAACACUUGAGACAUCUAUAGAUUUCCAAAAAAUAGUCCCUUUACUACAGUAAACAAGGAAAUUAAUGAUAUGCAUUUGAUUCAAACUAUUGGUCCAACCAUCACACAUCAAAGUGACACCCAAUUCAUUCCAAUAAGCUUUUAAUCCAUUAACCCAUUCAUGAACUUGUUGAUACUCAGACUCCUAAUACACAUCUGAGACCUCAUAAAGUGUUGGAAGUCUUACAUGUUGGCCAACUUCUACUGCCACAGAAAUCAAAUUAUGUAACCAUGGGGAAUUUGCUAACUGAAAAGGAAAUCGAUCAUAUAUCAAAAAUUUUGAUACUGAUUCACCCAUUUUUCUUCUUAAUGUCUUUAGAAAUGAAUCACUUACAUUUUGUUGUCUUGAACUUUUAUUUCUAACCAAUUCAAGAACAGCUCCCCUUAAUGAAAAUUCAGACUCAUUUGGAAUUGAUUUUCUUGUUCUUUCUUCAAAAUAUUCAGCAACUGAACCAUGAGAGCUUCGUCCUUCGUCAUAUAUGUUACUCCAACCACUAGUUCUUUGUCUGAAUUCUUGUCUUCUGUGCCACUUAUGUUGUGAUUGGAUACUAUCUCGCACGGCUUGUCAGCAGCAAUGUCUUCAUCAAUAAAUCCUUCAUAAUCAUCUUCCCUUCUUAACUGUGAUAAAAAUUCAUUUUUUUCUCCUUUUAUUGUCAGCUUUUUUUGAUUUGUUUUCUUAAAAGAGUUUCAUCAUACUUUCUUUUACUAUACCUAUUAAUAAUAUAGUUGAAAAAAGAAGAGAAAAUUAGCUGCACACGCUUAUGUAAUUUUAUAAUUUUUAUUAAAAAAUUAACAAUAAUAUUUUCAAAGAAAUUAAAAAAACUUAACAUACCAAUAACGUUGGGGCAUGGUGCAACAUUGCCAGUUUUAUGAGCAAUGUGUUCUUUGAAACGUGUUAUUCCUCCUUUUACAACCUUACCACAAAGUUUACAUGAAACAUUUCCUCUUGUAUUUGGCACAAGUGUUCCAAAAUGCCAACCUAUAUCAUCAUUUGGCGCGCCCUCUACUCCUUUACUCGGGAACUCUUCACGUGGUGGCAUACUUACUAUUUUGUAUAAAAACAAAAUAAACUUAUAUUUAGAAAUAUUAAUAUUACUUAUUACAUCAUUAAAAAUUGAUUUUACGCUAAAUUUUUUAAUUUUUAGUUUUUAAUAUUAAGAAUAUUAUUAAAUAACUUAAUCUUUUUGAUGCACUAAUUGAUAUUAAUUUUUUUAUCACAAAUAACUUCAAAUAAUUAUAUAAUAAAUACAAUCUUCAAUAAUUACUCAAAAAUAAUAAGAAUUAAUCUAAUAUCAAAAGAAUUGACAACAAUAUAAAUAUCAAAACAACAAAAAAAUUUAUUAAAUUUCAUAUACAAAAUUAUAAAUUAAUAUCUAACACAAUCAAAAUAUAAUAUUUAAUUUUAAUUAAUUUUUGUCUAACUUAUAUAAAAAAUUUAUCAAUAAUUUUCAUCUACAAUCUCUAUGUAUAUCAUAUUAAAUUAUUAAUCUCUUUUUUUUUAAUUAUAAAUCUUCAAUCCCUCUAAUUAGAUUUUAUCUAAAAAAAUUUCAAAAAUUAAAAGCUUUCAAACUUAUAUUUUAAUAAAAUUUUCAAACCUAUAUUUUUUAUUUUUUAGUUUUUAAUCUUAAUAAGAGUAAUAGAUCAUAAAAUGCUAAAUUUGUUAAGUAACUUAAUUUUUUUGAUACACUAAUUGAUAUAAAAUUUUUUUAUCACAAACAACUUUUAAUAAUUAUAUAAUAAACACAAUCUUCAAUAAUUACACAAAAAUAACAAGAAUUAAUAUAAUAUCAAAAGAAUUGACAAUAAUAUAAAUAUCAAAACAACAAAAAAAAUUAAAAUUCAUAUACAAAAUUAUAAAUUAAUAUAUAACACAAUCAAAAUAUAAUAUUUAAUUUUAAUUAUUUUUCAUCUAACUUAUACAAAAAAAUUUAUCAAAAUUUUUCAUUUAAAAUCUCUAUAUAUUAUAUUAAAUUAUUAAUCUCUUUUUUUUAAUUAUAAAUUUUCAAAACCACUAAUUAAAUUUUAUCUAAAAAAUUUUCAAAAAUUAAUUACAAAAUUAAAUAAAAAAAUUCAAUCCCACCCUCCAAACACCCUACCACACCCAAUCCCUCCCCACCCCAUCAAUCCCUCCACCUUCCCCCAACAUCCCACCACACCCAAUCCCUCCCCACCUUCCCCCUAACGCCCACCACACCCAAUCCUCCCCACCCCAUCCAAUCUCUCCCCACAUGCCUAAUAUCUCAAAUUUGUUUAAUUCUUUCUAGCAAACGGCAGACCCUUCUAGAAAUGCUACUUUCUUCUGUUCAUCAUCUUCUUCGUGUUGCCUUCUUUGGCUUUCCAUAAAUUUUUUCUUAUCUUUUUUUUUUAUUUCUCAUUUUCUCUCACAUCCCUUUAUCACUGUCACUUGCUGACUUGCCUAGUAUCUACAGAUAUCUCAUUUGUCUUUCAAACUCUCACAAGAAACAACAGAUCAUUUUACAAAAAUUUUACAAAAAAAAGGUAAUUUAACUUUCUUUUCUUACUUUAUUUGAUCUUGAAUGUUGAUUGAAAACUUGAAGCUGAUUUGAAUUUGAAUGUUGAAAAUGCCGAUUGAAUGGUUGAAAGUUGAAACUUGAAAUAAUUGAUCUAUUUUCUAGCUCAUUUUAAAAUUUAUUUUAAUGAUAAAGAUCUGAGAUUGUGAGCUUUAUUUUUUGAUUUGGCUUUUACUUUUACUUUUGCAGGUUUAUUGUUUCAUUCUGCAGGCUUAAAAUUUUAUUUUUUUGUUAGAACUAUUAGAUCCGUGAGUAGAAAAACAGAAUAGCGACAAUAACGGUCCGUUGUUGUCGCUAUUGCCCAUUAUGCCAUUAUUUUACUAUCGUUACUCUCCGUUUUUACUGUGAAUGAAUUUCUCAACCACUUUUUAUCUACUAACGGUGGCAGAAGGCAGCGCUACCAUCAUUUUGCGGUCGCUAUUCCACUAUCAAACCAUUAUUUGAAUCUCUCAGCACGGUUUGGCUUAGUCCAAGUUGAAUUCUUUUUCUUUGUUUUCUAUAGCUUAGACCAACUAAAGGUUGGUUAUGCCGGAUGAAAAAAGGGAUGGAAGAAUUUAUGGCAUGACCGAACAGCUGCUGCCAGAAGGAAAAACAACAGCUGUUCAACAACAACCAGCAAAGAAAAAAAAAGAUGAGAUUCAACCAUCUUUGUAACAAGAGCACUAGAGUACAUAAAGUUAAACUUCAUCCACACUCAUACCAAAGUCCAAGCAAGCAAAGAACAAAUGAAAACACAUUGUAGAGAAGAUCCUAACUAGUGCAAAAAUGGAAUAGAAACAAUGAUAUAAAAUGGCAUACAUGCCCUUGUAUGUGGGUUGCUCAGCUUCGAAACCUCUUUUGUUUUCAAUUCCCCCCACCUUUUUUUUUCUUUUUUCAGAUCCUUCCUCCUCUUUUUUCCCUUCCUUUCUAGCAGUUUCUUCUCCAUGCUUUUAUUUGGCAGACCCUUCCAAGAAAUGCAAGAUUUUAAUCUUGCCCAACGAGGGCCCUUGGAUGAAAUCUCAUCCAAAGGCCAUAUUUAUUCCUUUUCUUAUUUCCAAGGAGACACCUUUGGCCCUUGGAUUAAAAGCCAGCAAAGGAUCCAAAGGCUCAAAUUACACACUGUAAAGGUUGAAUCUUUAUGCCUCUUAAACCCAUAAAAAAAACCAUUUUAUCCCUAGUGUAAAGUUUUAGUGUUUAUGGUCAUUUUCUUAGAAAUCAAAGUUCCCAUAGUUAUUUUUUGGAUUUUCAAGCACCAAAAAUUAUAAAUUAUUAUGAAGUUAAGAUCUGAAAUGUUUCGUGAAAAUCUGAGUUUGGAAAGAUCAAAUUACGAAAAUACCCUUAUAGAGAUAUUUUGGUAAUUUUAUACUUUUUCGGGUAUACUAUGAUUUCAAAUGCACUAAAAAUCAUGAAAUAUUAUAAAAUUACGAUCUAAAAAGUUGUACAAAAUUUUGGGCUUGGAAAGAUCAAAUUAUAAAAAUAUCCUUAUAAGAGAUAUUUUGGUAAUUUUAUACUUUUCGGGGUACAAUAAAAACUCCAACAUUUCAAAAAAUCUCAAAUUUAACUUUAAACCGAAUUGAUUUCAACUUUUGAAUUAUUAGAAUUGAGUCAAGCUCUAUCUAUUUUGACCAAGUUUCUUGCAAUUUUGACCAAGGUUGAAUUUGGAGUUGACUUUAUUAGGCCUAAAUAUUGAUUUCUUAAAGGGCAUUUUUUAUCGGCUUCAAGUGGGUUUUAUUUAACUAUGCUAAAAUAUUUCAGAUAAAAUUUAGUGUCUAUAGCUAUCUUUUUUUGCUUAUUUCUGAGAAUAAAAAAUAAUGCAAAAAAAUAAACAGUAAUUUUAUCCAGAUAAUGCUUUUGAAAUUUUCUUUUUUAACAUGUUUUGAACUUGUUUGAAAAUUGCCCUCUCCAAACAAAGGCUUUGACACUUUGAAAUUGGCUCUUCCCCAAACAGAGGCUUUGAAACUUUGACAAUAGCUAUUUGUAGACACCUAAUUUGGUCCAAGCCCGGAUCAAUUGGGCCUGGUCCAAGUGGGUAGGCCCAUUUAAUUUUGUAUUUUUGUAUUUCUUAUAUUUUUAUAUUUUAUUUUACUUUAUUUUGUAUUUUAUGUAUUUAUUAUUACUAUUUAUUAAUAUAUAUUUAUUUUAUUUUAUUAUUUUUAUUAUUUAUCUGCUGAUAUAUAUGUAUUAUUAUUUAUCUAUUUAUAUAUAAUUAUUAUUAUUUAUCUAUUUAUAUAUAUUAUUAUUUAUCUAUUAAUUAAUAUGUUAUCCUUAUUAUUAUCUUUUUAUUUUAUUAUUUUAUUUAUUUUUUUUCUUUUCUUCUUUCUUUUACCCGAUUGAAGCUGGAUUAGGAUAGAAAUUUGAGUGUGGGAUUCCAUCAGAAUCCAGAUUGGAUUCAAAGAUCGAAUCUCAAUCCAAAAGGGAAUAGGGAUUGAUCAGAAACUCUUCUGAUCAAUCUCUAUAAAUAGAUCCACGGAUCAAAGGACUGGAACACAGAAAAAAGGCAAACAGUGAAGAAACAGAAGCUUAAAAGGGUUUUGAUGCAUUAGAAUAGCUCUAAGAAUCGGUGGGAAAUUUUUAGAGAAUGUUUUGUAAAUUUUUUUCUAGAAAUUUUUGGAAAAUUUUCAGAUUUCGAUUGAAUUUUCUGACGAAGAUUGAAUUUUUCAACGACUAUUCUAGCCAAGUUUGAAUUUUUCUGCCAACUUCCAGUUUUCGAUAAUCAUUUCCAAAAACCGAUCAAUUUUCUGACAAACUUCCAGCAAACCAGAUUCUGACGAAAAUUUUUAGAAUCCGACGGACAUUCAACCAAAGUUUUUCAGGUUUUAGAGAUAAGGGAGAGAAGAGGAAGGGAGGAGAUAGAUAGAGGGAAGGAGGGUUCUGCUGAAAAAACAGAGGAAUUAGCCUUUUAUACCCUCCCAAACGACAUCAUUUUUGCGUUAGUAACCCAGAUGAUUUGCGCGUUUUACUAAGAUCCGACCCAACCCGAGCGUCAACUUGCUUUCGACCCGCGUCUCCGAGCCGUUUCCCUGAGCCAAGCCAAGCCGAGCCGAGUCGACGCCCUCUGAGCCACGUUUUCGAGUCUUUUUUUUCCUCGAGCCGAGCCGUUUCCAGGUUUUUUUUUUCAUUUUUUAUUAUAUAUAUUUUUUUAUUAUUAUUAUUUACUUAUUUAUUUAUUAGAUUAGAUUUGUUUAAUUUUUUUAUUUUUUUUAUUUUCCUUUAUUUUUAUUUUUAUUUUUAUUUUAUUUAUUUUAAAUAACAUCAAAAAAAAUAUUUUUGAGGAAAAGUUGAAAGUAUCAAUUUUCUUUGAAAAUAAGCUUUCUAAAAAAACAUAAAUAUUUUUGGGGAAAAGUUGAAAGUAUCAAUUUUCCCUGCACAAAAGCAAUCAUUUUUUUCCUUUUUUUUCUUGAAUUUUUUUUAAUGUUAAACAAUCUGACGAUGGAGCAUUUGCAAGUGAAACAGUAGUUUUCUUGCAUACUCUUGAGGUGAGGGGAUUUUUUCAAUUUUUUACUAAAAGUAUUAGAGUCAAUUGAGAAUAAUUUCUAAUAACUAAUUACUUGGUAAAUUUUUAAGCCUUAUUGGAUAACACAAAAUUAAGCUGGUACCAUCUUUUGAUGGGCGUUGUGAGGGUGCUAUAACCUUCCUCACACGUAAUCAAAAUCCCAAACCCUGUUCUGGUUAGUAGACCCGAACCUAUUCUUUUAGGAUCCUUAAACUUAGGUGUUCCCUGAAAGGAUAGAUUCCUUAGGUGGCCAAUCACACCUAGAUAAAAAAGAUUGGUGGCGACUCCUUUAAGUCAAUGUCUAAUGAUAGAUCCCCGAAUCUAGAUGUUAUACCCUUCCUAAACGAUGUCAUUUUUGCGUUAGUAACCCAGAGGAUCCAUGCAUUUUACCAAGAUCCGACCCGACCCGAGCAUCAAUCCGCUUUCGACUCGUGUCUCCAAGCUGUUUUCCUAAGCCAAGUCAAGCCGAGGCAACGCCCCCUAAGCCACGUUUUCGAGACAUUUUUCUUCCUCGAGCCGAGCCGAGCCGGGCCGUUAGCCGGGCCGUUUCCAGGUUUAUUUUUUUCAUUUUUUUAUUUUAUAUAUUUAUUUAGUUAUUUAUUAUUAUUAUUAUUUACUUAUUUAUUAGAUUAGAUUUGUUUAAUAUUUUUUUUUUUCCUUUAUUUUUAUUUUCUUUUUAUUUUUUAUUUUAUUAUUUUAUUUUCUUUAAAUAAAAUAAAAAAAAAUAUUUUUGAGGAAAAGUUGAAAGUAUCAAUUUUCCUUGAAAAUAAGCUUUCCAAAAUAUUUUUGAGGAAAAGUUUAAAGUAUCAAUUUUCCUUGAAAAUAAAUUUUCCAAAAAAUAUUUUUGAGGAAAAGUUGAAAGUAUCAAUUUUCCUCGAAAUUAAAGUUUCAAAAAAAUAUUUUUAGAGAAAAGUUGAAAGUAUCAAUUUUUCCUGCACAAAAGCAAUCAUUUUUUUCUUUUUUUUUUAAUUUUUUUUAAUGUUAAACAAUCCGACGACGGAGCCUCUGCAAGUGAAACAGUAGUUUUCUUUCAUACUCUUGAGGUGUGAGGAUUUUCUCAAUUUGCUACUAAAUGUAUUAGAGUCAAUUAAGAAUAAUUUUCAAUAACUAAUUACUUGAUAAAUUUUUAAGGCUUAUUGGAUAAUACAAAAUUAAGCUGGUACCAUCUUUUGAUGGACGUAAUCGAACUUUCGAACCCUGUUCUGAUUAGUAGACCCGAACCUAUUCUUUUAGGGAUCUUUAAACUUAGGUGUUCCCUGAAAGGAUAGAUUUCUUAGGUGGCCAAUCACACAUAGAUAAAAAAGAUUAAUGGCGACUCCUUCAAGUCAAUGUCUAGCUAUAGAUCCCCGGAUCUAGACGUUAUGACACUCUUCUCAAAUAGUAGCCAUGAAACUUUGAAAAUUUAAAAAGGUUCACCGGAGGUCUUGAAAAUUUUGCCUGGAAGUCUUAAAGAUUAUGUCCGAAAGUUUUAGAGAUUUGAAAACCUUUGAAUGCUCAUCCAAUCAGAGGCUGUGACACUUUUAAAAAAUUAAAAUAUUUUGCUUAGAGGUUGUGAAAAUUGUGCCUGGAGGUCUUGGAGAUUAUGCUCAGAGAUCUUAAAGAUUUCAAAAUCUUUGAAUGCUCCUCCAAUCAAAGGCCAUGAAACUUUUUAAAAAAUUAAAAUAUUUUCCCUGUAGGUCUUGAAAAUUAUGCCCGAAAAUCUUAAGGUUUUCAAAAUCUUUAAAAAUUUUAAAAAUUUAAAAUGCUUUGCCUUGAGGUCUUAAAGAAAUUAUGCCUAGAGGUCUUGAAAAUUAUACUCAAAGGUUUUAAAUAUCUCAAAAUCUUUGAAAAUUUUGAAAAUUUAAAAUGCUUUGGCCAAAAGUCUUGAAAAUUAUGUCCAGAGGUCUUAAAGAUCUCAAAAUCUUUGAAAAUCUUGAAAAUUUAAAAUGCUUUGUCCGAGGGUUUUAAAGAAAUUAUGCUUGGAGGUCUUAAAAAUUAUGCCCAGAGGUCUUAAAGAAAUCAAAAUCUUUGAAAAUUUUAAAAAUUUAAAAUGGUUUGCUUAGAGGUCUUAAAGAAAUUGUGCUUGGAGGUCUAGAAAAUUAUACCAAGAGGUCUUAGAAAUUUGUCUAGGUGCCAACUUAACUGAACUUAAGUCUUAUCUUGUAUUAAAACUCUUCUUAUCAUUUUUCAACAAUCUAUUUGCAAAUAAUUUUUCUUUCAGCCUUUUAAACCUUUUUAAUAUUUUGAUCUCCUGUUAAACCAUUUUUCUUUUUCUCAUCUUUUCAUGAUGACUUCUUUUUUUAUAUAUAUUUACAAAGUUGACAAAUACAAUCAUGAUACAAAUGUCUAUUUUCAUCAAAUGAUGCGAAUGCAAAUGUCGAUGCAAAUACAAAUGUCAAUGCAAAUAUUUAACACAAGUACAGGUGACUUUUUCACAAUACAAAUGCCAAUAUUCCUUUUAUAUAAAUGCCCUUACAAAUACUUUUUCUGAGGUGCAGAUGCCAUGAUGCAUAUGCAAACUUCUUCUUAUGGUGCAAAUGCAAAUGUCUUAUACAAGUGCAAAUGCAAAUGAUGCAAAUGUGAAUAUCUUUCUUGUGAUACAAAUGCAAGCGAUGCAAAUGCAAAUGUCUUUUUCAUGUUAUCGAUAUGAAUACCAAUGUCUUUCUCAUGAUGCACAUGCAAGUGCGAAUGCAAGUGAUGCAAAUGCAAAUGUCUUUUUUUGUGAUGUAGAUGCAAAUGCAAAUGGCUUUUUUCAUUUUUUGCAACAUAUAGAUUAAAUGUCUUUUAGAAAUUCAAAAAUCUCUUUUCUUUUUUUUCUUUAAAAAAAAUCUUUGCUCAAAAUUUCAAAGUUCUCUCUUCACCAAAAAUGAUCUUAAUAUCUUGUACAAAAAUGCUUAACUAAUUUUCAAAAUUUUCCAAAGCAAUCACAAAAUUACCCCACAUAAAGUGUUUUUACAAUUAAUGAGAAAAACUAAAAACACAUAACUUCUGAAUCUCUUGUAAAUUGAUGAUUACCAUUUAAAAUGCUUAUAAAUGGCAUAAUUGGCAAUUCAAUUCUUUCACUGGUGGGCAUAUUUCAAAAAAGGCUUGAUGAAGGUUAUAAGGAUUUCUCUUGAGCUUAUAAAUGAGACACUUUUCUUUUAUUGAAAACAUGAUAAAAUCAAUAUGCAUCAAAACUGAUGAUAUUUUUAGGAAAGAUUUAGGAAAAGAAAAGGGACUAUUUUUUACUUUUCACGCUUUGGUGAAAUGCAAAGUCUUCAAUGGGUACUGAUCCUUUAAAAAGUUUUGCAUUGUGACUUUUAUUUUAGAUAGAACCUUGAAACUCUAAAAUUCUUUUGGGGUCUCAAGAGUGGUUAUAGCUCUUAACAGCCCUUUUGGGCUUUCACCUUAGAGCUUUCUUUCUUUUUUUUUUUUGUUAAACAAUGAAAAACUUGGUAAAAUCUACAAGGACACUGUCAUAACGUCUAGAUCUGGAGAUCUAUCACCUUAAAAAAUUCAAAACAAAUCUGAAAGAGGAAAAAAAAAUUUCAAAAAGGGUCAAUGGUCCAAACAAAAAAUUAUGUAAUAAAUGGGCACUUCAAAAUAUUUAUGAUCAUUCUUCCAAGAGAAACUCUUCAAUUUUAAACCCUCAUGCUUGAUCUAAUAUGAACUUUUUAAAGGUUAUAAUGUAGGUUAAGGUUCAGGAUUGUCAAAGAAAAGGAUAGAAAGACUCAAAAUAAAUAUUAAAAGGUAUUUAAAACUAAUGGUCAUUUUUUUUGUUCGAAGGAUACACUUUGAGGUCUAUUCCUUUUUGCUUUCCACCCUUUCAUUUCUUCUCUUUUUUUUUCUUUUUUUUUACUGAGUGGAUUGUAAACUUUCAUAUUGAACCUUUGCCUCAACAUAUGGGAUUCCAUUCAGGUAUCCUCAUUCUUAACCCUCAAAUGUGUUCGUUUUUACCUCCCAAUGUGAAGGGUGAUCCUUAGUUAGGGUUUAUUUUGAAAAAAUUCAAUCAAGUCAAAAAGGGUAACAAAGGAUUAAUUUUUAUAUUUGUGAAAAGAUAAUGAAAGAUGGUCUUUUAUCAUUUCAAAUAUAAAAUCGAAAUUGAAUAGGAAUUCUCUUUAGGAAAAUGAUCUCGAAGAACAGUUUUUAUUUCCAUAGUUUUUUUUACUUUUUACUUUUUUUUCACAUUUUCUAAUUUGGGCCUUUUUCUUGCCCCCUUUCCAAAACUUUGAAUUUGUCAAAGACUUUAUUAGAAAUUAUUCAAAAUUUUCAAGUGCAUGAUGUUAUAACCAUUUUUUAUUUCUCUUAUUUCUCUUUUUUUUUAUUUAGGACAUUUGACUUCAUCUUUAGCAAUCAAAGAUAUUCUCAAUAUCAUAUACUUUCCUUAAAAUUGGGCUUUUAAGGAUAUCCUUAUUUUUUCUCCCAAAGUAAAAAACGAUCUUUGACCGUAGAUUAUUUUGGAAACAAAAAAAUUUAAUAAGCUUAAAAAGGUAACAAGUGGAAAAUUUUUUUAUAAGCAACAGAUAGAGAAAAAUGGCCAUUCAUUAUUUCAAACACAAUCACUUGAUUAGAAGAGCAAUGCAUUUGAAGAAAUAAAAGCUUUUAUUUGUUUCUAUUCCUAUUUUCAUUUUUUUUUAUCUUUAACUAUCAAUCAUUUUUGUGUAACUAAUGCCCUAUCUUGUUUGCCUACUCAAGGUUCUUAUGAUGAUGAGAAUCAGGUUGUAUGAGAUGUCCAAAUUUUGGAUGCAUAGUUUACAAAAGGGUUCAUUUGGUUCCAAAUUGUCUAGCAUUUUGAGGAAAAAAGAUAUUAAGGCAUGAAAACAUUGUCUUAGGCAAGAAAGAAGUUUACUUCUUUUAGUCACUAUGCCUUAAGACAUGAAACAACAGUCACUUAAAAGAAAGAGUUCAUGCAUUUUUAUGUCUAUGUCAUCAAAAGAAUUUGGAUGGUUCAAUCAUAUUGGCAAGAUUUGAUACACAUUGAAUUACCAAUUAAAAAAUUAAAAGAGUAUCUUGGUUUUUGAAAUUCAAAAUAAAUUUUUAAAAUUGGUCACUUUCAUUAAUUGCCCAAGAAAUGAUUAUGGCUUCAAUGUAUCAAAUUGUAACAUGGUUCGCAAGUGGAAAUUCAUGUCCUUUAAGGAUUAUGAAAGGAUUAAAACGUAAGACUGGUUAAGAAAAAAAAGUGUAAUGGAAUUGGAUGAGGUUUUGUUUUUUAUAAGUAAUCACCCAUGAUUUUGAGAUUCUCAUAUAAAAAAAUCAUAAAUUUCCCAUUGAAAAAGCCUAUAUUUUUAUUUGAUCUUGAAAACUACUUAUAUGGGACUUUAUUGUGAAUUUUUUUUAAUGCUUUUCAUUUAUGAUUUUAAAAAUUAAUUAUGUGAGAUUGUUAUUCAAACAAAUACAUACAGAUAAAAUUUCAUAGAAAAAUUGAAAGCAUUCCUUUCUUCCAAAAUGAUGUUUAAUAAGAUUGAUUUAAAUAACUCCUAAAGACCCAUGUAUAUAUCAUGUACAAAAGGUUAAAAGUUUAAAAGAAAACCAUUAUAUAUUGAUAUUUCAAUACUGUAGACACCCAAUUUGGUACAGACCCAGAUCAAUUGGACCUAAUCCAAAUGGGCAAGAUGGGCUCACAUUAUUUUAUUUUAUUUUAUUAUUUAUUUAUUAUUAUUAUUAGUAUUAUUUUUUUCGUUUGUUAUUUAUUAUUAUUACUUAUUAUUAUUAUUAUUAUUAUUAUUAUUAUUACUAUUAUUAUUAUCAUUUUUUUUAUUUUAUCUUUUUUUUUCUUGAUUAAUUAGGAGAUAAUGAUCAGAUUAAUUAAAAAUAAUAAAAAAAUUAUGGAAGUGGAUUUGGCCAUGAAUUUUAGGGCUGACAAAGUUGGGAUUGGAUUCAAAAAUUAAAUCCCAAUCCCAAAUGGAAUUGGGAUUGAUCAAUCCCUAUAAAUAGAGGUUGGAAUACACAGAAAAGACACCAAAGAUAGACAUAGGGUAAACAAAAGAAAUCAGAAGGAAGAAAAAGGGUUCCAAGGAAUAGAAGUAGCGUUCUAGAAUUUUUAGGAAAAUUUUUGAAUUUUUGGCAUUUUUUCUGGGAAAUUUAUGGAAAAUUCCAGAUUUCGAAUAUUUUUUCGAUGACAUUCAAGUUUUUCGAUGACUAUUUCGGUGAAAGACCUAGUUUUCGACAUGUUUUCCAUAUUUCGAUAGAACAUUCAAUCAAAAUCUGGGUUCUGUUUAGAGAGAAGUAGGAGAAAAAGAAAAAAGAGAGAGAGAAAGAAAGAAGCAAUCUGCAGACGAAUAGAAGUUAGAGCAUUUUAUACUGUCCAAAAAUGACAUCAUUUUUUUGUUUAAAGUCCCAAAGGAUCUGUACAUUUUGCCAUCAGGCGACCCGACUCGAAAGCCAACCCGUUUUUUACCCUAAUCUAACUCGAGUACCGACCGAGCCCUGAAGUCGAGCCAAGUCGAGCCGUACACUCUCGAGCUAUUUUUUUUUCUCAAGCCAAAUUGAAUCACAGCUGCUAAGCCGAGCCAUUCCAAGGUUUUUUUUAAAUUUAUUUAUUUAUUUAUAUUAUUAUUGUUGUUAUUAUUAUUUCUAAAUUAGAAUUAUUUGGUUUUUUAUUUUUAUUUUUUCUCUUUCUUUUCAAUGAUUUUUCUAAAAUAAAAUUUCAAAAAAUAUUUUUGAGGAAAAGUUGAAAGUAUCAAUUUUUCUUAAAAGUAAAAUUUCUAAAAAUAAAAAUUUUCAAAAAAAAAUUUUGAGGAAAAAGUUGAAAGUAUCAAUUUUUCUUUGAAAAUAAAAUGUAAAAAUAAAUAAUUUUAAAGAAAGUUGAAAGUAUCAAUUUCCCUUGUUUGGCGUGACUACACCUAGAUGUUCAAAAGCAUCCUUGAGCUGGUCCCUGGUGAUGCUACCCUGCUUAGAGUAUGAUCGAAACACUUGUUCCAAUUUGUUUUUCUGAUGCUUGUUAUCCUUUGCGGCUUGCAUUGUGGAUUUUGAGGUUUAUGACAGGGUGAUAUAAGAGAAAGGGCUUGCCUAGCUUGGUUUGCUUUUCUUUUCCAUUGCAAUUUGUUUAUAUAGACCCAAAACUCGAAUAGUAUUCUGUUGAAGUGUAGGGGAAUAAAAUUUUUUUUGUGGUGGCUUCUAAAAUUUGAUUUCGAUUGAAAGGAAACGAAAUAAUUGUAUGACAAUUUCUUCAUUUGAAUUUUUUUUAAGUAUCUAUUUUAUUAAUAAAAUUAAUAUAUCAAUCAAUAAAUUUUUAUAAUGAAUACAAAUAAACAAAUAUUCCAAGAGGAUUGGUACGAAUAAGAAUAUUAAUGUUGGCUUGAAAUUAACCACAGAUUGGAAAAUGCUAAGCGUAGUGAUAGCAGCCUCCCUUUCUUGUGUCCUAGUGAUGAUAACAGCCUCCACUAUCUUGUAUCCAUUUUCUAUUGUUUCUUUUGAUUUUGCUGGUGAAAAGGCUAGACAACGAAGUCAGGAGUAAGGAAUCUAAACUCUCACCCUAUCCAAAUUUGAGUUGUUUCUACACGAAAAAGUUUGAAGAGAAUCAUCUUGUUGCUCCUGGUUGGACAGAACUUGAUCAUACACAUUGAUUUUCUAAAAACUUAUAAUUUGAUGGAAGUGUCUUGUAUGUAGGAUAAUUUGAUAUUAUUGAUUAAAAAUAUUGUUAUAACAUAUAGAUUCAUGGACUCAUCAUAGACAUAAACUUUAAGAGUCGCUACUUUUUUUUUUUUGUUUAGGUGCAAUUGACCAUUUAAUUGAAUCUGUCUUAUUUAAAGAGAAUAUCCAAGAUAGACUUAGGUAUUUUUAAAUAGUAGAUUCUAAAAUCCAUGAAAUCAAAUUUAAGGUUUAGGAGUGCAAUUAUGGAUGAGGAAGUUUAUAGCACCCUUACAGUGCCUAUCCAAAAGAUGGUAUCAGUUUGAUUUCAAAUUAUCUAAGCCUUGAAAUAUUCUUAUAAUUAUACCCAGUAAUUUAAUUAUUAGAAAUUGAUCCUAAAAUUACUCUAAUAGUUGAGUAGCAAUGUAAGAUAAAUUUCUCACCUUAAGAGUAUUCAUAGAGACUAAUGUAUCACUCUGAAGAAACUCCGUCGUUGAAUUUAUUAAUAUAUUUUAUUUAAAAAAUAAUUAGUAAAAUCCUCCAAUAGUUUGGUAAGAUUUUACUUUGGUGCAAAUUUUUCAAUAGUUUGGUGAGAUUUUAUUUGAAAAUCAUUUAUAAAAUUUUGUUUUGAUGUAGAAUUCUAAAUAGUUUGGUGAGAUUUUAUUUGAAAAUUAUUUAUAAAAUUUUACUUUGAGAAAAUUCAUUAAAUCUUCCAAUUUGGUAAGAUUUAAUUCAAGAUUUUUAUCCUCCAAUAAUUUGGUAGGAUUAAAAAUAUAUUAUUUUAUUUUAUUUUAAAAAUUCAUUAAGUCCUCCAAUAGUUUUGUAAGACUUAAUUCAAAGAUUUAAAUAUUCCAAUAGUUUGGUAGGAUUGAAAAUUUACUAUUAAAAAAAUUACAUUAUGAAAUUCUUCAUUAGUUUGGUAAAAUUCAUAAUUGAAAUUUUCUAAACCCAUGAAAUAAAAAAUUCAUAAUUUAAAACUCACAAUCUUUAAAUUUUAUUUUAAACGUACAUAAAAAAAGUAAAAUAAAUGAAUAAAUAUAUAAAUAAACAAAAUGUGAAAAUUACCCUAAUGGAUGAAGACAUGCCUAGAUUGAAGUAUCUCUUGAUUUGUGGUGAUAGAUAAUCACCAAAGAGCUCUGCCACCAAUUCUAACCUAAGAGCUAGGGUACAAAUUGCUACUCAUCCAUUUCUUGGUGGGUUUCCCUUUUUUUUUUCCUUUUUUGUUUUGUAUGUUGUUGAUUGGUGUUUAUAUCGAGCCUUCUACUAAGAGUUUUAGGGAUUGACAUUGAAUGAAAAGGGUUGUAGAUCUGAUUGUUCUUUGAAUUAAGUUUUUCUUGACUCUCUUUAAAAUUUGUUUAAUUAAUUUUUAGAAUUGUCUCGAUUUUCCUUGAUUUUCAGAAUCCUUCAAAACUUCCUAAAUUAAAUUUGACUUUGAUUCUUUGAUUUUGCUUUUUUUUCAACAUUCCUUUAAUAUUUGAAGAAAUAAUGUUUUAGUCUUAAUUGUCGAGAUCAUCCUUGAUUAGUGCUCAAAUUACUCCACAAAAUUCAUUGACAUGAUUUAUGAUAAAAAUUUAAAACCAAAUAAAUAAAAGAGUAAAACAUAAAAAUAAAUAAAUAAAUACAUAAGACAAAAAAGAUAUAAAAAGAAAUAUAGGAAAUUGGAUAAUUGGGCUUGGUUUAAGCCUCGGACUAAAUAGGGUGUCUAUAGCUGGCCUUUUUGCAUAGUUUCUACGAAAUAGAAAUUGUGCAAAGAUAUAGAAACCCAUUACGUUUGGGCCCACAUUAUUCAACUUUUUUUUUAAAGGCUCUUGAAAACGAAGGCACACAACUUUUUUAAAAAUUAAGGACGACACUUGAAAGUUUUGAUAAUCAUGCCUAGAGGUUUUAUAGACUGUGUCCAAAGAGCUUGAAAAUUAAGCCUAGAGGUCUUACAAAUCAUUCAUUGAAAAAUGCUCCUUUAAACAAAGGCUACACAACUUUUAAAAAAGUACCUAAAAGUUUUACAAGAUCAUGUCCAAAGGUCUUAAAGAUUAUGCUCGGAGUUCUUACAAAUCUUGACUCUAAAACAAAUUUAGCUCGAAAGACUUACAAAUCUUACCCAGAGGACUUAGAGAUUACGCUCAAAGUUUUACAAAUCUCGAUCUUAAAAUAGAUUCAACUUGCAAGACUUAUGAAUCUUGCCCAAAUGACUCAGAGAUUACACUUGAAGGUGUUACAAAUCUUGACUUUAAAAUAAAUUCAGCUCAAAAGACUUAUGAAUCUUGUCCAAGGACUUAGAGAUUACUCUCGGAGGUCUUAUAAAUCUCGACUUUAAAAUAAAUUCAAGUCAAAGACUUACGAAUCUUACUCAGAGGACUUGGAGAUUAUGCUUGGAGGUUUUACAAAUCUUGGAGAUUAUGCCAGAGGUCUUACAAAUCGUAACUCUAAAAUAGAUUCAGCUUAGAAGAUUUAUGAAUAUUGACCAAAAGACUUAGAGAUUAUACCCAAAGGUCUGAUAAAUCUCAACUCUAAAAUAGAUUCAGCUUGAAAGACUUAUGAAUCUUACCAGAGGUCUUACAAAUUAAACCUCAAAAAAGCUUAUUUAAAACAAAUGUUCAACCACUUUAAAGAGAAUAAAGAUAUUUGAAGGUUUUAAAAAUCAUGCCCGAAGAUCUUAUAGACAUUGCUUGAAGGACUUUAAAAAUAGUUUAAUAGUUUUGAAGAUGUUGCCAAAGGUUUUUUUAAAAAAAAUUAUCAAAAAAUUUUAACAAAUUUACCCUAAGGUAAAAUCUUGUUUGAUCAAAGUUUCAUUUUUUAUCAAAAAUUUAAGUCAACAUCUCUUUCCUCUAAAAAAUAUGAAUACAACAUAUGAAAUAGAUGUGAUGUAUACUAUGUAAGAAAUGCAUGAAGUGCAAUGAAUUAAAUGCACGAAUUUUAUACCAAAUGUCCUUAAUUGAGGUAAUAGGUUUCUCGAAACAUUUUCUUCCUUCCAUCUUUCCAUGACAAAGCCUCUAAAUAAGUUAACAAGUUUUUUCAUGCCCUAAAGUAGACAUUCUCAACAUUUUCAUUCUUGAAAACUAUUUUCUCCUCUAAUGAGUUGUUUUAAUUUCCAUCCCUUGCAUUUGGCAUUUUUUUGCCCAGAAAGGUCUUUUAUAGCAUUCACCUAUCUCUCACCCUGAGCAUUAAGAUCCACUAUAUUUUGAACAUUUUUCAAAACUUCCCAUGAAUAGCAAUAGAGAUUACCCCAGAUAUCUCUCUUUUGCAUGUGAUCAAAUCUUUUAAAAAUUGGUGAUUACUGUUUAGAAUAAGGAUGAUGAAUCAUAAUUUUGGUCUUUUAAAAGGAUGCAAUGGUUUGGCACCCAUUUCAGUUCUUGAUAUGUGGUAUUUUAAUAAAUAUCAAGAACAACUAUGUUAGGUUCAAAAUUUCAAGUUUGAAAAAGGAACAAGGCCUAAAUUUUAGAAGGAAUCUUCAUACUGAGAUCAAUCUCUUUGGGCCUUUAAAGAAAAGUCUCCUUGGUGCUACAUGGAAAGUCAUGAGUUGCUUUCAAAGUUUCAAUCUUGCUUUAGGCUGCCCUUUUGGGUUUUCACCCUAAAACUUCAUUCUUUUCUCUUUUUUUUUUUUUGAUAUUCCAUUAGGCUUUUGAGCAUUCAAAAAUUAUCAAAAAGUGAUGGUGAUUUUCUAAAGAAAAACUCCGUAAUUUAAAUAACCAUAAUUCAUCAAAAUGGACUUUUUAAAGGAUGUAAUGUGGGCUGGGAUUUAAGGUUUUGAAAAAAGCAUAAAUAGGCCCAAAAAAUGUAUUUACAGAUGAUCAAACCAAAAAUCAUUUCUUUUCCAGAAACAUCUUUCCUUUUUUCAAAGCAUGCCUUUUAGCUUUUCUCUUUUUUUUUUUUUCUUUUUUUUUUUCUUUUCUUUUUUCUCUUUUGCAUGAGCUCAAAAUUUUUGAAACUCAUCUUAUUUCAAGCUUGCUUCUUAACAUAAGGCAUUAUUUCCUAACCCUCAGCACAAGAUUAGAUGCCAUAUUGAUGAGAUCCUUUUUCUCUUGAACUUGCCCCUAAAAUUUAAAGGGUGAUCCCUAAUUAAGGUUCAUUCGAAAGAAUAAUCAAAAGGUUUUAAAAAGGUAGCAAAUGGCUAUUUUAUUAUUUUAUAAAGGGAAUUUAAAAGAUGACCAUUUUUCAUUUCAAGUAUGGAUACCUAUUGAAAAGCAGUUCUCAAGAGACAACUUCUUUCUGAUUGAUUUUAGGUUCAUUUGAAUGCCCCACAUGCAUGAUUCCACAAUUAACUCUCUUUUUUUUUUUUGGUAAUUCAUCUAUUUUGAUAACAAAACCAUCUGAAUGUUCAUCAAUCAAAUGAUCAAAAAGAUUAUUUGGGGCUUCAAGUAAAUUUGGCUUUUGCCCAAAGUGAGUACAAAUGAUCACUCGGUAAAUGAUUCAAAAAAAAAGAUGAAUGUAGCACAAGCUAAAAUACUAAACAAAUUAAGAAAAUAUGGCUCAAGAAAUUUAGGUGGUGACGUGUUUGAAAAGAGCUUGCCAUUUAUUAAAUCACCAAAAAAUAAAAAGCUUAGGAGAGUGCCUUAAAAGAUUUUACAAAUUAAUUAACUAUCACAUUAUUCAUAGCCCAAAUGAAGAUCAAUAAAUUUUAAGUUUCAUCAUGGUCAAAUAAGGGGAAGUUUGAAACUUUCGUCCCUAGAAAUUCUCAAGGUUUUUAAUCUUCUAAAUGAAAAAAAUUAAAUGUUCAGGGGAAUGGCUCAAGAUACCUAUUCCUAAUAAUAAUUACCAAAUUUCUUGAGAUUUUUUUUUCACAUGCAUUUGUAAGAAGCUAAACAAUUAAAACUCAUAAGAAACCAAUGACUUCAUGUCCAAGAAAUUAAUAUACAAAGAAUAAUCAACCUAUGAUAAAAGAACAUUCCAUUGCUCAAAAAGCUCCUUGGUCAAGGUGCCAUUAUGGAUAAGGCUUUCAAACUUUUCUUUCAACUGUCUGUAUUUCUCAGUCGAGUCCAAUUGCCCCCAUGUUAUAAUCAUAUUUACCAUUUAUAUCAUAACUCUUGGCUAAUGGAUUUGAAGUUGCUUUUAAAGGUAUUGAGGUGAGGUACUAGUACUUUAUCAGCAGUGACAAAAGAGCAAAAAUUAGAAUUAGGAUUUUCUCUAGAUUGUUUCUUGAUCUUAUUUGGCCAUUCAAUGGUCGAGUAAUAGAUUAGGGAUAAUGACUUAUGUGAUGAGCUAAUUGUUGGGUUAGUUGGGGAAAAUAAGGAUUCUAAGAAAAGUUAUUUAUGGUAGGGUGGUAAGGUUAGUACAUGAUAUGGGGUCAAGCUUCCAACCUGUUUCCCUUUAUACAUCACGACAUGAACAUCUUCUCUUUUCAUUCUUGGUACACACACAUCCUUUACGCCAGGUGCAUUAUCUUCUUUAAGCUAUUUACUUUUUAUGGCAUUCUUUAUUAUCUCCCCUGAUAUGACUAUGUUAGUAAAAUUCUUUAUUACAUUUCCAAUCAUCUUUUCAUAAUAUGGAGCUUUAAGAGUGUUAACAAACAAAAAUGUAGUUUUUUUUUUUUUUUGUUAAAGGAGGUUGAACCUAGACAGCAGCACCAUUCCACCUUUGAACAUAUUCUUUGAAACUCUCAACAUCUUUCUUUUCCAUACUUUGUAGAGACAAUUGAUCUGGGACUAACUCUACAAUGUACUUGUAUUGAGUUAUGAAUGCCCUGGCCAAUUCUUUUCAUGAAGUGAUUCGAGUUCUAUCAAACUAAGUAUACCACUGAGCAGUAGAUCUCUUAAGAUUAUCUUAGAAUACAUGAAUCAAGAAUUUGUUAUCACAGGUAUGGGCAACCGUCUUUUUACAAUAAAUAAUGAGAUGGUCAUCGGGCAUUUGGUACCAUUAUAUUUCUCAUAUUUUGAUACCUUGAACUUGGGUAAAAUAAUCACAUCUAGCACUAAGCAAAGCUCUAAUGCAUCCAUAGAUCCAUAAAAAUCUAUUUUUUUGAUAGCUCUAAGCCUCUCUUAUAUGAGAUCCAUUUUUUUUAGCACCUGAAUCUUUUAUUGCUUCAAAUGAACUUUUCAUCAGUUUUACUAGCUUUUCAAAAUCAUCAAGGGUUGGAUUUGGUGAAGCUAUUAAAAGAAUUAUAGAACAAGAGUAUGCCUCUAAAGGUGGUACUUGUUGUGAUUGUACCCCUUGGGAUGUUUAUAUGCAAGUUUCUUCCACCUCUUUCUCUUUAUUUAAAUUUUUUAGCAUUUCAUUAUCUAAGCAAAAUCUACUCUCAUUUUCUCAAUUUGGCUAUGUUGUUUUGGCUCAUAAGUGGCAAGGAGAUUACCUUGAUGAUCGGGCUUUUAAACCUUAUUACCGUAAUUAAGAAUUAGGACAAUGUCUAUUGUGAAUUUAUGCAAGAAAAUAAAAAAUGUAUAUAUGAAUGAAUGGAUGCAUGCAUUAAAUUCUAUCAUAUAAUAAGAAAGAGAAGAAAAAGGAAAUCUUUAAUUAAAAAUUGUUUUGACAAAAACAUCCAAAAUCAUUCCUAGGAAAAAUCCUAAAAUCUAUUGCCUGAUCCUAUUCUUUAGCUUUAAGAUCUUGGUACUACCAUGGAUAAGUUUUCAACCACUAUGAUUAUGCAAUACCCUUUUAACAAUCUUUGGCUUUCCUUUAUCCAAAACUCGCAUUAUCUCUUAUUAAACUUUGCACCUUAUGCUUGAAAGCAAUGCAAUUUUUAUUAAAUGGCUUGUAUUCCAAAGUGAUAAUCACGUCGAGCUUCAGCCUCAAACAAUUUAAGAUAAGGUGGUUUUAGUAGCUUUAAAGGAACUGAUGUGAUUAGAUAAUUUUUGAGGAGCACCAGGAAUAAUUUAAUGUAAGUCACAAGGAUUGGAUCAAUGAUGGCUCUCUCUUUUUCAUUCACUUAAUGAUUUUUUGAGUUGAGUAGUUUUUUUACUCACAGGUGCAGAGUUUGGAGUAAAAUUAGGUGUAUAUACCCAAAAGUUUAUUGGUGGGGAGCACAACUGCUGAGCUAAAGGGUUUUGACAAGCAUAAUUCAUAACAAAAAAGUAUAUGGGUAUGGGCUAAUCUAUGAGUUGAAUAAAACAAGCUUUGUUUGGGAUGCUAAAAGAGAUUGUUUAGGAAUAACCAGUUGGAGAUUUAAGUAUAAGCCAAUUUGUAAAAUCGAUGCAAGGUUAGAAGGCCUUAUCUCUUCUUCUUCUUUUCUGACUUGGUCUUUUCUUGGGCCAUUGGAUGCAUUGACAUGACUUGGAUCGUAUUAGUAUUAUAAGAGGCUUUUUGACCUUAACAAAAUGGUUGCUUAAUGCACACACAAAUUGGAGUUGAUGAGAAUUCUUGAGAAUGAGCCACUUCAAGAUUUUCCACCAUUUCCACUAGCUUGGUAAGUUGCAUUUUUAUUUCUUGUAGGUCAUGUCCAAAUUCCUUUGGUUGAGUUUCAAAGCUUGGAUCUAUGCUUUUAACAGAUCUCCUAUCUCUUCUGAAUUGUUGUCCCAAAAGAUUAAAAGAUUUCUAUUAUACAAUGACAUGAUGAAUGAAUGAUGAUGAUGAUCUAUGAAUAAGUGAGAUGCAUGAAAUGAAUGAAAAUAGACAAACAAAGAAAUAAAUAAAUGCAAACUUAUUGAUGCUAACAUGAUUCAAGCAAAAGAAAGUAACAACAAGAACAAAGUUAACAACCAAUAUAAAGAAAGAAAAAGCAAAAUAAUUUAAUGCAUAACUUAAAAGAUAUGUGACCUAAUUUGGAGUAUUUAUACAAAAAAGGAAAGAUAUGGAUCUACCUAUGGGUAUUACAACUCACUAUAUGUGGUUUAGGAUUGAUUCUACAUGUUCCCAAAUUAUUCCUCACAUCAUUGUCCGUCACAAACUAGUAAAACACCCUAAUCUUUACCCAUUAUAGGUUACAAACGAUAAUGGUUCAAUUCAAGUGGGAGUGUUUAACUAGCCUAUGCCAAGACAUGAAAUCUCAUGAAGGCAUAGGUACUUUACUCCUCUUAAGGGACAGAACUCGAUUGUAGAAUUCACGUUAUUUUAUUUUAUUUAAAAAAUAAUUAAGUCCUUUAAUAGUUUGGUAAGAUUUAAUUCAAGAUUUAAAUCCUCUAAUAGUUUGAUAGGAUUAAAAAUUUAUUAUUAAAAAAAUUAUAUUAUGAAAUUCUCCAAUAGUUUGGUAGAAUUCAUAAUUUAAAAUUUAUAAACCCAUAAAAUAAACAAUUCAUAAUUUAAAACUCACAGUCUUUAAAUUUUAUUUUAAACAUACAUUAAAAAUGAAAUAAAUGAAAAAAUAUAUAAAAAAAUAAAAUGUGAAAAUUACCUUAAUAGAUGGGGACACGUCUAGGUGGAAGUAUCCUUUGAUUUAUAGUGACAAAUAAUCACUAAUUCGAACAAAAGAGAUCUGCCACCAAUUCUAAUCAAAGAGCUUGGGUAUAAAUUGCUACUCAUCUAUUUCUUAAUGGGUUUCUCUUUUUUUUUCCCUAUUUUAUUUUUUAUGUGUGGUUGAUUGAUAGGGUCUUUUGCAAGGAAUUUUAGAGAUUUGCAUUGAAUGAAAAGGAUUAUAGAUUUAAUUAAGCUCUAAAUUGAUUUUUACCUAGAUGCUCUUGAAAAUUCGUUUAAUUAGUUUUUGAAAUUAUUUUGAUAUUUCUUAAUUUUCAGAAUCCCUCAAAAUUUUUCGAAUUAAAUCUGACUUUGAUUCCUUGAUUUACUUUCUUUUCAACCUUUGUUUUAAUAUUUUAAAAGAUCAUGUUUUAGUUUUGAUUACCGAGAUUUUCUUUGAUUAGUGCUUAAAUUACUCCAUAAAUUUCAUUGACUUGAUUUAUGAUAAAAAUUUAAAACUAGAUAAGUAAAAGACUAAAACAUAAAAAAGAUACAUAAAUAAAUAAGACAAAUAAGAUAUAAAAAAAAUGUUGGAAAUUGGACAAUUAGUCUUUGUUGGAGCCCUGAACUAAAUAAGGUGUCAGACAAAUAUAUAUUUUAUACUUUUAUACUUUUUAAAUUAGAUAAUUUUGUAAAAAAUGAUAUUGAUGGAAGUGUCUACAUGGCAUCCUUAUUUGUUUUCUUUCAACCUUUCAUUUUUUUAUAAAUUUUUAUUUUAAAAAAGGUUAAUAAUAAAAAUUUUACAAGAAUAGUUCAUCAUUGCUAAUUUCGGGUGACAACUUAACUUUUUUUAUCCUUUUUUUCGUUUUGAUUUUUUUUUACUUUUACUUUUUUUAGUUUUUUUCUCCCUUUAUUUUUUAUUAGGUCAAUUGUUUAAACAAAAGAAAAACCAACAAAUGAGCCCAUGUGGCAUCCUAUUUCAUUUUUUUACCUUUCAUCUAUUUUUUUAAUUAGAUAAAUAACACAAUAAAUAGAAAACAGUAAAUAAAUUUUUUAAGAAAAAAGUCAAUUGAGGUAUUUACAAUAAAUUUUCUUAAUUAGAUAAUUUUUUGAGAAAAUAAUGACAAUAUAGGUGUUCACAUAACAUCCUCACUUGUUUUUUUCUUUUAUAAUUUUAUAUUUUAAUUAGAUAAAUUUUAUAAUAAAAUGAUAUGAUUGAUAAAAAUAGUAAAACAAUCAAUAUUUAUUGAUUUUGAUACAUCUCGAUUUGCUAUGGGUGUUUUUAUAAAAAUCGAUAUCAAAUCGAAUCAUGUUGGUUUUUACGGUAAGGAGAGGUAAGAUGUGGAUUUAGGAUGCUUUGUCCUAAAUCAUCUCGUGUAUACAUAAAUUAUAUAUUUUAUUAUUAAUUUGGUUUUAUAUUAUAUACAUGUAUUAUAUUAAUAAAAUUAUUAUUUAAUACUUUAAUUUAAUAAAUUAAUAUUUUAAACUCAAUAGAGGUGUCCAUGUGGCACCCUUAUUGAGCUUUUUUUGUUUUGUUUUUCCUUUUUUUGGUUUUUUCAAUUUUUUUUUUAAUUCUUUUAUUAGAUAAAUUUAGUGAGAAAAAAAAGGCUAAUUGAAUAUCCACAUGGACACUUCCAUUUAUUUUUUUUAUCAUUUACUUUUUUAAUUAGAUAAAUUUUAAAAAAAUAACAUAAAAAUUAUUUUUAAUUUAAUUUUAUUAAAAUUUAUAUCAAAAUAAUAAUAAAAAAUAACUCAUGAAUAUUUAAUAGGAAAAUAGUUAACCUAUGCUACGAGCUCAUUGGCUAUAUUCAAGAAUAAAAUGUAAAGAAAUUAUUAAACCCCAUCUCUUAAUUUAAUCUAAUAGAACACUGCUAGGUAGUUUAAUUUAUAGAGAUCAUUAGAAAUUAAUUACUUUCUUUAGUCAACUGCUAGGUUUUUGGAAACAAGUGCCAGAAAAAUCGAUAGCCUAAAAUUUCCAAUUCUUGCAUUUUGAAUCAGGUUGUAGAUUUCUUAUGGUCUGUGAGCCCAUUGACUCAUUAAUUAUGUUCUUCAUCAGGCCUAAAAAUAUAUUUAACCAUAAAUUUAUGGUGCUAAAAUUUAUGCAAGUGUGCCAUACAUUUAUAUUAUAAAAAUUAUCACAUUCACCUUGUAGUAAAUGGAUUUUUGAAUGUAUUCAUCAAAUUGUAAUGUAGGGUGAGCAAUUGAUAUAAUAUUAAAAUUUUAAUUUUAAUGAUGUCAUAACAUAUAGAUCCAUGGACCUACUACUAGAUAUGGAUUAGAGGAGUUACCACCAAUCUUUUUUGGUUAGGUGUGAUUGACCACCUGAUUGAAUUGAUCUACAAGACAAAUGUUAGGUUCGAAAUUCGAUUACGCUUGCAGAAGGUUGUAGCACCCCCACAGCACCCAUCCAAAGGAUGGUACCAGUUUGAUUUUGAAUCAUCCAAGCCUUGGUCAUUUUAUGAUUUUACCAAAUACUUUAGUAUUGAAAAUUAACCCUAAAAUUGUCCCAAUAUUUUUGUAGCAAUUCAGGAUAAUUCUCUCACCUUAUGAGUAUUCAUGGAGAUUAGUGUCCCACUCUAAAGAAGCUCUUUUAUCGGAUUUAUUAAUUUAUUUCAAGAAAAAGUAAAUCUCCUAAUAGUUUGCUAGGACUUACUUUGAAGUAAUCCUCCAAUAGUUUAGAGGAUAAAAAUUAUUUAUUUAUUUGAAAAGACCUUUUUUUUAUUGAAAAGAUUUUUUAAUUAUUUGUUAUUAUUUUGAAACUUUAUUUACAAAAACUUCUUUGUUUGAAAAGAUUUUUUUUAGAAUUAUUUUUCUUUCUUUUUUUUACUUUCAGAAAUAAAAAUGGAAGAAAUAACAUUUUUUUAAAAAAAUAAAAGGGUUAAAUAAAAUAAAAUAAAAUUAAAAAUAAAAUAAAAUAGGAAAAAGGGAAAACUUACGUUCAGGUCGGGUCGGUACCAAGGACCGAAGGCGGGUCAACGGGUCACAUGCGGAUCUUUGGCUAUCCAAAAUGGUGUCGUGUUGGAAGAGUAUUAAAGCCUCACCCACUCAGCUUUUCUUCAAAAUUAUUUGAUUAAGCCUUUCUUUCUAAAAUGUCUAUUCUUCUGUGUUCUUUCUAAUUGAUUUUCAGAAAUUGACGAAUAAAUCUUAAAAGCUGAUAGAAAAUUUCCAAGAACCCAACAAAUUGUCUAGAAAGCUAAGCUCAGAAGUCUCUAGAAUGCGAAACCCUACAGAAAUUUAAACCCAAAAACACCAAAUCCCAAUCCUAGAAAAUCUAAAUAAAUCAAAUCCAAGACCUAAAACCUUUUGGUUGCUAAACAAAUUUCUCUUUUUUUUUCUCUAGAGUUUCUGCAUAAUCUUUUUUUUUUCUCCUUUCCCUUGCUUUGAUCACAAGUUUAUAUAGAGUUAUGCUUAAUCAAGUCUUCUUAAAUCCAUGAUUUUGUUUGAUUUCCGUUUUAAUGAGAAUUGAUUUUGAAAUCAAAUCCCAAAAAUCUAUCCCUAUCAUUUUAAUGUGAAUUGAUUAUGGAAUUAAAUCCCAACAAUCUCUCUACAUCAAAUGCCAAUUGAUUCUAGAAUUAAAUUCCAAAAAUCUCUCAACUACUAUUAAACUCCGAAAAAUAUUGCCUAGACAAAAUGAGUUGUCUACAAAUGAUCCAAAGUUCAAAUUUUGACAAUUUUAAAUAUGAAUUCUUUAUAUCAUCUUACAUUAUACAUGCCACAUGUAAUAAUACCACCACAAAGCAAGUAAAUAAAAGCUAAAACAUAUCUUAUAAAAUGUGGAAAUUAUAGUGGGGAAUUGGGGGUUAGAUAAUAGGGAAGCCCUUAAAAAAUAUGAAUUAUUACUAAAUUAUAUAGCAUCAUCUUAAUAAAUAAUUUUGUAAGAAACCUUUAUGAAGUAAGAGGAGGUCUAAAUUUAUAAUUGAAAAAUGAAUUAGCUAAUAGUAGGGAUAGAAAAAUAACUUAAAAGAUUAGUAAUUUCAUCAAUCAGAUAAAUGAUUUUUUAAAAAAUAAUGCUAAAACUUGUUUUAAACCAACGCAAUGCAUAAAUGACAUCACAAAUUAAUCUUCAUAUACGUCUUGCAAACAUUUUAAUAAAAUUACAAAAAAAUUUUAAGUAUUUCCAAAAGUAAAAUCCAGAUAUAUAUAUAUUGCUAACAUGCUAUUUUCAACUUUGAUAAUUGAAGUUACCUUCAUAAAUGAAAUCCCACUUGAAAUCCUGCCACUAAUUAACUCACUUUGAUAUUUUAAUUCUUAUCAGUGUGUAACUAUUUUUUACCUGCUGAGACCAGCAUCGGUAUAUGCUUCAAUCUCUCUGUCAAACAUCUUCAAUUUUAUCAAAACCAUUUUCUUCUAUGCUUACAUAUGCGAGUGCAAACACAUUUGCGUGUGUGUGAAAAUAAAAGGAAUUAAGCGUUUUAAGUAGAUUCAUAUAUACACUAUCUGCUUUCCUCCCAAAUAUGUUUGCUUUCAAGUUUCCUCAAACCGUUUGUCAUAUUUUUAGGUAUUAAAAAUAUUAACAUAUAAUUUAUAAUAGUGCGAUCAACGUGGUCAUGGUAUUUGAUACACAUAAUAUAACUUGCAAGCAUACAAAAUUACACACAGAUUCGCAUAAAACAGGGGGUUUUAUUUUAUUUAAUUUUAUCAUGUUUUUGAGAAAACAUGAAAGAAAAAGACCCAAAGAUACAUAUUUAUUUNNNNNNNNNNNNNNNNNNNNNNNNNNNNNNNNNNNNNNNNNNNNNNNNNNNNNNNNNNNNNNNNNNNNNNNNNNNNNNNNNNNNNNNNNNNNNNNNNNNNNNNNNNNNNNNNNNNNNNNNNNNNNNNNNNNNNNNNNNNNNNNNNNNNNNNNNNNNNNNNNNNNNNNNNNNNNNNNNNNNNNNNNNNNNNNNNNNNNNNNNNNNNNNNNNNNNNNNNNNNNNNNNNNNNNNNNNNNNNNNNNNNNNNNNNNNNNNNNNNNNNNNNNNNNNNNNNNNNNNNNNNNNNNNNNNNNNNNNNNNNNNNNNNNNNNNNNNNNNNNNNNNNNNNNNNNNNNNNNNNNNNNNNNNNNNNNNNNNNNNNNNNNNNNNNNNNNNNNNNNNNNNNNNNNNNNNNNNNNNNNNNNNNNNNNNNNNNNNNNNNNNNNNNNNNNNNNNNNNNNNNNNNNNNNNNNNNNNNNNNNNNNNNNNNNNNNNNNNNNNNNNNNNNNNNNNNNNNNNNNNNNNNNNNNNNNNNNNNNNNNNNNNNNNNNNNNNNNNNNNNNNNNNNNNNNNNNNNNNNNNNNNNNNNNNNNNNNNNNNNNNNNNNNNNNNNNNNNNNNNNNNNNNNNNNNNNNNNNNNNNNNNNNNNNNNNNNNNNNNNNNNNNNNNNNNNNNNNNNNNNNNNNNNNNNNNNNNNNNNNNNNNNNNNNNNNNNNNNNNNNNNNNNNNNNNNNNNNNNNNNNNNNNNNNNNNNNNNNNNNNNNNNNNNNNNNNNNNNNNNNNNNNNNNNNNNNNNNNNNNNNNNNNNNNNNNNNNNNNNNNNNNNNNNNNNNNNNNNNNNNNNNNNNNNNNNNNNNNNNNNNNNNNNNNNNNNNNNNNNNNNNNNNNNNNNNNNNNNNNNNNNNNNNNNNNNNNNNNNNNNNNNNNNNNNNNNNNNNNNNNNNNNNNNNNNNNNNNNNNNNNNNNNNNNNNNNNNNNNNNNNNNNNNNNNNNNNNNNNNNNNNNNNNNNNNNNNNNNNNNAAUUAAUCCAAUUCCCUUUGAGAUUUGGAUUAAUCUUUGAACCAAUCUCAACUUUGCCAGCCCCAAAUUCACCACAGAAUCUCAGUUGUCAUCUAAUCAAUCCAAUCUGGUAAGCAGAAAAAGAAAGAAAGAAAAGAAAAAAUAAAAUAAAGAUAAUAUAUUAAUAGAUAACCAAAAGAAAAUAAUUAGAUAAAUAAAAAAUAUUAAUAGAUAAAUAAUAAUAAAGUAUAUAUAUUAACAGAUAAAUAAUAAUAAAUAUAUAUUAAUAAAUAGUAAUAAUAAAUAAAUAAAUAAGAUACACAAAAUAAAAAUACAAAAUAAAAAAUAAAAUAAAAUGGGCUUACCCAUUUGGACCAGACCCAAUUAAUCCGGGCCUGGACCAAAUUGGGUGUCUACAAACAUAACUCUUCAAUUCAAGUGUCCACAUUCGAUCAAAAUGAAUUUUUAAGGUACAUAAUAUAGGCCAAGGUUGGGGGUUCUGAAAGAAAAAGAUAAAUGGCUCAAAAUAUAUUAUUUAAGAUAAUUAGGCCAAGAAUCUUACGAAGCAUUCGCUGGGCAAAAAGCCAUGUGUCCAUUUUUUUUGUUCUUUUUUUUUCUAAUUUUUUGAUUAACGUAUCAUACACUUAAAAAAUUCAAAACUAAUCUGAAAGAGGAAAAAAAAAUUUUCAAAAGGGGUCAAUGGUCCAAACAAAAAAUUAUGUAAUAAAUGGGCACUUCAAAAUAUUUAUGAUCAUUCUUCCAAGAGAAACUCUUCAAUUUUAAACCCUCAUGCUUGAUCUAAUAUGAACUUUUUAAAGGUUAUAAUGUAGGUUAAGGUUCAGGGUUGUCAAAGAAAAUGAUAGAAAGACUCAAAAUAAAUAUUAAAAGGUAUUUAAAACUAAGGGUCAUUUUUUUUGUUCGAAGGAUACACUUUGAGGUCUAUUCCUUUUUGCUUUCCACCCUUCAUUUCUUCUCUUUUUUUUUUUUUUUUUACUGAGUGGAUUGUAAACUUUCAUAUUGAACCUUUGCCUCAACAUAUGGGAUUCCAUUCAGUCAUCCUCAUUCUUAACCCUCAAAUGUGUUCCUUUUUACCUCCCAGUGUGAAGGGUGAUCCUUAGUUAGGGUUUAUUUUGAAAAAAUUCAAUCAGGUCAAAAAGGGUAACAAAGGAUUAAUUUUUAUAUUUGUGAAAAGAUAAUGAAAGAUGAUCAUUUAUCAUUUCAAAUAUAAAAGUGAAAUUGAAUAGGAAUUCUCUUUAGGAAAAUGAUCUCGAAGAACAGUUUUUAUUUCCAUAAUUUUUUUUACUUUUUACUUUUUUUUCACAUUUUCUAAUUUAGGCCUUUUUCUUACCCCCUUUCCAAAACUUUGAAUUUGUCAAAGACUUUAUUAGAAUUUAUUCAAAAUUUUCAAGUGCAUGAUGUUAUAACCAUUUUUUUAUUUCUUUUUUUUCUCUUUUUUUUUAUUUAGGACAUUUGACUUCAUCUUUAGCAAUCAAAGAUAUUCUCAAUAUCAUACACUUUCCUUAAAAUUGGGCUUUUAAGGAUAUCCUUAUUUUUUCUCCCAAAGUAAAAAACGAUCUUUGACCAUGGUUUAUUUUGGAAACAAAUAAAUUUAAUAAGCUUAAAAAGGUAGCAAGUGGAAAAUAUUUUUAUAAGCAACGGAUAAAGAAAAAUGGCCAUUCAUUAUUUCAAACACAAUCACUUGAUUAGAAGAGCAAUGCAUUUGAAGAAAUAAAAGCUUUUAUUUGUUUUUAUUCCUAUUUUCAUUUUUUUAUCUUUAACCAUUAAUCAUUUUUGUAUAACUGAUGCCCGAUCUUGUUUGCCUACUCAAGGUUCUUAUGAUGAUGAGAAUCAGGUUGUAUGAGAUGUCCAAAUUUUGGAUGCAUAGUUUACAAAAGGGUUCAUUUGGUUCCAAAUUGUCUAGCAUUUUGAGGAAAAAGGAUAUUAAGGCAUGAAAAAAUUGUCUUAGGCAAGAAAGAAGUUUACUUCUUUUAGUCACUAUGCCUUAAGACAUGAAACAACAGUUACUUAAAAGAAAGAGUUCAAGCAUUUUUAUGUCUAUGUCAUCAAAAGAAUUUGGAUGGUUCGAUCAUAUUGACAAGAUUUGAUACACAUUGAAUUACCAAUUAAAAAAAUUAAAAGAGUAUCUUGGUUUUUGAAAUUCAAAAUAAAUUUUCAAAAUUGGUCACUUUCAUUAAUUACCCAAGAAAUGAUUAUGGCUUCAAUGUAUCAAAUUGUAACAUGGUUCGCAAGUGGAAAUUCAUGUCCUUUAAAGGAUUAUGAAAGGAUUAAAACAUAAGAAUGGUUAAGAAAAAAAAAGUGUAAUGGAAUUGGAUGAGGUUUUGUUUUUUAUAGUAAUCACCCAUGAUUUUGAGAUUCUCACCAUAAAAAAAUCAUAAAUUUCCCAUUGAAAAAGCCUAUAUUUUUAUUUGAUCUUGAAAACUACUUAUAUGGGACUUUAUUGUGAAUUUUGUUUUAAAUGCUUUUCAUUUUAUGAUUUUAAAAAUUAAUUAUGUGAGAUUGUUAUUCAAACAAAUACAUACAAAUAAAAUUUCAUAGAAAAAUUGAAAGCAUUCCUUUCUUCCAAAAUAAUGUUUAACAAGAUUGAUUUAAAUAACUCCUAAAGACCCAUGCAUAUAUCAUGUACAAAAGGUUAAAGGUUUAAAAGAAAACCAUUAUAUAUUGAUAUUUCAAUACCGUAGACACCCAAUUUCGUACAGACUCAGAUCAAUUGGGCCAAAUCCAAAUGGCAAGAUGGGCCCACAUUAUUUUAUUUUUUUUAUUAUUUAUUUAUUAUUAUUAGUAUUAUUUUUUUCGUUUGUUAUUUAUAAUUAUUACUUAUUAUUAUUAUUAUUAUCAUUAUUUAUUUAUUAUUAUUAUUAUUAUUACUAUUAUUAUUAUCAUUUUUUUUGGAUUUUAUCUUUUUUUUCUUGAUUAAUUAAGAGAUAAUGAUCAGAUUAAUUAAAAAUAAUAAAAAAAUUAUGGAAGUGGAUUUGGCCGUGAAUUUUAGGGCUGACAGAGUUGGGAUUGGAUUCAAAAAUUAAAUCCCAAUCCCAAAUUGAAUUGGGAUUGAUCAGAAACUCUUCUAAUCAAUCCCUAUAAAUAGAGGCUGAAAUACACAGAAAAGACACCAAAGACAGACAGAGGGUAAACAAAAGAAAUCAGAAGCAAGAAAAAGGGUUUCAAGGAAUAGAAGCAGUGUUCUAGAAUUUUUGGGAAAAUUUUUGAAUUUUUGGCAUUUUUUCUAGGAAAUUUAUGGAAAAUUCCAGAUUUCGAGUAAUUUUUCGAUGACAUUCAAGUUUUUCGAUGACUAUUUCAGUGAAAGACCUAGUUUUCGACAUGUUUUCCAUAUUUCGAUAGAACAUUCAAUCGAAAUCUGGGUUCUGUUUAGAGAGAAGUAGGAGAAAAAGAAAAAUGAGAGAGAGAAGGAAGGAAGCAAUCUGCAGACGAAUAGAAGUUAGAGCAUUUUAUACUGUUUAAAAAUGACAUCAUUUUUUUGUUUAAAGUCCCAAAGGAUCUGUGCAUUUUGCCAUCAGGCGACCCGACUCGAAAGUCAACCCGUUUUUUGCCCUCAUCUAACUCGAGUACCGACAUAGCCCUGAAGCCGAGCCAAUUCGAGCCGUACACUCCCGAGCUAUUUUUCUUUCUCAAGCCGAAUUGAAUCACAGCUGCUGAGCCGAACCAUUUCAAGGUUUUUUUUUAAAUUUAUUUAUUUAUUUAUAUUAUUCUUGUUGUUAUUAUUAUUUCUAAAUUAGAAUUAUUUGGUUUUUUAUUUUUAUUUUUAUUUUUCUAUUUCUUUUCAAUGAUUUUUCUAAAAUAAAAUUUCAAAAAAUAUUUUUGAGGAAAAGUUGAAAGUAUCAAUUUUUCUUAAAAGUAAAAUUUCUAAAAAUAAAAAUUUCCAAAAAAAUUUUUAAGGAAAAAGUUGAAAGUAUCAAUUUUUCUUUGAAAAUAAAAUGUAAAAAAAAUAAUUUUAAAGAUAGUUGAAAGUAUCAAUUUUCCUUUAAAAUAAAAAGGUUUAAAAAAAUAAUUUUAAAGAAAGUUGAAAGUAUCAAUUUCUCUUGUUUGGCGUGACUGCACCUAGAUGUUCAAAAGCAUCCUUGAGCUGGUCCCUGGUGAUGCUGCCCUGCUUAGAGUAAGAUCGAAACACUUGUUCCAAUUUGUUUUUCUGAUCCUUGUUAUCCUUUGUGGCUUGCAUUGUGGAUUUUGAGGUUUAUGACAGGGUGAUAUAAGAGAAAGGGCUUGCCUAGCUUGGUUU